RNAcentral lists this long non-coding RNA (138428 nucleotides) under Eucalyptus grandis. RNAcentral's name for it is "long non-coding RNA (EGRA_LNC001536)". The record is from RNAcentral. Lineage: Eukaryota; Viridiplantae; Streptophyta; Magnoliopsida; Myrtales; Myrtaceae.
AGCCGACGGCCAUAGUAUGAGUUCGGGACGAGUCAGUCUACAGCCGGCUGCCUCCCUUCGUCUCCAAGCUGCAAUCCUCGGAUUAAGGAACUCGAACCGAGCAACUAAAGAAACUCACCGGAAAUGCUGAGAAUCAGGAGAGAGGAGUAGUGAGAAACGACGCCGGCUGGAGGUUGUUGGACAGCGGCAGUGGAAGUGGCCGGUCGGGUGAGGUCCAAAGAGACAAGCAAAGGGAGAUGCGGGACUGAGAGGAGGAGAAGGCAAAUGGCUUGGUGAGGGGGCGCCGGUAAUGGCUGCGACUGGUGGUGGCGACUGAGGCUAUGGACGGAGGAGGGUGGUCGACGGUGAGGUAGAGGUAAGGGGGAAUGGAGAAGAAAAGAGCGGGUGAGAUUUAGAACCAAAAAAAGAGAGUGCGCCUGAGGAUGGAGAUGAGCAAAAAGAAGACCCCGUUUGCUCUUUUCCCCGACCUUGUCUGCAAUAAAUCUCCAUUUUUCAUUUUGAACACUUUAACUUGCUCUAUUUCCACUCCAUCAUUGAUUCCUCAACCCCAUUGUUCACAUUGAAUUGACUAUAUUAUCCACUAUAAGUCUUACUCUUAACUUAGGUUUAUUUCUCACUUUGAUGAAACUAUCCAUACUCCUCCUAAACAAUAAUUAUUAAUUUUAAACAUGAGGUCUACUCUUGAUUUUAAGAUUAUCUUUGCCUUUCUUUUCUUCUUUUUUGAUUUUUUCCGUUUCUUUCUCCAUUUGAAACAAAGUUGGCGUACCUCUUUUUCCAAAAAAAAAAAAAAACAAUCGGUAAAUACUAAUUAUUUAACAAAAAAGCUAAUCAUUGUAUUGAUAGUUGUAUAUUUCUUUUUUUACUAAGAACUAUUAUUCAAAAAAUAGCCUAAGCACAAGUAAAAGGGAAAAAGAACUAUCUACCAAUUUUAGUAUGCAUUUCGUUUAUAUGUGUCAUUAUGUUGUAGUUCGUGUAUUUUAACUCGUCAACUUUCAUUUUAUUUAGUAAAUUUGAUAGUCAAAUUUUUAAUUAUUAUAUUGUGUGACGUAUUAAAUAUUUUAAGUGACCUUGAUCAGUUCCUUUUCCAAAUUAUAGUCAAUCAAACAUGAUCCAAUCUUUCUUCUCUAUUGUAUAAUGAAAAUAUUACGCAAAUCAUGAUAAUUACCUCUUCUAUUGCAACCAAGAAGAACAUAUUUGUCUCUCUUUGACUCUUUUAUAAAGACAACAUAACCUUAAGUAAGAAGAUGCGUCUGCAAACUACAUAAAAAAAAAAAAAAAAAAAAAACUCUCACGUUAGAAAAUUACCUCAUAAUGUUUCAAAUGAACUUGUUGACUUGAUUAAUUAUUGUUUUCCAUUUGCAGUUUCGCCAUCGAUGGAUACAUUUAGUCAAUUAAACAAUAUUGUCUUACAUAGUGACCACAUUACUAGAAAAAAAAUGCAAUGAAACAUAAGCAAACUGUGUAUAAUGCAUAUAUCAACCACAAUAUCAAAGUUGAAAAAUUCACCAACAUGAGGACAAUCUAAGGAAAUAAAUAAACAAUUUACAGAUAAAACUAACAUUUUUUACUCUAAUGCGUGAUUAGUGCGUCUAGAUUACAAUAAUGGAUAAUAAGUUCAGAAGAAAACAAACAUGAAAGAAAUAUUGAAAUGUAAUUGGUGUAAAAGAAGCAGUUAGGUAAAAACAAGGCUUGCACUAUUUCCACUCCUUAUUAGCUUUUGACAUGCCUAUCACAUCUAAUUGACUAUAGUGUCAUUUGCUUUCUUAACUUUUACUAUAGACGAAACUAAUCAUACUCCUUUCAAAUAAAUUUUUUUAAGAUUAAAUAUAGGGUUCAACUCUCUUGAAAAAAAAUACUUUACCCGAAUCAUAAAUAAAUUUUUUUAUUAUAUUAAUAAGAGACUCAUUAUUCACUUAAAGCAAUAUAUAUCAAGGUAUAUCUUUCAAUUUAUAGUGCGAGGAGCUCCAAGUGAAUUUGUUGACAUGAUUAAUUGAUGUUUUUCAUUUGUAGUUUCAUCAUCAAUAAAUACAUUUAAGUAAUUUGGGUUCUCUUUAAUAUUGUCCACACAUAAUAACUACACUACAAAGAACAAUACAAUGAAAUAUGACUAAAUUGUGUAUAAUGCAUCAAGUAACCACAAUACUCAAUCUUUGAGUAAAUUCUUGUAAAUUUGCAACAAAAAUUGAAAUAAAAAAAUUUUCAAUCAUGAGGAUUAUCUGAGGAAAUAAAGUUAAUAACGGGCAUAAUAAAUUUAAAAGAAGACAGACAUGAAGAAAAGUUAGAAUAAAAUGGGUUUGGAAGAAACAACUAAAGUGAAAAAAAAAAGUUGUUCGAAAGAGACGUGGGUAGUUUUGUCUUUUAAUAAAAUUGAAACAAAAGAAAAAAAAAUGGUAAGAAACUAUUUUAAUUUAGGGUAGGACCUGUAAGAGUACUGUAGUCAAAUCGAUAUGACGAAGGGGCGUGGGAGCUAAUAAUGGGAUGAAAAUAGCACGAGCUUAAAAAAAGUGUUUAAAAGGAAUAUAGAUAAUUUUGUCUUUUAAAAAAAGUUGAGACAAAAGAAAAAUAAGAAAAAAGGUGAAAAAAAAAAUCUUAAAUCAAGAUUAAGAAUCGCAAUAUUGCAGUCAAUUCAAUGUGACAAAAGUGUUAGGAGACAAUAAGAAGCGGAAAUAGUGUGCGCUUUUUCUUUUUGACCCUAUGUGCUUUUGUUGCUGUUGACCCCUCCCUUGUGUGCAAAGUAAUCCCAGAUACCCCCUUUUGUCCUAUUCAUCCACGGCCCCCCACAAAAUAGAAUAACCUAGCUUGGUGACAAGUGGGAAGCUUGCAAUGGUGAGGCUUCAGACAAGGCGCCAUGUGGCACGAGAAGUAGAAAGGCACGAUCUAGGGUCGAAUUGAGCCGAGCUUUGUCGGGCCUUGGCUUGAGCAAUUAGAUCAAUGAAGUAUGUAAUAAUGCAUACAUGUGGUGGCUCGAGCUAGAUCUUGAGCAACAAAGAUAGACAUACAUACCAUUCUAGUAAUAGAGCUAUGUUACUAGUAUGUUCAUGGAGCAAAUUAUUAGCACACUAAUGAAAUUACUAUCAUGGCUUGAAUUGGUUGACAUAUGAGAAUAACCAUUUAAAAAAAAAAAAAAAAGUUGCUAUCACGAGAUAUCACCCUAUGCUUUUCACUAUAGGACAAAUUUCCUUGCACGUUCAUAGAUUGACUUACCUAGUACUCCAUAUUAGGAGCUAUUUGUCUUAUACAUGAAUGAGAACUAAAAGUACUUCACUAUCAAUCACGCCCCUCCCCGAAGAUCCGCCGUCAGCUCCAUUUCCGUUCCCCGGGAUCCACACUGCCCGCACCCAGAGAUCUGAUCGGCCUCAAUGUGCCUAUGAAGACCGCAAAUCAUUUCAUCCAACGGCCGUGGAUGAAGGGAAACCAAAAUGGGUGAAAUCUUCCACGUAAUCUACGGCUGAUUAGUGAAUGGAGAGAGAAAUUUCCCUUGGGUGCUUUUUUCUCUUUCAGUGACAUGAAAAUAUUCGACUUUGAGUGCUAAAAACGACCACUAUCACGACACAUUUUGACUCACGCCAUUUUGGGGAGAAGUCGGUCGGUUUCGUUGAAAAAUAAAAUAAUUUUUACAUAUUAACUUGACUUUGAGCGAAUCAUGAGAGGCCUGGCCUGUCGUUACAAUAAAAGGGAAUUGAGACACGAUCCCACAGGGUGCCGAUUACGGAUUGAUGUAUUGGAAUUGAACAUGCAUAUGUCGUCUAUGUGAGCCAUCAAUUAAGAAAUUAAUCCUAAACAGCAUGUGAAUCCACUGAAUGACGUGCUGUAUGAAUAAUACAAAAAAUUAUUAAUGUGGUCUAAUUUUUUGUUUUCUCUUUUUAAUUAACAAAAAUACAAAUGACCCUAAAUUUCUACAAAUUAAAUGGAUUUCUAUUAAUCUUUAAUCAUGCUCGAGUAAAAUUGAUACGUAUGACCUAAUGUUGGCACUUGAUUUUUGCUGGCCAUUCAAAUUUCCAUUCUCGCAAAAAAGAACAAUUAUGGAAAAUAGCAAUGAUCUUCGAUCUCCAUUCUUAUCAUAGAGAAUUAUACAGGUUAUGAAAAAUAGCGAUGAAAAAUAGGAAUGAUCUUGGUUCCGCAUAACUACAGAGUCCAAUUGAUUCUCCAUAUUAGUCAUUCGUGUGCUCUCAUUUUCAUUCUCCAUUCUUGUUGUUGAAUGCGUUCAAAUAGAAGAUUUUCCUUUGGCCGUUUUGCAUUACCUUGAUUUUGCAAAAUAAAGUCAAAAGAGAUUAAGGUAGUAUAUGGAAGAGAAGUGGAAAGAAUACAGCUCUUCAAAAUUCAUCCUUUCUUAGAGUGACUCUUGUAAAAGUCCAAUCUCAUAUGAAAAUUUCUUUAUAAGUUCGAAGAGGAAACGCAUGGUGAUUAAUCAAAAUGCCCAUUCCAUAUUCCAUUAGAACUUGGUAAAAACACACGAAAGGGAGGCUUUCACUAGUUACAUCAAAAUUUGCAAAAGACAAUCCCUAUACAUUCUCUGAGAAUUGGAAAGAAAUUCCUAUAAAUCGUUACUAAAAUGCGUAAAAGAAAGUCCCAUACAUUCUGUUUAAAGAAGUAACCACUUAACAGUUAUUCUGACAAUUUCAGCAUAAUAGGCGAGAGUCUUUUGGAAUUUUCACUGAACAUAGUGAGACCAAAGCGAUGAAUUUUUUUCUAAAGUCAGAAGCAUGAAGAGAUGAUCUAUCAUAAAAUAAAGUAAUUAUUAACACAACACGUAACUCUCACCCUUCUUUGUCAUGUCUAUCACCUAGUCUAUCUUUUCGCACGAUUCUCACAAGUAUAAUCAUCAAAUCGUUAAACUCUCACCCUUUUUUUCGUAAUAAAAAAGAAUAAGUUGAUUCAUAGUGAAGGUCAUCGUGCUUUCUAGCUAUGAUUAUAUAAUGUUGUUGAUUUUCCACUGACUAGCUAACUCCAAGAUCAGAAUACACUACUUAUCCGUUCGAGAGAAAUUUUUUGAGCGGAAAGAAUGCUUACCAAACUUGUUUUUUACUACUCACGAAAAGCUCAAAAUCGGACGUGAUUCUAACAAAGACGAUCUACCCUAGAAUCGGUUUAAGUGGUCCAUGUGUUUGGAUUUGGUAGAGGGAGUUAGCAUCAUGGGAGUUCUCGGGUGAGCGUGCCUACGGUCGGGGCAACGAUGCUGUGUUUUCGGAGUGCAACGUCAACAUUGGGAAGCCAAAAUAUUAUCCUUGAUUCAAAGACAAACCACGAAGAAGAUACAUGCGAGUAUGGAUACAUCAAUGAAGGGCAUUUUGAUAAAUUAACUAUAAAGGGGUGUUUUUAAUCAAAGAAUUUUAGCACCACCCUUUUUGCAAACUAAUCUUAAUAAACAUAACAUUUUUCCUUUUUCCCAUUAAUUUUUCAACAUAUAACUUACAAGCAGGCCCAACACCUUGGUACUAAUACAUAAUGUUUAUUUACCUCCAAAAUUUGGGGGAAUUUUUGCGUAAUUUUUCAACAAAUUUAUUGUGCAACAUCAAAUUUGUAAAACAUUUGUAAGAAGAUUGUGGCAUAAUUAGGUAUGUCGAGUAUUGAAAUAUGGGAAGCAAAACUUAUAUUCCAACUCAAAAUCUCAAAUUUCCCAUUGAUGUCACUCAGGAACUGCAAAACGUAUGGUCCAUAAUCAUAGUGAGACCUUGACAAUUGGGGUGGACCUAACCCUAAUGUUGCCGAUUUAGAAGGAACACAAGAAGGCUCAUCAAUCUGUCGUAGUGAUUUUUUUUUUCUCUCUCUCAAUAACCAGCAACUCCGGUGGAUCUUUAAACACCCUUCAAGCCCUAUAAUUCAGUUAAGUUGAAGCCUUUGAUCCACAUGGAUGGCUUGACAGUGAGUAACUCGCACGCAAAUGAAAUCAUUUAAACAAACGACUUCCAAUUUUUGAACUACAACCAUUAUUGCCCUAAUAAACCACGCCAACUUCGACCGUCUAGGCAGGUUUUUUUCCUAUUAUCUUUUUCGAAGAAAUGUAACUGUUGGUAGGCCCUCACUUUUUGACAUGAGUAUGAACUUAAAAGAGCUAGUUAUAUUAGAAUAAUUAUGUUAGUGUUGAGUUGUAUAUCUUCUCAUCUACUAUGAUCUGGCCCCAUUAUGCUAGAUAUUGGUGCACGGACUCAUUUAAUUUCUAUUCAAAGUUACCACCGGUAUGAGAAUGAUAUAUAAUUAUUUUCAUAUCGGAGGUGUAACAGUCAAUCUACCUUAUGAUUGGAAAGAUAAAUGUUUGUCUGUGAUUAUUUUUAAAUAGUAAUUUCUGCAUAUAAAAAUUUUAUGAUGUGAAAUCCUAUUUUUUCAUAACGAGCUAAGGGGUAGGUAUUGUUGGCCUAGAAGUAGCAAUAAAUUGGACUUUAUUGAGAUCAUUCAUGCGCCUAUUACAAAGUAUUUGAAGUGAGCCACUAAGUACUAUACAUCAUUUGUGAUCCGAAGGUUCUCUCUUUCUUCUGACAAUUGAGGUCACGAGCGUUGGUCACUUGACUACCUUAAAGCUCAUGAAAUAUUUUGCAAGCUUUAUGCAUAUAUUAAGUUCCUCCUAUUUGGCCCAUGGAUAUAGCUUAAUCUAGCAUUUGGGCAUGGUNNNNNNNNNNNNNNNNNNNNNNNNNNNNNNNNNNNNNNNNNNNNNNNNNNNNNNNNNNNNNNNNNNNNNNNNNNNNNNNNNNNNNNNNNNNNNNNNNNNNGACGUUCUACAUGGUUUAAAAAAGAGAGAUAAAAAUAAGGAAUAUUGAAAACAUAGUAAUAUUAAAACAUUAAAGAAAGGGAAAUUCGAAAGGUAAAAGAAGGGACGGACAAGGGAGGGAAGUGGCGCACUGUUGCCUGACUUUAGCAGAUACCGACCAGGUGUCUUGCGACCUCGGUGAUCCAUGAUUAGGGUUACACAGCCCCAGCCCAAAUUAGACCUUGGCUAGCUUCUCGCGACCCAACUAGGAGUCUAGGACAAUGGCUUCUCUCCCUCCCUCUCUCUCUCUCUGGCUUUGAUUUUUUUUUUUUUUUAAAGAACAAGAUUUUGUCGAUAUUUUAUCCAGCCUAAGAAACUCGCAUGUAAGCACAAGAUUGCCCGGUCAAUGCUAACGUCAUGCCGAUGUGUCAACUCGCCUUAGUAUUUUCAUUUUUUGUUAUAACAAAACGACCAAUUCAAAUAUUAAGAAAAAGAACAUAUACUUUAAAGACCAAGUUGCACAAAAAGCAUAUAUCCCUAAUGUGUUUAAUGUUACGUUUCUAAAAAGCAUUUCUUGAUUCAAAGAAUCUAUUUAUAUUGCAAUGCAAGGGCUUUUUAUUAACUUGAUCAGUCCAUGAUACGGCGCCGUCCAAUCCGACGCGAUGCAACUCCUGCCUUACGUCUUCACGUCGACUCUCUCUCUCUCUCUCUCUCUCUCUCUCUCUCUCUCCCUGCUUUCAUUUUCAACAAGCGUACCAGGAAAGCCAAAUCCCAACUCUCUCGAACGGACCCAUUGUACCGUUAGUUAACCCAGCUUUUGUUUUGCGUUCUCUGCUGCUUUGCGUGCGUGCGUGCGAGUGACGAGUGUUUGCUAGCUAGUUUAGCUCNNNNNNNNNNNNNNNNNNNNNNNNNNNNNNNNNNNNNNNNNNNNNNNNNNNNNNNNNNNNNNNNNNNNNNNNNNNNNNNNNNNNNNNNNNNNNNNNNNNNGUGCCUAAACAACAUAGCACGAGCUGUUUGGAGAUUUAUUCAUAACGUGAAUCGCGCUCGUGACCCCAUGGAAGAUGGCCCAUUUAACUCAGGCCAACAUAUUGAAGGUCGGUCCUUCUUUUUUUACUUUUUGGUAAACUUAUUAAAGAUUGGUCACAGUUAACAUGAAGCUUCUUCAUGCAACCUUAGUAGGGAUAAAGAUGGACGGUAUCAACUGAGCUCACAUUUGAUGAGAUUUAAGCACCUUCGGUGUGAAUCUACUUUUGGAAAAUGCUGCUGCAAUUCCACACCCCUCAUAUAAAUUAGUUUUUUCUAUAAGCUCAAUAAAAUAGCUAGCGAUAGUUUGACCACGAGCAUCAUGGGAAACCUUUAUGAUAAGUUAGAAUUCUGAAUCUGUGGGUGCGUUUGUUUCCAAAAAAAAAAAAAAAGUUUCAAGAUAAAAGGACAAUAUCUUACAAAAAAUAUCUUGAAACUUUUUUCUUUCUUUUCAGGUUAGGGAAUUUGUUUUCCUACUUUAAGAAUACAUAUAUUCUUCAAUUAUAAAUAAAUUUUCUGUUUACUAAUUAUUUUCAGCAAACCAAAUGUGUAAAAGUCAGAAAAACUAAUUCAUUAAAAAAAAUUUCACUCGAAUAAGGCUAACGAACUCUUGUCACGUUUUUCUUACCUUUACCAAAAAAGAAAAAAAAAAAAAACUCUUGUCACGUUGAAUUGUUUGGGCUUGGACGCCCUUGCCCCAAAGAAAACGUAUAUAUUAAUUACUAUAAAUUUAUUUUUCUAUGUUAAGACUACUGCUAAAAGUGAAUCAUGAAAUCGAUGACUUACUGAGCCACCAGAAUCACUAACUAAUACUAAUCUAAUAUUAAUAAAAUAGAACAUACUUAUAGAAUAGAAGAAAACUGUCUUUUAUGUAUACUUCCCCAGUAACACACCCUAUAUUGAUAGUUGGGCAAUAAUUUGCUAUAUUACGAUGGUGGUUUAAGCCAUGUUAAACUUCCAAAGCCAAAGCAAUGGGUAGUAGGGUAGUGCAACCAGUCCGACUCUACUCGAAAAUUAGAUCAAACGGGCCAUAGAAACAGGUCCAAUUUCUAGUUCUAGUGGAAACAACUUCAGUUCUAAGUUCUAAAUUUUUUGAACCAAUAGUAGGGGUGAGCAUGAUCCGGGUUGGUCCGGGCCACCCCUUAACCCUAGGACCAACCCGUACAAUGUCGGUUCUCAAUUUUUAGGACCGAGGAUCGACCCUAUUGAGCUUGGGACCAAGGAUCGGACCGACCCAUUGGGUUCGGUCCGGUUCCAAGGUCAACCCAGGACCGAUCGAUAAUUUUUUUCGUCUUAUUUUUUUAUACUCCCUAAAAAAGCAAACUUAUAAAUUCAAAUUACACAUCCAUCUACAAUAUGGCAUUGUGCAACUAAACUAUAAAUANNNNNNNNNNNNNNNNNNNNNNNNNNNNNNNNNNNNNNNNNNNNNNNNNNNNNNNNNNNNNNNNNNNNNNNNNNNNNNNNNNNNNNNNNNNNNNNNNNNNUUUUGAUUCGAGUGUGUCUGAAGAGGAGGGAUUCUAAGUCCGAACAGGAAUCGAUUUUGGGUUUGUCCGUGCCGUGUUGAGGCAGGGGAUUAGGAUAGUUCCGAGGCAUUGAGGCGUUUGAUGUCUUUUUUUUUUUAUUUCUGAUGCAGUUGAAUGUUAUAGGAUCUUGAACGGACUCCUUGCAUGGUCAUAGCGUUUUGACCACCGGUCCAAUAUGCACCUCUUGGUGCUGGAAGAGGUUUCUCUUAAGGAGAGAGAGAGUCGGCAUCUAAUGGUAUCGUUGUAGAUGUUAGUCUGAUCUUACAAUUUUUGAACUGUUACUCAUUUGGCAGUUUUAUCGCCCGACUUUCCGGUUGAUUAACAUGAGCGACAUCGUGGCUCGAUUCUUGUCGAUAACAAGAGGAGUAGCUUGGUGUUGUUUUUUCCUUUGUCGAAGUGACGGAGUUCCCCCGCUGCUUUCCUUUCCUUUACCGCCAUCUCGUGCGAUUGAGGAUGUGGCAUUCCAAUCAUUUCCUAGGAACAAGUCGCUCUUAUCCAGUAUAUGUUAUGGACAGUGUUAGCCGAUAGGUGUACAAGUAUGUAAACUGUGAGUGUGGAUUGGCAAUGAGAACCAUCUAAGUUUCGAGGGUGGAACUACUCAAAACUUCACCAUAGUCUAUUUUGAAGAUUACUAAUGGAAUCCAGUCUUACUGCAGCUAUUAGUUUAGGAGACUAGACAUAAGCUUGAUAUAAGCCAAAUCAUGAUAAAUCUAAUUUGCAACAUCUUUUAUCUCUUUGCACCUUUUUCAAUAUUUUUCUGACAAGGGCAUGCUGCAUUGCAUAUAAGCAUAUUGCAUAUUUACGUCUGGUAACAUCAAGCUUUCCCUGCUUAUAUCCAAGUCCAGUUUCAAAUAACUUGUGAAAAUCUAAAAUAAUAUUAUUAUACAACAUAUUCACCCCUAUUUAGGUUGUAUCGUUAAUCUCAACAAAAAUGACGGCCUUUUGAAUGUUGCACUCUCUAAAGUUUUUGGAAAUUAUGCCGAGUAGGCCCAAUGUUCUCAUAUAUAGGAAAAUUUAUUUCUCAAAGUUCCUGGCCCUAUUUCACUUCUUUGUAAAAGCAUGCUCCAAGAAUUCACAAAUAUGUGUAAACCUUCACUUUUUCUUUUACACUUGCAUUUGAGUUUAGUUUUCAAUUUUGGAAUAUGUACUUUUUCUGAUCCAUUUUUGUCCAUAUAGUUUGGUUAUAUGGAUGUAGUAUGGUCAUAUGUCCGUGCAUGUGUGACAUAAGAUAACAACUCAAACAUUUAUAUAUUUAAAUUUACAAGCUGCUCGCAAAUCGACACCGACUGAUAGACUAUUUGUCACUACAAAUGACUUUCAGUAUUGUGAGAUUAUAUAUGCAUGCUUUCUAGGGUAUAUCAAUCUAGUAAGGCUAACGUCCUUUUUACAUUAGAACACGUUAUAAUGCCUUAAAGAAUAUUUCGCUUAAAUUUAUUGGAGAAAAAUCUACAAGUGAUUUUGAUGAUAUCCAAACUAUCCUUAAUAUAAUGUUUACUACGACAUAUGCAUAUAUAUAUUUAGAAAGGAUUACACAAUAUUGAUAGUGUGAUCUAGUAUAUGAAGUAUGCAACAGGUCCGGAAACAGUUUUUUGUGUAAAUACUACCAAUGGAUCUAAAGAUCAACUGAUGACGAUGUUCAUAUCGCAGCUACAAAUAUCAAGUCGUUGGUGUUAUAACAACCAUGAACAUCUUAUAAAGUUUGUUGGGUUAGCAAAUUAGCCAUUGUGGCUAAGGAUUUGCACAACAACAUAAUCCAGUUGAAAGUAGUAAUUUGAGAAUCCAAGUCGUCUAAUAAGUCUAUCAGAGACUACAGUGAUGGGACAGUGGCAAAUGCUAUACUUAAGUAGACUACAAAUGUUCAAGAAAAAAAGAACUAUAUGGGCAGUUCUAUUCUUGGAUAGACUCCAAUGGUUCCUUGCUUUUUUUUUUCUUCUUUUUUUCAUCCUAGAACCACCAUACAGCCGGCAGCCAGUGGCGUAAACCAGGGAAAGCACUAGCGCGGGGGCCCACCUCCCACAACACUCCACUUUAGUCACACAAUGGGGGCAUAGAGUUUCGAACCCCUUCCCUCCCGAAUGAGAGGGCAGGGCGCGAACCAGCGCGUCCACCGCAGGGUGAGUGGUUCCUUGCUUGUUUGAUCUUCUCUUAACGGGCAAAUUGGAGAUGAAUAUAAGAGAAAAGACCUAAGAAGCCAAGGAGGAGAAAGAGAACAACAUUAUCUAAAGAUUUGCAUUAUGCUUUGUUCCUAACUAUACACUCUUGCCCAAAGUGUUUCGUUAAGUUUUGUAUUCAUGAUAUUUGAGUAAUUGUGUUCUAGAUUAAAUGUAGAGGGUAAGAAUUGCAAUUGGGUCUUGAUAAUGUGAUUUAUCUUAUAAUAAGACUACUGUUUGCCUAUUGUAAUUGUCUGAGUAGCUUACACAUGCAAUCCAGCCUGAUUUGUGGCUAUUAGUCUGAAGAGUGAACGUAAACUUGGAGAUAAAGCCAAACCACUAUAUAUCAUUGUGUGUUAUUGUUUUACUCUCUCUUACUCUCACAGGCACAGAUCACAAACUUCGAAACAUCAUCUUGACCUUAUCUUUACUUAGCAUUAGCUAAUUUAUGUGAAAAAUUGUCAAGUUUUCUUUAAAAACCUAUUCACCCCCUCUAGGUUGUAUUAUUAGCUCCCAACAAAUUAGUUGCUUUGGAGCAACAAAAAGCUACUAAAAAAGUCUUGAAACUUGCUAAAUAUAAUAGAAGAUGUUCUUUUCAUAUAUUUUUCUCUCUUGAAGUAAAUACACAUAUUUUUCAUAUUCUUCCUUUUUGAAGCUUUUGGUGUUUCGGAGACAAAAAGAAUAACUCUCCAAUCAGAUUAUUCAACUGGAAAAGCAAUCGAUGCAAAAACAAACCUUGAAAUUGGAAAUUGAACAAUUGAGAAGAUCAUUAAAUGUCAUGAAGCACAUGAAAGACGAGGAUGAUACUGAAAUUUUGAAAAUAAUUAUUUUGCUAGCGGAUAUGAGGGGAAAAUAGGGGAAUCUUGAGGAUGUAGAAGUGCUGAAUCGAGCUAUCAUAGUAAAGGUGCAUAAUCGCAAUAAUGAGCUUCAAGAAGCUCGCAUAAAAUUGAUCAAUGUAAGUUUGCUUUUUCUCUUCUUUUUUUUAUGGUGAGAUUUUUAAAUUUUUUUGCAGGGAAUCAUGUUCACUUGUAUCAUUUGUCAUCUUUUUUCAUUUUUGGUUUGCUAUCUUCAGUUACUUCACUCAAUACAAGUUUCUGUUGCAGCUGUACAUCAUUGAUUGACUUAGCUAAGGUGCCAAAUUAAACUUAAUUUGCAAGUAUCAAAAGACAUACAUAGUGAUUUUAAAGUCGAUGGCAAUGUUCAAGGUUGACAGAAAACUCCAAUCCUCCAGUGAAGCUGCACCUAAAUAAGUACGUAUUUGCUUGCGCCAUAGUGACCUCCGUGACCCCCCUUUUGCUUGGGGGAUUGACCAUAACCAAUCAAAAGGGACCUCAUGGAGGCCACCACGGCGGACCCAAGGGCAUACUUCUUCUAAGGCAGCUUUACUCGAUCAACUUAGGUUAGACAUUUCCAUCGACUUUAAAAAUUACUAGAUUUGUCUUCUAAGACUUGCAAAGUAAGUCAAUUAACACCUUAGGCAAGUUAAUUAGUGGUGUACAAUAGCUACAAGAGAAACUCAUGUUGAGUGAAAUAACAGAAGACAACAUCUUCAACUAUAUGAAAUUCAAUUUAAGUCUAGUACCGAAGCUCAUUAUUCCUUACCAAUUAAUUGGGAACUCUACUUCUUUAUUAUUAUUUCAUAUCUUUAUGUGCACGGAACUUCUGGCCUUUCUUUGUGUUUUUUAUUUAGUCCCUUCAUCCCUAAACAAAUUAAUCCUCUCUUCAUUAGUCUUUUUUACCCAGAACGCUUUUCACUCUCAAGUUCAGUAAGCUCCCAUCUCUUCAAACCUCCAUUAAUCUUUUCUCUCAUUCUCGCUCAACUCACUCACCAUUCUUCGAGCAAUUCACUCAUAUCUGCACCCUUAAACCCAUGAAUUUGGAGGCAAGUGUCGUGUGCACUCAAAGAAAAGAGAUACACCCAGAACACAUGGAGAGAGAGAACGCAUGUAUCUGCAUAUAUUGAAAAUGCAUUCACUCAAACGACACUUACACAGAAGACACAUUCAGCAAAGACAAUUUGUGAUCUAACAUGUCAUCACAAACACUUACGCGGGAGAUAUCUAAUUGAGUCUCACACACGAUAAUAUAAUUCUUCAAUUUCAGUAUAUGCCUAAUGAAUUCUCCAGCAAUAACCACCAAACUUUCUCAAAUUACCACACUGACAUUACCGAAUUAUUCUAGAGAAUCGAGAGCUUAACACGUGCAAACAUGGGAGGCUUAUUAGAGUCGAGAUUCUUGGAAUUAACUAACAAAUGAAUUCAUCUAGCCUAUGCAACUAGCGCAUUGGAUGAAUAAAACAGAUGAGGUGAUCAUGGUCAGACCUGAGGUUACGUCUAUUAGUAACGCAGUUCAGAUAUUUCAAUGAAUAAUUAGUAAACAUCAAGUCAGAGAACAACACGAUGACAAGUUGGUGGAAAUCAAGACACGUUCAACAUGAAACUAUCAUUUAGAAUUGAGAUCACGGAUAUAAGCUCUGACGUGUAUGAUUUUAAAGCUAGGAAGAACUAGAUUCUCAUCCUCUGUUUUCAUUUUCAUACAUCUAAACCAGAAGAUACUCAGUUAGAUCUAGCGAAAGGUAAUUACCUGCAGCGACGGCUGAUGGCUUUGAACAAAACAAUCACCGAGGCGCUCUAGAAGGCUUGAAUUUGCGAAGGAGUCGAUGGCAGCAACUGGUCGAACUUUUCAUUCAACAAUGGCACUCCAAAAACAGGGACAAGCAGGAAAAUUCCAGAGCAGCUCGGCGAUGACGAACAGCCGCUGUAGGCAGGGUUACGACAUCCUGAAAUGGUGCACCAUGAAUGCUGAUGUCAAUUAACCGUGAAGAAACUCCUGGAAAGCGAUGGGAUCAAAGUGUGUUUAAACUACCGUUAGACCCUCAAUCAGUAUGGUUUUCUCCCCUCAAACCUCGGUCACAUAACUAGGACUUGACCCACCAGAGCAGAGCAGAGAUGCAGUUGCAGUAAUUACCUCGGAGAUGCAGCAGAAGGUCACGAACAACGAUCGAACGGAGAACUCAAAAGUCCCGGGAGCAUCUCCACCGAUGGUCCGGGCUAUGGGGGGAAGAAAUCUCGACUGAGAUCUGAGCUUUCCGGACUACCCUCUGGCGGAACAGGGGCGAAUAGAGAGGUGGUGGAGGUCUGCAAAAUCUAAAACAAAACUCGUGAGAGCUUUCUAGGGACUCAUUGCAACUCCAAAACUGAUGCUCUGUCUUCUUGCUCUGGUGUUCUCUCGGCUAAAGAGUUUCAAAUAUCAGCAAUUACUGUAACUUUUUUUCUCCUAAACCGGACAAGGCAUAUAGAUAUUAUGUUAUUAGUACCAAAGUGCGGGGCCUACUUUAAAGAGUUUCAGAUAUCAACAAUUGAUAGAGACACCCAUUUAUAGUUAAUUUAUCAAAAAGCCCGUUUAUUAAUAUAUUCAUGCCAACACGUAUCUUCUUCCUGAUUUGUUUUUCAAUUAAGGAGAAGACUGUAGCUUCCCGAAAUUGAUGUUGCACUCCGAGCAUGACGACAUUGCUGCCUCGGCCGUAGACACCCUCACUCGCAAAGUCCCGCGAUGCUAACUCCUCAUGCCAAAUCCAACUGCGUUAGACCAAAUUGUUAGAGAAAACUUCCAUGAGUGUUUUGAAGUUGACAAAAUGUUUCAAUCAGUCUAGUAUAAAGACUUGUAGACUCUUUUAUCAAAGUUUGAAGGCUUCCGGACUGCUAGACUUAAGACUCAAAGUCUAUAAUCAUUGACAGUUUUUUAGACCGUCGAAGAAGGCUUAUCCAGAACUGAGUAUUUCGUUAAGGAUUUGAUUCUAUCGAUUGAAGAAGAUCUCUUGGCUGGAUAUAACAUGUCGGAAUCCAUUAUUCAAGUUGAGAUUAAUUCAGGGAUUUUGGAUCCGUUGAUUGGCAAAGUAUAUUUGGAAGGUUCUACUUGUGGAAACCUAGAUCCUGAUUGUAUGGGUGAACAAGAUUGGUGGGCUAUCGUCAUAUUCCUUAAAUAACUCGAAAUCUCCCUAAUUGAUUCUGUCCAACGGGUAGAUUGGAAUAACUUCUUUGGUAAGUGCCAAUGGGUGUGAUGGCAUGAAGGAGUAUAUAAGGAAGACGUUCCAGUUAUUUGAGUGUGUGCGCGAUAGAAGAAUUCCAAAGUCUGAAGCUCUUUGGUCUUAGUCAAUUCAAUCGUUGAGCAAAAUAUUGUACUAAAAAGAGAGUUUAUAUUUUUGUGAGACUUUGAGGAAGUGUAGCAUAGUUUCUACACUGUGAAAUCAAUGAAGAACUAUAUUGUAACAACUCUUUUGAUUCAUAGUGAAAUCCAGCCGGUGGGCUGUCAAUGCAGAAGAGUGGACUUAGGCUUGGAUUAAGCCGAACCACUAUAAACCUUGUGUUCUUAUUCUCUUACCUAAUCUUUUUUACUUUGAUCGUAAUUCAAUUUGAUUAUUAGAGUCUAAUUUCCUUUUCAUAAUCUAUUGCUGAUCAGAGUUGUUUUAAAAGUAAAAUCACUCACUUCACUCUGGAAAAUUUGUUUUCGUGCCUAUUCACCCCCUCUAGAUGCUCGUACUAACUUUCACAGUUGGUAUCAGAGCAUGUAUACUCACUUAAGUUGAAAUGUUUUACUUCAGAGUUAAAGAUUCAUCGCUAGUAUGUUGGCUCCAGGUCUGGUUGAAGGCAAAGUAAUACCAGAACACCUUAUUUUGAUGGAAAGGAAUACAAUAUAUGAAAAAAGAAGAAGAUGAAAGCAUUCCUAAGAUCAAAUGAUCCUUUGGAAUGUGACGUGGUAGACAAAUGAAUCAUUCUUAAAGCUGCAACAGUCUCAAAAAGAGGAAAAGAAACUGUUGAGUCUAGUGAAAUGACUCAAGAAGAGAUAACCAAGAGACAGGCUCUUGAUAUAAAAGUAAUUUAUUCUUUAUAUUGUGCAUUAUCUCCUACUGAAUAUAACAGAAUAUCUUCUUAUGAAACAGCUAAAGAAGUCUGGGAUAGAUUACACAUCACCUAUGAAGGAACUGAUCGAGUGAAAGAAACCAGAAUUAACAUUCUGCUCGGUCAAUAUGAAGCAUUUAAGAUGAAACCAGAAGAAUCUAUCACUGACAUGUUUAGUUGUUUUACAAAAAUCAUGAAUGGUCUUGAAUAUCAAGGUCAACCAAUUUCUGGACCCAUGAAGGUUAACAAGUUACUACGUGGAUUGUCCAAAGAUUGGAAUCACAUAAAGACCUCAAUAAGGGAGACACAAAGAAUUAUGCCACUCUCUGUUGACAAAUUGGUUGGCACUCUUCAGUCUUAUGAAGUGGAGCAAAUCAACGAAGAUGGAGAUCCCAAAGGUAAAAGAUCUAUUGUAUUAAUAACUAAUGAUGAUUCUGAUGUCACAGAUUCUGAAGACGAUAUGGAUGAUGAAGAGCUUGCUCUCAUGAUAAGAAGAUUCAGAAAACUGAACAGAAAGGGGAGAAGAUUUAAUUCAAAGAAACAAAGUUCUCAAAAGUUAUAAAAUAAAUCAGUUGAGGAUGAUGAAUCCAAUAAAGAUGUAGUCUGCUUUGAAUGCAAGAAAAAUGGACACAUCAGACCCAACUGUCCUCUGCUGAAGAGAAAUAAAGGAAAAGCUAAAAAAUAUCGAAAGACGCUUAAAGCAGAAACUUGGAGUGAUACCGAAUGUGAGGAAAGUGAUGAUGAUUAUGCCAAUAUUUGUCUCAUGGCACAAUUAGACUCAGACUUAGACAGUGAAAUCGAAGUAAGUAAUUUAAAAAUUCCUACUAAAGUUUCUAUAUAUAUUGAUGAAUUGUGUCUUAAUCUUAAAACCUCUCUUAAAAGGAUUUCCAAACUUGAAAAGGAAAAUUCUGCACUAAAACAAUAGGAAAAUGUUUGGAAAGAAAAGGUCGAAAGUUUAGACAAAAGUGUUACUACUUUGAAAGAAAAUGCAAACAAUCUUUCAAAAGAAAAUUCAUUCUUAAAAAAUGAUAUCUCAAAUAUUUCUAAAAGAUUUUCUAUAUGAUCUGAGAAACUUGAAAAAAUUCUUUCAGCACAAAGAUCUUACUUCAACAAAUCAGAUUUGGGAAUGACUGCUGAAACCAUUACUCUAAUUGAUUUUCCUAAAGUAAAGGAAAGAAUUAAGCAAAGACUUACAAAAGAUUCUUACAAAAAUCAUUUCCAAAUUUUUUUUGUAAAACUUGUAGGCCGUAGUGCUCUUAAAUAUUCUAAGUGCAAUAGCUCGGAUCAUUUUGAGAAAGAAUGUCCUAUGGUUUGGAAACCUGUUAAGAAGGUAUGGGUAAAGACCGUAUAUUACACUAACACCAAUGGACCCAAGAAAAUAUGGUAACUAAAGAAAGCUUAAGUUUCUUUUCUAAAUGCAUGUCACUAUCAAGAAAAAUGUUAAAUGGUACUUGGAUAGUGGAUGCUCAAGACAUAUGACAGGAGACUCAAAUUGUUUCAUAAAACUUGUGCAAUUAAUGGUGGAAAAGUUUAUUUUGGAGGAAAUAGCAAAUGAAGAAUUGUGGGAUACAAAACUGUAAAGAUUGGAAGCCUCAAGAUCAGUAAUGUUUCCUUAGUGGAAGGACUCAACUACAACUUGUUGAGUAUUAGUCAACUGUGCGACACUGGUUUCAAAAUCAACUUUCAAGAAGGAAUAUAUUCAGGAACCAGUAAAGACUCCUCUCAGUCUUUCACAAGGCGAAGACAUGGGAAUAUCUACCUCUUAGAUAUCAAACCAGAUGAAACCCAAUGUCUAAUCUCAAUUCAAGAGAAAGCAAACUUAUAGCAUAGAAAACUUGGGCACAUCAACAGGAAGCAAAUAGCCAAAAUCUCAGCAAAGAAGCUUGUUCGUAGACUACCCAAACUAACAUACCAAAAGUCUGAUCUAUGCACACCAUGCGUGUUAGGAAAACAAGUAAGAAAUUCAUUCAAACCAAUAAAUCAAGUAUCCACUAACCGUGUACUGCAGCUCUUGCAUAUGGAUCUCUUUGGACCAACCAGAACUCAGAGCAUUGGAGGUAAGAAAUACUGCCUAGUAAUUAUGGAUGAUUAUUCACGAUUCACUUGGGCAUAUUUCUUGGCAAGUAAGUCUGAAACAUUUUCUUAUUUUAUAAAGUUUGCUAAGAAAAUCCAAAAUGAGAAAAUGUAUGUUAUUUCAAAUAUACGGAUAUACCAUGAAGGUGAAUUUGAAAAUCAAGACUUUGCUAAAUUUUGUGAAGAAUCUGUCUUUCAGCAUGUGUUCUCUUCACCAUAUACUCUAAAGCAAAAUGGAGUUGUGGAAAGAAAGAAUAGAUCGCUGCCGGAAAUGGCUAGAACUCUUUUAAUUGAAAGUAACAUCUCUUCUCGUUUUUGGGUUGAAGCAGUUUCUACAGCGUUCUAUAUUAUUAAUAGAGUCUUCUUAAGGUCUAUUCUGGAGAAAACUCCCUAUGAGUUAUUCAAAGGUAAGAAGCCAAUUGUUUCGUAUUUUCAUAUGUUUGGAUGCAAAUGUUUUAUAUUGAAAAAUGCAAAUGAUCGAGUUGGUAAGUUUGAAGAAAAAUUAGAUGAAGGUAUUUUCCUUGGAUAUUCAAUCACAAGCAAAGCUUACAAAGUAUACAACAAAAAGACUCAAUUUGUGGAGGAAUCGAUGAAUGUCAAAUUUCAAGACUUUAUGCAAAAUCAAUCGAUUCAGACUCAACCUGAAGAACCUAAACCUGCUCCAGACUCUACAAAGUCUACAUUUCCAGAAGCAGCUCAGACUUCAGAAGAUUAGCAACAAAUGAUCAUUGAAGAUUCAAAUGGAGGAAAUGAUCAACAGUCUGACAAAUCAACUAGCAACUGGAAGCAUAAGUCCAGUCAUCCCAAAGAUCUCAUUAUUGGUGAUAUUAAUAAAGGAAUUCGCACAAGAUCCAAAAGGCGUGAAGAGUCUAGUGUUGUGGCUCUUAUUUCUGAAAUAGAACCCAAAAGCAUGAAAAAGUUUUAACUGAUGAAAGCUGGAUUGAAGCUAUGCAAGAAGAACUCAGGCAAUUCAAUAUUAAUGAUAUCUGGGAAUUGACUCCAAAACCAAAAGGUAAAUCCCUCAUUGGAGCUAAAUGGGUUUUCAGAAACAAGAUGAACGAGAAAGGAAAAGUCAUAAGAAACAAAGCAAGAUUUGUGGCCAAAUGAUAUACGCAAGAAGAAGGAAUAGAUUAUGAUGAAACUUACGCGACAGUAGCAAGGUUAGAAGCAAUUAGAUUACUUGCUUUUGCUUGUUAUAAGAAUUUCAGGUUAUUCCAAAUAGACGUCAAAAGUGCUUUCCUAAAUGGAUUUAUCCAAGAGGAAGUCUAUGUGGAACAACCUAUCGAUUUUGAAGACCCAAGGAAACCAGACUCUGUAUUCAUACUAAAAAAGGCUAUAUAUGGUUUAAAGUAAGCGCUUCGAGCUUGGUAUGAGAGACUAAGUAAGUUUUUAACUCAAAAUGGCUUUGUUAAAGGUAAAGUAGAUAUUACAUUGUUUAUCAAAAGAGAAAGCAAAAGCUUUUUACUUGUUUAAAUUUACGUUGAUGAUAUUAUUUUUGGAUCUUCUAAUAAAAAUAUGUGCAAGAAAUUCUCUAAGUCUAUGCAGGAUGAAUUUGAAAUGAGCAUGAUGGGUGAACUAACUUUCUUUCUCGAGCUUCAAGUGAAACAACUGAAGGAGGGAACCUUUACUCACCAAGAAAAAUAUGCUAAAGAACUUGUCAAAAAGUUUGGACUAGAGAAUUGCAAAAAGACUGAUAUACAAAUGUCAAAUUCCUUGAAGCUAGACAAAGAUGAAGGAGGAAAGAAAGUUGACUAGAAGCUAUACAGGAUUAUCAUUGGUUUACUUCUUUAUCUUACUGCUUCUAGACCUGACAUUCUGUUUAGUGUUUAUAUUUGUGCUAGAUUUCAAUCAGAUCCCAAAGAAUCUCAUUUAAGUGCUGCAAAACGUAUUAUCAAAUACAUUACCUCAACUUCAAAAUUAGGCCUCUGGUAUCCUAAAGAAGGAGACUUCACUCUUCUUGGAUACUCAGACGCAAACCUAGCAGGAUGCAGAGUUAAUAAAAAGAGCACCUCGGGCACCUAUCAACUACUUGAUAACAGGACAGUGUCUUGGUUUUCAAGGAAGCAAAGUACCGUAGCUCUUUCUACAGCAAAAGCAGAGUAUGUAACUCUUGGAAGUUGUUGUUCACAAAUUCUGUGGAUAAAACAACAGUUAAGAGACUUUGGAAUUGAAAAUUCAUGCACUGAGAUCAAAUGUGACAACACCAGCGCAAUCAAUCUCACCAAGAAUCCAAUUCUUUAUUCAAGAGCAAAACAUAUAGAGAUUCGACAUCAUUUCAUUAGAGAUCAUGUUCAAAAUGGAGAAGUUUUGAUUCAGUUUAUUGAUUCAAAGAAUCAACUGGCGGACAUAUUUACAAAGCCUUUGGAGAAAAAUCAAUUUGAAGUUAUUCGUUCCAGACUCAAUAGCUUAAAGUCUGAGGAAGUUCAGACUCAGGGCUGAAAGUCUAAAGACACUCAGACUUAGACGAUCAAGAUUCACGACUGUAAGUUAUUUCUAUUUUAGAAAUUUAUCUCUCGGAUAAAAUCUCGAAAAUGUACGAUCAUCUAUCUGUAAUUGAUUGAUGUUAUCUUCCCCAGUUUUCAGGAUUAUUGCAAUCUUUCCUUUUCGAAAAAGAAGUUAUUUUUUUUAAAAUGACGGUUAUCUAAUUUUUCAAAAAGGCAGUUAUUUUUGGAAAGACAUUUUUAUUUUUCCUUUUUACGACAUUCCGUAUGCCUUGCUUCGACUGCCUUAUAUAUUAUUGGUUCUUCUUCGUUUUACUCACAAAAACCCUAAGAGAGCACAGAUUGUCAACUUUUUUUUCUUCUCUUGUAUAAUCCUCGAAAAGUUGUCACAUAUCUGNNNNNNNNNNNNNNNNNNNNNNNNNNNNNNNNNNNNNNNNNNNNNNNNNNNNNNNNNNNNNNNNNNNNNNNNNNNNNNNNNNNNNNNNNNNNNNNNNNNNNNNNNNNNNNNNNNNNNNNNNNNNNNNNNNNNNNNNNNNNNNNNNNNNNNNNNNNNNNNNNNNNNNNNNNNNNNNNNNNNNNNNNNNNNNNNNNNNNNNNNNNNNNNNNNNNNNNNNNNNNNNNNNNNNNNNNNNNNNNNNNNNNNNNNNNNNNNNNNNNNNNNNNNNNNNNNNNNNNNNNNNNNNNNNNNNNNNNNNNNNNNNNNNNNNNNNNNNNNNNNNNNNNNNNNNNNNNNNNNNNNNNNNNNNNNNNNNNNNNNNNNNNNNNNNNNNNNNNNNNNNNNNNNNNNNNNNNNNNNNNNNNNNNNNNNNNNNNNNNNNNNNNNNNNNNNNNNNNNNNNNNNNNNNNNNNNNNNNNNNNNNNNNNNNNNNNNNNNNNNNNNNNNNNNNNNNNNNNNNNNNNNNNNNNNNNNNNNNNNNNNNNNNNNNNNNNNNNNNNNNNNNNNNNNNNNNNNNNNNNNNNNNNNNNNNNNNNNNNNNNNNNNNNNNNNNNNNNNNNNNNNNNNNNNNNNNNNNNNNNNNNNNNNNNNNNNNNNNNNNNNNNNNNNNNNNNNNNNNNNNNNNNNNNNNNNNNNNNNNNNNNNNNNNNNNNNNNNNNNNNNNNNNNNNNNNNNNNNNNNNNNNNNNNNNNNNNNNNNNNNNNNNNNNNNNNNNNNNNNNNNNNNNNNNNNNNNNNNNNNNNNNNNNNNNNNNNNNNNNNNNNNNNNNNNNNNNNNNNNNNNNNNNNNNNNNNNNNNNNNNNNNNNNNNNNNNNNNNNNNNNNNNNNNNNNNNNNNNNNNNNNNNNNNNNNNNNNNNNNNNNNNNNNNNNNNNNNNNNNNNNNNNNNNNNNNNNNNNNNNNNNNNNNNNNNNNNNNNNNNNNNNNNNNNNNNNNNNNNNNNNNNNNNNNNNNNNNNNNNNNNNNNNNNNNNNNNNNNNNNNNNNNNNNNNNNNNNNNNNNNNNNNNNNNNNNNNNNNNNNNNNNNNNNNNNNNNNNNNNNNNNNNNNNNNNNNNNNNNNNNNNNNNNNNNNNNNNNNNNNNNNNNNNNNNNNNNNNNNNNNNNNNNNNNNNNNNNNNNNNNNNNNNNNNNNNNNNNNNNNNNNNNNNNNNNNNNNNNNNNNNNNNNNNNNNNNNNNNNNNNNNNNNNNNNNNNNNNNNNNNNNNNNNNNNNNNNNNNNNNNNNNNNNNNNNNNNNNNNNNNNNNNNNNNNNNNNNNNNNNNNNNNNNNNNNNNNNNNNNNNNNNNNNNNNNNNNNNNNNNNNNNNNNNNNNNNNNNNNNNNNNNNNNNNNNNNNNNNNNNNNNNNNNNNNNNNNNNNNNNNNNNNNNNNNNNNNNNNNNNNNNNNNNNNNNNNNNNNNNNNNNNNNNNNNNNNNNNNNNNNNNNNNNNNNNNNNNNNNNNNNNNNNNNNNNNNNNNNNNNNNNNNNNNNNNNNNNNNNNNNNNNNNNNNNNNNNNNNNNNNNNNNNNNNNNNNNNNNNNNNNNNNNNNNNNNNNNNNNNNNNNNNNNNNNNNNNNNNNNNNNNNNNNNNNNNNNNNNNNNNNNNNNNNNNNNNNNNNNNNNNNNNNNNNNNNNNNNNNNNNNNNNNNNNNNNNNNNNNNNNNNNNNNNNNNNNNNNNNNNNNNNNNNNNNNNNNNNNNNNNNNNNNNNNNNNNNNNNNNNNNNNNNNNNNNNNNNNNNNNNNNNNNNNNNNNNNNNNNNNNNNNNNNNNNNNNNNNNNNNNNNNNNNNNNNNNNNNNNNNNNNNNNNNNNNNNNNNNNNNNNNNNNNNNNNNNNNNNNNNNNNNNNNNNNNNNNNNNNNNNNNNNNNNNNNNNNNNNNNNNNNNNNNNNNNNNNNNNNNNNNNNNNNNNNNNNNNNNNNNNNNNNNNNNNNNNNNNNNNNNNNNNNNNNNNNNNNNNNNNNNNNNNNNNNNNNNNNNNNNNNNNNNNNNNNNNNNNNNNNNNNNNNNNNNNNNNNNNNNNNNNNNNNNNNNNNNNNNNNNNNNNNNNNNNNNNNNNNNNNNNNNNNNNNNNNNNNNNNNNNNNNNNNNNNNNNNNNNNNNNNNNNNNNNNNNNNNNNNNNNNNNNNNNNNNNNNNNNNNNNNNNNNNNNNNNNNNNNNNNNNNNNNNNNNNNNNNNNNNNNNNNNNNNNNNNNNNNNNNNNNNNNNNNNNNNNNNNNNNNNNNNNNNNNNNNNNNNNNNNNNNNNNNNNNNNNNNNNNNNNNNNNNNNNNNNNNNNNNNNNNNNNNNNNNNNNNNNNNNNNNNNNNNNNNNNNNNNNNNNNNNNNNNNNNNNNNNNNNNNNNNNNNNNNNNNNNNNNNNNNNNNNNNNNNNNNNNNNNNNNNNNNNNNNNNNNNNNNNNNNNNNNNNNNNNNNNNNNNNNNNNNNNNNNNNNNNNNNNNNNNNNNNNNNNNNNNNNNNNNNNNNNNNNNNNNNNNNNNNNNNNNNNNNNNNNNNNNNNNNNNNNNNNNNNNNNNNNNNNNNNNNNNNNNNNNNNNNNNNNNNNNNNNNNNNNNNNNNNNNNNNNNNNNNNNNNNNNNNNNNNNNNNNNNNNNNNNNNNNNNNNNNNNNNNNNNNNNNNNNNNNNNNNNNNNNNNNNNNNNNNNNNNNNNNNNNNNNNNNNNNNNNNNNNNNNNNNNNNNNNNNNNNNNNNNNNNNNNNNNNNNNNNNNNNNNNNNNNNNNNNNNNNNNNNNNNNNNNNNNNNNNNNNNNNNNNNNNNNNNNNNNNNNNNNNNNNNNNNNNNNNNNNNNNNNNNNNNNNNNNNNNNNNNNNNNNNNNNNNNNNNNNNNNNNNNNNNNNNNNNNNNNNNNNNNNNNNNNNNNNNNNNNNNNNNNNNNNNNNNNNNNNNNNNNNNNNNNNNNNNNNNNNNNNNNNNNNNNNNNNNNNNNNNNNNNNNNNNNNNNNNNNNNNNNNNNNNNNNNNNNNNNNNNNNNNNNNNNNNNNNNNNNNNNNNNNNNNNNNNNNNNNNNNNNNNNNNNNNNNNNNNNNNNNNNNNNNNNNNNNNNNNNNNNNNNNNNNNNNNNNNNNNNNNNNNNNNNNNNNNNNNNNNNNNNNNNNNNNNNNNNNNNNNNNNNNNNNNNNNNNNNNNNNNNNNNNNNNNNNNNNNNNNNNNNNNNNNNNNNNNNNNNNNNNNNNNNNNNNNNNNNNNNNNNNNNNNNNNNNNNNNNNNNNNNNNNNNNNNNNNNNNNNNNNNNNNNNNNNNNNNNNNNNNNNNNNNNNNNNNNNNNNNNNNNNNNNNNNNNNNNNNNNNNNNNNNNNNNNNNNNNNNNNNNNNNNNNNNNNNNNNNNNNNNNNNNNNNNNNNNNNNNNNNNNNNNNNNNNNNNNNNNNNNNNNNNNNNNNNNNNNNNNNNNNNNNNNNNNNNNNNNNNNNNNNNNNNNNNNNNNNNNNNNNNNNNNNNNNNNNNNNNNNNNNNNNNNNNNNNNNNNNNNNNNNNNNNNNNNNNNNNNNNNNNNNNNNNNNNNNNNNNNNNNNNNNNNNNNNNNNNNNNNNNNNNNNNNNNNNNNNNNNNNNNNNNNNNNNNNNNNNNNNNNNNNNNNNNNNNNNNNNNNNNNNNNNNNNNNNNNNNNNNNNCCUGAACUCACUGCUUACUUCUAUUCUAAUCUAAGUUUCUUGGAUACGAAUAGAUUCUCUUUUAGUGUUUGAGAUCAGAACUAUGUAGUUGACAAGGAUACAUUGGCUGAUGUGAUUGGAGUUGAAAGAAGGAAAUUCCAACCAAUCAGUGUGUAUUAGUUGUGCGACGGUAGAGCUUGUUCGAGAUAGAAUGGCGGAAGGAAAGAUUUCAUAUUUGAGGAUGCAUGCCUCAAAUAUUUUGCUUCACAAGAUAGUGAUCAACUGCCUCAGACCCAAAUCGACUUCGAAGACCGAUGUUUCAAACUCGAAGGCAAAGCUAAUGUAUGCCAUUAACGCUGGCAAAAAGUUCUCUCUUCCACACACUAUUUUGUUCCACAUGUAUAGAACGAUGGUGAAAGACAAUGGUCAACUUCUUUACUUCGCACUUGUCACUAAGUUAUUCAAACAUUUGAACAUUCAGCCUCUCAGGAUUCUUUGUGUUCGAACAUGCGAUCAAAUGGUGGUGGGACUGAAAAUGGUCUCUAAAAUGCGUCUGAAGGAACUUAACAAGACUUUGGAGCGAUUCAAGGAUAAAACCCCUGUCAAGACUCAUCCAGUUUCUUCAGCUGCAAAACGGAAAGGGAAGGACCCCAUGGUUGCUUCAUCCAAGAAAAGAAGAGCACUCAUCUUGGAGGAUGAAGAGGAUGAUGAUGAUAUCACAAUUUCUGCUCUUGCUUUGAAAAACUUAAGUCGUUCUGUUCCAAAGACAGAGGUGAGACAAGAACAGGAUAAGGAGGAGAUCGAACAAAGGAUCGGAGAGAGAGAAUCAAUGGAGAAAGAAGUAGAGGAAGAAAGGAUUGCUGAAGAAGAAGAAGAAGAGGGCAGGGGUGAACAAGAGGAAACAGAGCAUGAAGAGUACUUCUCACCACCUGAAGGCAAUGAAACAGGGGGGGAUUCUGAGAAAAGAGGUAUAUCUUCAAUUGCUGCUACUAGUGAAGGAAUAAGUCGUUCACCUUGCAGAUUCAGAAGACAUUUAUGCCUCUCAAUUCCCUGAGGAAUGCUAUGAGGUUUCAUCGCCAAAUCUAAGUGAUCGUGCUGACUUGCCAUCAUCUGUCAAUACACCUACUAAUCGUGCAAAAGCCAGUACUUAGACUGAUAAUUCAGCAGAUUUUCGCAGAGUGCUUGAUGUUCUUAUGGAGAUGCAAUGCCAAAUUUAUGCUCUGGGAUGCGAAGUUUAGAACUUGCAGAAUGCAGGUCAAGCCUCUUCAAUUUCUUUACAUGAUCAAAUUCAUGCCCUUACUCUUCAAGUUCAAGCAAAUGCCAAGGGUGAAGAUGUGGCUCAACUGAAGGAGGAUUUGAAAAAGCUGAAAGGGAUUGUCUAGUCAAUGGGAGAUUUCCAACUUGUUCGUGUUCCAAAGCAAUCCUAAUUCCAUUCGCUUUUCAUCUCUACCUUUUUAAUGCUGACAAAAAGGGGGAGAGAUGUGGUGCAAAUUUGAGAUUUGAGAUUUGAGAUUUAAACUCUUGACUUUUUGAUUGACUUUACUUUUGUGUUUGGCUGUUUGGUUGUGACUGGAUUUUGAUUUGGAUUGUUUGAUCGUUUGUUUAUUUUGAGCACUAUUGGUAUUUCAUGGCAAAGAUAGAUGCUUAUUUACAUGACUAACUUAAUUCCUGUGGAUGCAGAUUUUAAUGUUAUCCUUAUUAAGCCAAUUAUCUUUUGUGAGAUAUCCAUGUUUGCUUGAGUAUUGUUUUGCAGGUCAAAGUUAUCCAAAUCUGCAAGAAAGUUUUGUCACCAUAAAAAAAGGAGGAGAUUGUUGGAGAAAACUUCAUUGAGUGUUUUGAAGUUUAAAAAGGUUUCCAUUAGUCUAGUCUGAAGACUUGCAGACUCUUUCAUCAAAGUUUGAAGGCUUCCGAACUGCUAGACUCAAGACUCAAAGUCUAUCCUCAUUAACAGUUUUCUAGACCGUCGAAGAAGGCUUAUUCAGAAUUGAGUAUUUCGUUAAGGAUUUGAUUCUAUCGAUUGAAGAAGAUCUCUUGGCUGGAUAUAGCAUGUCGGAAUCCAUUAUUCAAAUUGAGAUUGAUUCAGGGAUUUUGGAUCUGUUGAUUGGCAAAGUAUAUUUGGAAGGUUCUACUUGUGGAAACCUAGAUCUUGAUUGUAUGGGCGAACAUGAUUGGUGGGCUAUCGUCAUAUUCCUUAAAUAACUCGAAAUCUCCUUAAUUGAUUAUGUCCAACGGAUAGAUUGGAAGAACUCCUUUGGUAAGUGCCAACGGGUGUGAUGGCAUGAAGGAGUAUAUAAGGAAGACGUACCAGUUAUUCGAGUGUGUGUGCGAUAGAAGAAUUCCAAAGUCUGAAGCUCCUUAUUCUUAGUCAAUUCAAUUGUUGAGCAAAAUAUUGCACUCAAAAGAGAUUUUAUAUUUUUGUGAGACAUUGAGGAAGUGUAGCAGAGUCUCUACACUGUGGAAUCAAGGAAGAGCUAUACUAUAACAACUCUUUUGAUUCGUAGUAAAAUCCAGCCGGUGGGCUGUCAGUCCGGAAGAGUGGACGUAGGCUUGGAUUAAGCCGAACCACUAUAAACUUGUAUUCUUAUUCUCUUACCUAAGCUCUUUUACUUUGAUCGUAAUUUAAUUUGAUUAUUAGAGUCUAAUUUCAUUUUCAUAAUCUAUUACUGAUCAGAGUUGUUUUAAAAGUAAAAUCACUCACUCUGGAAAAUUUGUUUUCGCACCUAUUCACCCCCUCUAAGUGCUCGUACUAGCUUUCACACAAAUGACCCAAUUCAAGGGUAGCCUAAAUUUGGUGGGUCGUGUUUGAUUUUGAGCUGCUCCAUUGUAAUUGAAAGAAAAAAGGGUUUAGUAAGCAUUUCUCUUGCUUGAGGAAUUUCUCUCCAAUAGUUAGCAACGUUACAUAAUCAUGGCUAGCAAGCAUGGCCACUUCCACCAAACCUCUCCAAAGCUUUGGGGUUGUAUAUGUUUUUUUUUUCUUUGGUGACCAAGGAUCUGUCAGAGCAUGCCUUUGUCGGCUUACGCCAAUUUGGAGUCUCAUAGGCCUCCGCAGUGGAGGACCUACAACAACUAUACCUCGAGGAAAAUGGCCUAGCAAGCCACUGCCGGGGCCCCCGCUUGAAUCGCUAGCAAUGCAGGGUUUCGAACUCUUAACCUCCAUGCGUUGGAAGGGGAGCUCUCAAUCAACUGCACUGCCCACGGGUGAGUUUUAGGUAGUAUACGUUAGUCCCCAAUUUUUCUACUAUUAUCUAAUACCCUCUUAACUUUCAUUUUGUUUGAACUGUAAAGGCUCAGUUAUUUUUUCGUUAACCUAUUCAAUGCACGUGCCUUUCAAAAGAUGGAAGUAUUUUUUUCAUCUCUUUUUUUUUUUUUUGAGAAAAUCUCUCGUUUACUCUUAUUUGAUAUAAACUAAAUGAAAAAUAUAUAAAAUUAAAGAAAAAUAAAUUGUGUAUAAUACUAAUAAUAAAAAUAAAUAAAUAUCUAUAAGUUGCGUCUGAUCGUCCAAAUUUCAAUUGGAAUAAGAUUGAAUAAAUGGGAAUUUGAAAUCCUCCAAAUAUCCCUGGAUUGUAAAAAUAUCCCAUCAUAUGUUUUUUGGUAACUAAGAUAGGAUUUGAAAUAUUUUUAAAAAAUAUUUGAAAAUAUUUAGCGUUUGAAAAUCUUUGAAAUUCCCAUCUCCUUAGGGCUUCAAACCUUUCCGAUCACGUGGUUAGUUGGAAAUUCGAUCUCGAUGCAUGACGGUUCCCAACCGGCACGAGUUCACAUAAUUUUUGGAAAAGCCUCGUGGAUAACGAGAGGCACUUCUUGUGGGUUGUACAACCGGACUUCAUCACCAAAGAAGGCCCGUGAGAGGAGAUUCCACAUCACGGUGCCAUUGUGGCAUUCUUGAUGCACAUCAAUUGGAACUCCAUGCGUGAGAGAAAGGUCCCCACGAAGCCAAUGGUGUGUUGGCCGUUCUUUGUCGACCAACUAGUGAACAGGCGGCUUGUGAGUCACACGUGGAAGGUUGAGCUCGACAUGAAGGACAUAUGGAAUUGGAAUGGAAAGGAUGAUCUAUGCGUUGGUGGUGACAACUAACCUAGUAAGGUGACAAUGAUCAUGCUAUGGUUGGAAGUGAUGUUGAUAAGCUAUCUUGGUGGUGUCCUUGUGCAAUGCUGCCGACAAAGCAAUAUAUGAUGCGUCACUCUAUUAGUGAUUUUUUUAUAAAAAAAUUAUAUCUAAUUCGGGAUUAUCCCAUCCCCUAGACUGGAUUUCUUAUUCGGUAUUUUGUCUGAAUGUAUCCAAGUUUAUAUGGUUAUGAAAACGUCACCAAAUAUCGAAUAAGAUAAUUUGUUAUACCACCAGAUUCAAAAUUAGACUACCAAACACAACCAUAAUUAUAUUAAACGGUAAGAAUUUGUUACUAUUUAAUAAAAAUAGCCACUCUGAUAUAACUAAAUAAGAAAUUUUAAGAAUUAUAAUAAACAACAACUAAACGAAAAGGGAAAAGGCCUCGUAAGAUCAUGUGACAAAAUUUGCUUUCAUCGUUAUGUAUAUUUCGGGGGUUAAUUAAUGUAAAUUUGAUUGAUUAACAAAGAAUUUUACAUGAAGAAUAAUCGAUCCCUUGCAAAUUGUGACCCUUUCAAAGGUAAUCCUUAAGGAAGAGCUUUACAUAUGCGCGCGCAACACAUAUAUGAUGGGCAUCGUGAACUAAAAAGUGCCUUCGCAUCUAUAAUAAUUCAAAAAUUUCAAAAAUUUCAAAAAAUUAUAUUUUGUUUUUAGAUAAGUUUGCAAAUUAGCACCUUCUCGGAUGCGAAGGCAGAUAUAACUCGCUCCAUUUUCGGCUCAUACAUCAUAUUUCUCCCUUGCAGAACUAAUUUUUUGGUUAUGCAAAACUAAAAAAAAAAAAAAAAAAAAAAUUUAUCUUAGGCUCUAAUCAUAUCAUAUUACAAAAUUAUUUUAGAUAAAUUUGCAGAUAUGAAUUGCAGACCUAAAUUUUUAGGCCUGAAUCAUAUCAUAUAACAAUUACCACUUUCUUUGUGUAGGCUACUCUCACCUAUAUCAUUUUAAAUAUGAACCUUGAGCUAUUUUGCUGUUCCUACAUAUUUACUUUCUUUUGGGCUGUAUUAUAUGCGGUAGAAUUUCUUAAUCUUUAGAAUCUGGGACAUAAAAGAGGACAUACAUAUAGUUGGGCCGCAUGCAGGGGGGAAGUUGGCAAUCGAGUUUGGUCCAAGAUCCAAUUAUGUAAUUAAUUAUGGUUCGCAUUUCAUUAAAUUAGGAAAAAAUAAACAAAAUCCCUCUGACUUUUAUGGGUUGUACUGCCCUCAAUUUUUUGACUACCACGUAAUAUUGGAACAAUUUUUCAAAAAAUCAUAAGUUUAUUGUAUAAUGACUACUUCAAUCAUAAACAUUUCGAUUGUGUCAAUGUAGUUGUAGACCUUUAAACAAUUUGUCAAACUAGUCUUCAAUCUUUUAACGAAUUGUUAAUUUAGUCAUUCAAACUAAUGUAGACCAAAUGUCAUUGGCAUGACAACCCCAUUACUGCCAAUCUUCCUAUGUGUCACAUGUGAUGAUAACAUAGACAAUUUUUUUAAUUAAAUUCAAUUUUUAUUUCAUUUUAUUUCAUUUUUUCUCCAUUUUUUUUUUAUACAUGGCCUACAGUAGUCAAGAGCUAGUAACCUUUGUCAGCCACCAAAUAAAGGUUAGCAGAGUCACUGGGAAGGGCUUGUGAGCCAUUGCUCAUUGCCAACAAGGGUGUUGCAACCUUUGCCAACCCCAACGAGGGCGUCAUGGCCCUCCCCCAAGCCACUGUUAGUGAGGGCCUAGGUGAGAGCUUGCAAUGCCCUUUACCAAACCUAGUGAGGGCCAUAAUGCCCUCGAUAGAUCUAGUCAGGCAAAGGCAUCGUGACCCUUGCUUCAACCCUCAUUGCCACAGCAAGGGCUUGUGAGCCCUUGCCAGAUCUAGUGAGAGUCGCUGCCCACCUAGUGAAGGCUUUGUGGGCCUUGCCUAGGAGUUGCGAGACCCCUUUAGCCAUGUGAAAAAAAAAAAAAUGAAAGAAAAGAAAAUAUUAAUAAAUUGAUAAUUCUUUAAAAGGUUUAUGACUAGUUUGACAAAUUGUUUAAAUGUUUAAAAUAAAAUUAGCAUAAUAAAAAAUUGAAUUGAAUUGAUAAUCAUAAAAUAAUUUUAAAAUUUUUUAGACAAGUUUCUCACCGAAUAACUCAUGUACUUUUGUUUUCUCAUGUCCCAUGAACCCUGCACUUGAGGUCCUACCUCGCGAGUCUUCUAUUUUGCUGUAAGUGCACAAAAAAUCUGCCAUUGAAAGGACAGAUGAUUUGUAUUAAACGAUUGAACCCGAAAUGAUGCCACUUCACUGUCCCACUUACGAUAAUAAUCAUAUCAUUGUCAAAUCUUGCUAGCUUUUGGUGGAUAUUUCAUUGGGAGAUAGGUCUUUUUUGUAAUGGUAUCCGUCUAGAUUCUGGACCGUCCCUGACUCCAUCAGAGAAAAUCCACGUUCGUGACGGCUCCGGGGCCGACACUACACGUGUCGCUAGGCCACAAGCCCCGCCAAAAUGAUGCUUUUUUGACACAUGUUGAAAUGUAACCCGUUAGAAUGAUACCCUCCGACAACAUCAUUCUUAGCCGCAUGAUAACCUUAUCGAUCAGCGCCAAUCAUGCCCCCAGUUUGACAAUGCCCUCAUUUUUUUUUCCUAACCCAAUAGCAUGGGCACGAAAACCCUUUUUUUUUUUUUUUUUUUCUAAUCCAAUGGCAUGGGCACGGAAAACCAAUUACUUGGACAACUAUGAAACAACUUGCAAGCCUCAUGGAAUUGAACUACUGUAAAUUGAUAAAUAAAUAAAAAAGAUAGUUGGUGAUAGGCAAACCGUCAAUUCAAACUAAACAAAGAUUCUUUUUUAGAAUGUUAUCUUAAUUCAAAUUUAGACUACCAAAAAAAAUAACAUAAUUAUUUUAAAUGGUAAGAGUUUGUUAGCUUUUAAUAAAUACAGCCACCCUAAUAUAAAUAAAUAAAAAAUUGAGAAAAUUCCAAAUAAGAGCCUAAGAUGUCUUCAUUUUUUCAAAUAAGGAUAUAAAGUAGACAUUGUUGCGUAUAAAGAAUUGAAGUGUUAUCAUUUUCUUAAAUAAGAGCCUAAAGUAAUCAUACCAGUUUCAAAUAAGGAUCUGAACUCAUUGUAUGGUGAAUGACAAUUUCGUCUUAUAAAUAUUUUCCAUUUCUCCUUUCUUUUUUCUUUUUUCCAAACUCAAAAAAAUUAAUUAAAAAAAAAAGAACACACACAAGAGGAAGGGCUCCCUCCUAUCUAUGGCCAUUGCCACAUAAUUAGUGGGGCGUGUGGCAAUGGCUGAUGAAGUCAUCGACCCUAGGCAAAGACCCUGGCUUGGGGGUUGAUGACCUCAUCGGCCACCACCACCGCCCCACUAGUGAUGAGGCGGCGGCCACAGGAGGGAGGGCCCUCCCACCUCUAUUUUUGCUUUUUCUUUUUCUUUUAUAAUUUUAAUCUUAUUUAAAUUGUAUUCUGAGGAAAUACUUUUGCUCGAUCGGAAUUUUUUAACGGUUGGCAAGUCAGCAAAACUAGGCCCUUAUUUGGAACAACCGUGACUACUUUAGAUACUUAUUUGAGAUUGAUAUAGCCACUUCAAGCCUUUAUUUGAAACAAAGUCUACUUUAAACCACUAUUUGAGAAAAUUAUGGCAUUCGGGCUUUAUUUUUGGAAGUUUUCCUAAGAAAUUUUAAGAAAUAUAAUAUACAACAACUAAAUAAAAAGGGAAAAGGCCUCGAUAACAUAAAGAUCAUGUGACAAAAUUUGCUUCAAUUGUUGUACGGUGAUAAAUUCAAUCUUAAACCUUUCGAUUGUGUUAAUUUAGCUAUAGUCUUUUAAAUGAAUUGCCAAACUAGUCUCAACCUUUUAGCAAAUUUUCAAAUUAGUCAUUUCGGUUAAUUUUGAUCGAACAUCACAAAUGUGACAACCCAAUCAGCGCUGGCCCUUUUUUACACAUGGCCAGCAGAGCCAGCCACUGGCCAAGAGACAGCAGUCUACAUUGGCCACUGAGCAAAGGCCAGUGGGGCUGCUUGUCACUAGAGAGGGCUUCGCAACCCUUCAAGCCGUCACUGAUCCUAGUGAGAGUGUCACGGCUCUUGCCUAGGCCAUUGUUGACCCUAGCGAGGGCUAGGGCAAGAGCUUGUGAUGCCCUCGCCAAACCAAAAAAGUGUCGUGACGCCCUUGACAGAUCUGGUGAGGUGAGGGUAUUGCGGCCCUUGCCAAAGUCCUCGUUGCCACAGCAAUGGCUUGUGAGUCUAACGGGGAGGUGAAAUUUGUAAGCUUGCGAUCUCCGAUAACUUCUGUUAGAUUCAAAUUCUCUAGUGUUCAAGGUUGUGAAAGCCAACUUGUGUUUGGAUAUUACAACUUUUUGAGAUUAAAACGUUCUAAGAGGUUGUGUUUGGAGUCGAUACUGAGGGAGAAUUGUUUGCUAGUUGAGAAACUUUCUCCUUCUGAAUGCACUUACGGUGCGCUUCAAAAUGGAGACGUGCCGUUACUGACACCAGCUGUUUUGGACUCUUCGCGAGAGGUAUUAUUCUCUUUAUCAUUUUCUUCUCAGAAUGUGCAAUUUCUCUGUUCAGGAGUUAGGGUUGUGGAGCAAUAUGUGCAUGAUUUUCUGUUGUUUUUGGUAUCUCAACAUUAACAAUUCUUCCAUGAACCAAUUUCUUAAACUCCCCCCCACCCUUCCCUCUUCUCUGUCGGCAUGCGCACGUGCACACGCACACACUUUUACUUUGUGCUUAGUAUUGUGGUUGUUACUUAUGUAAAACCAGUAUUAAUUGUCCUAAGCUUAACUGAUCAGGGUCUACAGAAGCUGACCGGUGAAGCAAUGCGGCCCUCGGAUGUAUCUAGAGAUAAUGACGACAUUAAUGGGGGAAAUUCUUCAGGUUCUGAUGCAGAGUACAUGAAGCUUCUUCCGUUUGCUCUGUCCUUUUCCGCUGCUCCUACUUUCUUUCUGAGAUUGCACCUGAAGCUUCUUAUGAAUCAUAGUGUCUCCAAAAUUAGUUUUGUUGAGCUUAAUCAGGAGAAGAGCACUGAAACUGCAAGAAUUUUGGCUCAAUCUAACAUCGCCAUAGAUGACUGCUCAAAGAAUGAUGUGGGAUUCCAUGCUAGCCAAGAAGUUCCAUCAAGAGAAAGUCCUUGUGAUAGGUACUUGCAUUGUGCUAAAGAUGAUCAAGCUGUUCAGCUAGUUGUUUGCGGGGGUACAGAUUUGAGGACCCCUGAGGAUAACCAAAGCAGUGAUCUUCAUGCUGGCAGGAUUCACAGUGGUAAUGCUGUAGUUGGUGAUGAGGUUGGCCAGGUGCAGGAAGGGCAAGGAAACUAACGCAGCAUCAGAGAAAACGUCAAGGCCUCUGCUUGGUGGGGAGAGGAUCACAAAUGGUGCUUGUCCUUCUUUGAAUGGUAUUAAGAUAGAUACUCCCCAUUAUAAUGAAGGUGAUAAGCCUGCCAAUGAUGGAUCCCUGCGUGGUUUGCCGCCUACUGGUAUGGCUUGCGAUAUGAAUGGGCAGCCUCGUUCCCAGUCCAAAUCCCACCGCACCAAGAAUCGUAUGGGCAUCGCAGUAGAAGUAGGUUCAUUUUAUGGACACUUCUCACGUGGUUGGGUCAGAUGCAAAAUCAGACGGUUCCCUGAAUAGUUUUGGCAAUGGACCGAAGAAACCACGGACACAUGUUACUUACUCAUAUCCUUCUGGAGUUUCAGUUCAAGUUCAAGGCCACAGCAGAGGAACAUUCCUCACAAAGAAUCAGGAACUCAAUGAAGAGGGCCUCGAUGUCGCCUGAGUUCCUCAAAAAACUGGGAGUUGUUAUCGUGUCAUGCGACUUGUUAAUUACAGUGGGGGACAGAAUGGAGAAGAGAGUGGGGCAGAGGUGGUACUUGAACUUGUUGAGAAUGAAUGGAACCUUGCAGUAAAAGUUUCAGGAACCAAUAAAUAUUCUCAUAAAGCACAUCAGUUUCUGCUGCCUGGGUCCACUAACAGGUAUACACAUGCUAUGAUGUGGCGAGAAGGGAAACAGUGGACACUCGAAAUUUCAGACAGAAGCCAAUGGGCUCUUUUCGAGGAAAUGCAUGAAGAGUGUUACAACCGAAACUUCCGUGCUGCAUCAGUCAAGAACAUUCCGAUUCCUGGUGUCUACGUGGUAGAAGAUUAUGAUGAUAAUGGAAUGGAGCUGUCAUUUCGCAGUUCUGCUAUCUACUUCCAGCAGGUUGAAACAGAUAUUUAAAUGGCCUUGAAUCCAUCUCGUGUCCUAUAUGACAUGGAUAACGAUGAUGAGUGGUGGAUUUCAUCUCGUCAAAGUUCUUCAGAUGUUAAUGAUAAUGGCUAUGGGCAGAUAUCUGUGGAGAUGUUUGAGAGGACAAUGGACAUGUUUGAGAAGAAAGCUCAUGCUCUACAGCGUGACCAUUUCACAUCCGAGGAAAUGGACGAUUUGCAGUUAGGUGCAGGACCAGUUGUAAGAGGUAUUUAUGAACAUUGGCGGCAGAAGAGGCAAAAGAAGGGAAUGCCAUUGAUUCGACUUCUUCAGGUACCUUUUAAAAUCCUUUUUAUUGUCGUUUAUUGAUUUUUUCCAGAUACACAUUUAUGUGAGUUGCUGCAUUUAAUUUGGCUUUCUGCAAUUACUGUUAAUCUGCCAUCGGGAACAAUUUCCGUCACUCGGUUUUCCAGAUGAACGUUUCCUUGUUGAGAUGCUCAUUUUGUUUUAUUUGGGGUGUACUUUGUUUGAGUGAAUUGCAAAGGAUUGUCGGGGGACCUGUUGGUAUGUGAUUGCUUUGUUCCUCUCUUCCAUGCCCGUUUCAUUUUUAUCUUUUCCUGGAGUCGUUCUUUGGAAUUUUGUCUGAUAUGGGGCUGCUUUCUGCUCUGGAGCAUGUGGAAAUAUCUGGUUUUUGUGAUCUUCCUUUUUCGUUCUUGCAUAAUUGUUAUAUAGUAAUAUCAACUUCUUAGGCCUUCAUGCAUGAUGGUAAUGCUUGGUUUUUCAAUUAAUAGGGCAUUGAGCAUGAAUAAAGAAACAAAUAGCCUUUGAAAUUAGCUCUUAAUUAGUUCAGUUAUUAAUUAGUUGGUUAGACAUAUUAUUCAAAAUCAGAUGCUAAUUUGUAUGUCUCUUUUUUGUUAAUUAGAUCUUCCUGUCAUGAUUAAUCCUGUCUGUUACCUUUGUGUGCACAUAGUGUGCACUCUUUUGAACUUGUGAUUUAAAUGUCAUGGUAUCAAUUAUUCAAUUCAUGCUCAUGCUUUGCAGCCACCGUUAUGGGAAAUGUACCAGCAGCAGUUGAGAGAGUGGGAGCUAGCUUUGAAUAAAGGGAACUCUGCUGCUUCUGAUGGAUGUCAGAAGGCCUCAGCUGCUGAAAGACCUCCCAUGUUUGCUUUUUGUAUGAAACCUGGGGGCUUAGAAGUCCCUAAUAAAGGCUCAAAGCAAAGGUCGCAAAAACGAUUCUCAGUCACGGGGCAAAGCAAUGGUUUUCAUGGAGAUCAGGACAGUUUCCAUGCUUUUGGUAAGUUAUGUGAAUUUUACUAAGCGGAACACUUUUAGGUUAUUUUUUCUUGGAUCCAGAAUCUUGACGUCGUUAUCUUUUUGUUCCUGUCAGGGAGGAGAUUGAACGGACCUAGUUUUGGAGAUGAUAGGGCCGUCUAUUUGGGACAUAACUAUGGACAUGCAGACAAUUCUCAAAUGGCACAGACGUCUCCAUUGGGAUAUUCUCCACGAGAUGUCCCUGGCCAGGGAUAUUUUCCAAUUGGCAAUGAUGGAUUCAAUCGAAAUUAUCCUCCGAGACUACAGAGAUAUAAGUCAAAGAAGUCGUGCUGUUGCAUCUCCUCGACAUUCACAGGUGGUCACUGCCUACAGCAGGGGAGCCACGGGCAGUAAUAAGAAUACCCAUCACUGGAAUUCUCAUCAACAGUUUUCGUCUGAAGGCUCUCAGAGACCAUCUAGUGAGCAGUGGGACCGGACGGAUAUGGAUGAAUAUAAAUUGUUGGAUGCAUCUGGUGCAGCACGGUAUGCAUCUAAUUUAGCUAAGCUUAAGAGAGAGAGGGCACAGAGACUUCUUUGCAAAGCAGAUGUAGCAGUUCACAGAGCUGUGGUUGCUCUCAUGACUGCUGAAGCGAUGAAAGCGUCUUUGGAGGAUAGGAAGGAUGAUGGGUAGGUUAUCUGAAGAUUAUCAGUGAACAGAUUGGUAUAUUUCUCAAUUUGACCCCCGGAGAAUGUGCAGAUGGAAUGAAAAUAUUUCUCUUGAGGCGGGAGCUGGUCCAAGAUUUAUCAGAUGCUGGUGCGCCUUUCACCAAGCACAGUUUUUGAAGGAAAAGUUUGUGGAGAGGGUAUUCAUAGAGAUAUAUUUGGUUAUCACAUUUAAUUGUCGAUAUUUUGGCAGUUUUCUAGUCCAUCCUUGCAAUACCUUAGUGAGAUUCCAGUAGUCUCUUACACCAGCAGCAAGUGUAUGCCUCAUUAGUGCUGCUUGUCGUGUUUAUUUUGCAAGAGCAUUGUAUAGAAUCUUUUGCUACCAUUCUCUGUACAGUCAGCCCACCCCCUCUACCAAUUUAGAAAGGAAAUGAAGAGAGAUUUACCAAACGUAAUUGGUUUUGGCAAGAAUUUGGUUGAUGCUCUGAGUCUGUUCUCCUUAGAUAUCCUUGUCAUCAUCUGUGGCUUCGAAUAGCAGAAUGACAAAUUACCAUGCGAUACCUUUUUAUCUUCUCUUGUACAUAGGGCGAUGAGUCUCUGAAGCUUGUGGCCUCUUUUUCGCUUCUUGAGCAAUCACUGCAUUUGAUCUGUGGCAUUUAGAUUAUGUAUUAAGCUUAUGUUGGAAGAUACGCAAGAUAUCUUCAGAUCGCAUUGAAUAUUUCUCAGAUCAAUUAAGAUCAAAUCAGGGAUCAAUUAAUAUCAAGUCUAGUUUGUACAUUAUUUAGUUCCCUUUCUCAUUAUACAUGUCUUGUAAUAUAAACAUUGAUAUUGUACGUACAGACAUAUACAGAGAAUACUCAAAAACUUCUCUUCUCAAUUUUCCCUUUUCAUAUUCUUACAUGGUAUCAGAGCCCUUAUGGUUCUGACAUAGCUUCCGCACUUGUCUUUGAAUUGCCUUCCAUGAUCUUCUGUUCUUGGCUGUCGUUACACUUGCAAACCAAAACAGCAUCCGACAGGAAUUCUUGAUUCUUCGCUCUUUGGCCAAUCUGCAGAACAGAGUUACUGCAGAAUUUUUUUCUUCAUCAUGACAAACCCAGAAACACUUCGCCCAAGCCCUCCACUACGCCUUACGAUCCGUGAGGCACUUCGCGAAAGCCAUGGCUCGCGAGAUGGAGGCGGCAAACUGGAACCUCGACGAGGCCAUCCCAUUCAUCAAGCCGCAAGCAAGGUUCGCGAAGCCCGGCCACCGGCACUUCGCCAUCGAAUCGUUCGAGGCCAGAUCGAUCUUCGAGGGCUUCAACUUCCCCGACGGAGGAAGAGCUCGGUUCUGGCGGAGGCGGUGGCGGUGGCGGUUUGGAGCAACGACGCCCUGGACGGCCGAGCGAGCGGCGGCAAGAGGUGGUGACGGUGGCUUGGGGACGGCGGCGAGGAGCGGCGUGGACGGCGCGACAGCUCGUCGGGCUCAACGGCGAGACGGCUUGUCGGACGAGCGGUGGGUGGUGGUGGUUCGGUGGCCAAGAGGUGGUGGUGAGUAGGGCGUGGGGCGGCGGUGUGGUGGUGGGUGAAGCAGCAGCUACCAAGAGGAGGAGGAAGAAGAAGAAGAAGAAGAAGAAGAAGAAGAGGUAGGGUUUCGGCCGAGAGAGGGGGAAAGAGGAGAGAGAGAGAAGAAAAGAAAAAAGUUGGGGGGGCAAGAAGUGACGUGACGAGGGAAAAGGGGAGAAAAGAAAGAGAGAGAGAGAAAAGAAANNNNNNNNNNNNNNNNNNNNNNNNNNNNNNNNNNNNNNNNNNNNNNNNNNNNNNNNNNNNNNNNNNNNNNNNNNNNNNNNNNNNNNNNNNNNNNNNNNNNUUUGAACGGACCUAGUUUUGGAGAUGAUAGAGCCAUCUAUUUGGGACAUAACUAUGGACAUGUAGACAAUUCUCAAAUGGCACAGACAUCUCCAUUGGGAUAUUCUCCACGAGAUGUCCCUGGCCAGGGAUAUUUUCCAAUUGGCAAUGAUGGAUUCAAUCGAAAUUAUCCUCCGAGACUACAGAGAUAUAAGUCAAAGAAAUCUGGUGCUAUUGCAUCCCCUCGACAUUCACAGGUGGUCACUGCCUACAGCAGGGGAGCCACGAGCAGUAAAAAGAAUACCCUUCUUUGGAAUUCUCAUCAACAGUUUUCGUCUGAAGGCUCUCAGAGACCAUCUAGUGAGCAGUGGGACCAGAUGGAUAUGGAUGUAUAUAAAUUGUUGGAUGCAUCUGGCGCAGCACGGUAUGCAUCUAAUAUGGCCAAGCUUAAGAGAGAGAGGCCACAGACACUUCUUUGCAAAGCAAAUGUAGCAGUUCACAGAGCUGUGGUUGCUCUCAUGACUGCUGAAGCGAUGAAAGCGUCUUUGGAGGAUAGGAAGGAUGAUGGGCAGGUUAUCUGAAGAUUAUCAGUGAACAGAUUGGUAUAGUUCUCAAUUUGACCCCGAAGAAUGUGCAGAUGGCAUGAAAGUAUUUCUCUUGAGGCGGGAGCUGGUCCAAGAUUUAUCAGAUGCUGGUGCACCUUUCAUCAUGCACAGUUUUUGAAGGAAAAGUUUAUGGAGAGGGUAUUCAUAGAGAUAUAUUUGGUUGUCACAUUUAAUUGUCGAUAUAUUGGCAGUUUUCUAGUCCAUCCUUGCAAUACCUUAGUGAGAUUCCAGUAGUCUCUUACACCAGCAGCAAGUGUAUGCCUCAUUAGUGCUGCUUGUCGUGUUUAUUUUGCAAGAGCGUUGUAUAGAAUAUUUUGCUACAUUCUCUAUACAGUCAGCCCACCCCCUCUAUCAAAUAAGAAAGAAAAAAAGGAAAUGAAGAGAGAUUGACCAAACGUAAUUGGUUUUGGCAAGAAUUUGGUUGAUGCUCUGAGUCUGUUCUCCUUAGAUAUCCUUGUCAUCAUCUGUGGCUUCGAAUAGCAGAAUGACAAAUCACCAUGCGAUACCUUUUUAUCUUCUCUUGUACAUAGGGUGUUGUACUUUAGCUAGUUAGCUAGUACGUCCAUGAUGGGGUGCGAUUGGACCGCACCAAUUGGACUUGAUAUGCUACGAUGGAAAGGCACAAAUGGAGGGGUACGAAGGGAGACGUAUAAAAGGCUCCCGAACAUAACCGUUGGAUUAGUUGGCAAUUCAUUCGUACCAAAUUUUCUCUCCAUUUCCAUCAAAGAAGAUCAAUGCAUUCCAUUUCAUCUUUGCAAGAACAAUCGGCAUUUACGCCGUGGAAAUCGGGUGUUUUCCUUGUAAUUGCAUCCAGACUAACGUGAGGUAGUGUUGUUCGUGAUUUAUUCGUAAUUCAACGUUCGUUCCGGGGCUAUUUGCUGUUUGCGCAUCAAAAUCAGGUAAGUCAUCUUCCGCCGACUCGAAUUCCAACAUUGGUAUCAGAGCCCGAUCGUGAUUUCUGCCUUGUUUUUCAUCGAGUUUUCUCAUUUACCAUUUGAUAAUGAGAUCAAGAGAUAGUAUUCUACACUGUUUGGAUCUCUGAUAGUCAGAAUUGCCCUAUGAAAAACUCGAAAUUGAACCGGAGCGAAGAACGGGUUUGGGGUCGUGUGCACCCGUGAGGUUUUGGCCAUAAUUCGAAAUGAUUUUUUGGUCAAAAUUAAUUUUUGAAUAUACAGGGUGAAAGAGCUCGUCGAGACGAGUCCGGAAGUGGGUCGAGCGCCGCCGGGAGACGCCGGACGCGCCCACAUGCGCGGCCAGAAGCCGCUGCGCGUGGGCGCCACGUGCCUCAAGCGUUGGCACAGCCAGCGCAUCUGCAACAUGCACUGGUCAGCGAACCGGUACGUGCGCGACGUUUGCCAGCCGGCGAAUCGACACAUGCCGGUCGGCGAACCGACGCGUGAUGACGUCACCCAACGGUUGGUAACCGCUGGGAUGACGUUAGCGCCGACGAUAGUUGGCCGGCCGGUCACCGGCCGGCAACCCGACCCGACCCGACCCGACCGUUGACCAGUCAACCGGUCCGGCGGUCAAACCGGUCGGACCGGCCAGGAGCCGUUUGGCUCGUUGGCGCGUGCGCCACACGCGCCGCGCACUCAGGCGGCGCGUGGGGGCGCGUGCGAGCUCCGAUUGGAGCAUGGUUGGUGGCGUUUGGUUCGUAUGAGUGUCCUCUACACAAUGGUAUAAUUAUUUUAUACUUUUGAAUUUUAUAAAUGUAUGAAAAUGCUAAGGGAACCCUAUGUACGCGUAUUUUUUUGGGGUUUAAUGCAGCUUAUUCAUUUGUAGCUUGUAUUUUCUUGUGAUUAGGGAAAUACAGUAGCUAGCUUGUGUGCAAAUGAUGUUAUAUAUGCUGUGUAGAGCUUGGUUCAAUGAUAUGAUGUAUAGAUUUUAAUAUACUUGCAAUUUUCUAGUUGCUAGAAAAUUAGAACAAUGGUAGGAAAUCCAUUACAUGUUGAAUUGCAUAGUUGAAGCAUGAUUGUUGUUUAUACGUUGGUUAUUAUCAUGCUAUGUUUUUGUGUUAAGGAAAAAUGUAGAAAUUACAUAAGGUCAUGUAAUUAUUUUUUUCCUAGUGGGAGUUCAUAGGUUGGUAGAAUUUGAAAUAGUUCUCACCUAGAACUUAACAUUUGCGCAAAUUAAACUAAUUAAUGAUAAUAGAACAAUUGUACAUAGAAGUUGAUUGGGAACAUAGUGAACUUUUGCUUUUGUGUCUUUUGUUGAAUUAUCAUUAAUUUAGUUUGUUUUUGCUGCAAAUCAAAUAUGUGUGUUACUAUGUAAAGUGUGCUAGUAUUGAUUCUGCGUUUAUUAUGUUAAUGUGUUAUAGCAAUUGAUUAUGGCAUCGGCAUCCAAGACCAUUGUGGCUGACCUCAAUAAGGGUGAGAAGCUGAACGGUGACAAUUAUGAUAUUUGGCACCGAAAGGUUCAGUAUAUCCUUGAGGAGCAAGAGGUUUUGGAAACCCUCAACCAUACCAUGGAUGAACCUGAGCAUGGAACUUCAGCUCAACACAGGAGAGAUCUGGAAGCUUAUCAAGCUUGGAACCGGGAACCGGAUCGGUUCCCUCAAGAACCGCCGGUUCCGGGCGGAACCAGAUCGGAACCGGGCGGUCCGGACGGUUCCCGGAUAUUUUACACACCCCUAAUAGAGCUGUAUUUAGCGCUGCCCUUUCGUGGUAUUAACCCAAAACUAAAACCUUUGAAAUAGGCAUGCAACAUAUUUAGUUUUUGACUGUGCUUGUGUUUAUAGUUCCAGUGAUACAAUGCACAUCUGUACAUUAUAGGACUGAAGAGGUGAGAACAGCAAAUCGGCGAUGCGACUUCUUGAUGAAUUUGCAAUGAUUUUGUUCUUUUUAUUUUUAAUCAAUUCAACACUUUACUGCAUCCCCUCUACAAAGCAGCUAUUAUUUCUGGGAAGGGCUGUGUAUUUUAAACUGUAUUUUUUUUUUUGGACAAGUGUAUUUUAAACUGUAUUAAGUGAAGUAGAUUUGAUUAGUGAAAUAGUGAUAAAGCAUGUUGGGAAUUUUUCUUUUUUUUGGGUAAUUUUAGGCUUCACUUAUUAUAUUCUUAGUUAUAAUUAUACCAUUAAGCAUUUGGAUUAAUACUACAAAAAAAUUCCAAAAUGGUACACUUGUGCCACAUUACCCAAAACUAAUUUACAUGUCAUAAAAAAAAAAAAAAACUCCAUGCCGGUAUGCUUAUGUCACAUUUACCCCAACUAAUUGUUGUAUCACGAAAAAUCUCAAAGUAGUAUUCCAAGUCAUAUUUAACUCAAACUAGUGAAAAGAUCCCAAAAUUUGAGAUAAAUGUGACAUGAAUAUAUUAGUUUAAGAUAAAUGUGUCAUGAAUAUGUCAAUUAGUCCUAAACAUUUUAUUAUUGUUUUAAAUAUAUAUAUAUUAGAUGAACUUUUGGAUUAUACAAAAGUUGUCUUCCUUCUUGGAUCAGGAUUGCAGAAGUCCGAUUACUUCCAUAUAUUACACUCUUUAGUAAAUGUGUUUAUACUCUUAUUAUUCCUACCCAAAGUUUCUAAUUCCAAUGCAUAUUGCAACACAAUAUAUUUUAUUAAGAUGGAAUGAGGAGUACGGAUUGUAUUUGUCUUCUUAGGAUAGUGGGUUGAUUUUCUUUCUGAUUUGCAAAACUAGAUAGUUUAAUAUUAUUUUAUUUGUGAAAAAAACAAAAUAAUAUAUGAUGAGUCGAUGACGUGGCUUUUUAAAGUUUAGAUUGGAAAAUAGGAAAAAAUUUAAAUAAGGGCAAGAAAUAUCAUUAUUUAUUCAAAUAAAAGUUUGAAGUGGACAUUGUUUUAAAUAAAAGCUCAAAGUACAUUUAUUUUCUUAAAUAAGAGUCUGAAGUGAACAUUAUUUCAAAUAAGGAUUUGAAGUAGUUAUAUCAAUUUUAAAGAAGGGCUCGAACUCACCGACUAGUGAAGGGCAAUUUCGUCUUUUAAUUUUUUUUUCCUUCUUUCUUUCUUUUUCUAUUUUUUCUUUUCAUAAAAAAACAAACUAAAAACAAAAACUUUAAAACAAGAGAAGCAAAAAUACAAGUGGGAGGGCUUCCUUUGGUUUGUAGUUGUUGUCCCAUUGCCAAUGAGGCAGCGAAGAUGGCUGGUCGGGUCGUCGGCACUUGGGUGAGGGUCGUUGGCCCUUGCAUAGGCAUGGUGGCCCUCACCCAAGGGCCCCAAACCUUACUACCUAGGCGUUCGCGAUCUUGUUGGCCAGCGUUGUUGACCCACCAGCGAUGGGGCAAUGGCCAUAGGAGUCCUCCUGCUUGUAUUUUUGCUUCUUCUUUUAUUUUUUAAUUAUAUUUAAUUAUAUUUAUAUUUAUAUUUAAAUUGUGUUUGAAUGAAAAUAUACUUCGAGAUUCAACCUUUAUUUAAAACAAUUUUAACCACUUCAAGUUCUUCUUUGUGAUUGAUAUAAUAUCUUUAGACUUUUAUUUGAAAUAAAAUCUACUUUAUGUCUUUAUUUUAAAAAAGUAAGGGCAUUUCAUGUCUUUAUUUGAAUUUUUUUUUUUUAAAAGUAUGCAAUCACUUUUUUUUCCCUUCUUGUGACGAUUCUCCAGCCAAACAAUGAAGGCCGACUAACUGACAGCUAAAAGAUGAUUGAUGUAAUGGAAAGCUGCUACAUAGGAACUUUAGCUUUAAUUAUUACUAUAUUUUUCUCCUUUUUAAUUAUGCAUAUAGCUGGAAUUGGAAAGCGAAAAACAAUUAGAAAAGUCAUCGGAUGAGUGGUGUGGAUUUUGAUUUUGAUUUUUACUUGGGUGAGAACAAUACUCCACUACUGGAACUGCUGAAUAGUCAAGGAUUAGGAUAUGCAGUUUUACCAGUGAUGAUAUCUAUGAAAUUACUGGUUUUUUUUUUUUUUUUUUUUUUUUUUUUUUUUUUUUUUUUUUUUUUGGGCGGAAGAAGUCAUUUUUACAAUGAAAAUGUCAGAUUCUUUCAUAUUAGCGAAGAAAAUUGAUGUUUUUAGAACAAAUAUUUGUCGAAAUUGUUAGGUAAGAAAAUUCAUGUCCUCCCUUUAAACAAGCUUGGCUUGUUAUUGACGACAGAGCCUUGUCUAUAAACAACAGAUUAGGCGAACAUAAGGCCAACUGCACUUCUUUUCAAACAUCAAUUGUACUCCAAAGCACAGAAAACUGUUGCCCAGAGUGCUUGCGGCCUUAACAGUUCCAUUCCCACAUCUUAAAUACUUGCAGAAAAUACAAACAACAAAUUCCAUCUCUUGAUCUUAAAUUCGAGAGUAUCAUACCAACAAAAAGUAAUAGAACAUAUCAUGCUCCCAACUUUUUAAACAGCUACUUCUAAUUGAUUUUCCUCUUUCUUGGUGAUCUCGUAGAACCAACCACUUCCAAUGUCCUUCAAAUGCUCCAUCGCUUGUUUCCAUUUCUCUUGCUUCUUUUUCAUACUGUCCUUGUGCUGCCCGAUGAAAGAAAUGCAUGCUAUCAAAUCAAAUUUCACAUCUUUACGUAACAACUCGUUUACUACAAUAAAGUUGUACCUCUAAUGAUGCUAAAUUUGUGAGAUGAUCUUCCGACAUUCUCAGCAUUAACCACAACAUUGUUGGUAUUUCUUAGUAGAGAAAUGACUCGAUUGUCUUCCCAUCCAGGCUGCUAAGAAUCACAUACUCAACUUAAUAGGGCAUUGAUAAUCAUUCGAGUACAUAGUUUCUUCAAAGCAGGAUUGAAGUACCUUUUGAGUGGAGGCAUCGUUAUGACAUCUCCGUGGUAAGUUGAUUGACUUCUCUUUGUCUGAUUCUCUCUUCAUCCUGUUCACUUAAGAAAGUAAAGUCUGAAAAUAAUGACACAAACAGAAACUAGAGACACAGAAUGAUUGAACCUUACUUAUCUUUUGUUUCAAUAUGAUUUCAGUGCCUUGUCUUGACACUUCAAAUCCAUUUUUGGAUUCUCCUCCUUCUAUUAUCUUGUUUUUUUAAGCCUACUAGGCAUAAUUCGAGGCCUUGGUGCCACCAAAGGUUCUUAAUCACUGGAAGGUCAAAUGAGUGAAUGACGCACAUUAUUAGCUGAUGCCAGAAGAGGGAACUGAUUUAUAGACCUACUACUGUUUGUAAACUUAGUAUCCGAUUUGAUAUGAUGCAAGCUGUAAUAGAAUUUCGACAGAUAACGUUUCAAGGAGGAAAUAUAAUGGGCAACUUGUAGAAUCAAGACAGGUCAAGAAAAGUCUAAGAACAGAAAGUGCACCAAGCUUAACUAAUCAGAGUGCAACUGGGAUAAUGAGUAAUCUGAGCACAUGCGACUGCUCCAAUUAUUGACAGGGGGACAUGACAAAUUAUUGCACAUUUGUUUUUGCAAAAUAAAUGGUCAAUUGGAUUCCAGAAUUGCAUGUUCAUGAUAGCUUAACCUUUUUUACAAUUGAGCUUCAAUAUCCCAAAUAGAGCGAAAUCUCAAAUGCACGGGAAAAGUGUUAAAAAAAAUCCUAAAUCUUUUGCAUUUAUGCCAAUUUAGUCCUAAUUUUUUUUUGGUGCUAAUUUAGUCCUAAACCUUUUUACGUUGUGCCAAUUCAGUCUUUUUCAGGCAAUUUUGGCUGAAUUUUGCUGACCGGAUGCCGGUCGGCUAUCAUGGUCUGAUCGGCGCUGACGUGGAUAACUUUUAAUAAUAUUUUAAUAUUUUAGAUUUAUUUUUAUUUUUAUUUUUAUUUUUAUUUUUUCUUAUUUUUUCUUAUUUUUUCUUUCUCCUUCUUCCAGCCGGUCGCCGAGGUCCGGCGACUGGCCAGAGGUGAUAGUCAACGAGGUCGAGGUCGACCUUGUCGGCCACCUCACUAGUGGCCACGAGGGCGGCCUCGUGCCAGGCGGGCAAGCCUCGCCCUUGCCGGAUCUGGCGAGGGUCAAGCGUCGCCGGACCGCCUGGUGGGAGGCCGCCCUCGAGGCUUUGGGGGUGAGGCUCGCCCUCGUUGGAUCUGGCGAGGGUGAGCCUCGCCGCCCAAUGUGAGGCCACCCUCGCGGCCACUGGCGAGGUGGUCGGUGAGGUCGACCUUGACCUCACCGGCCGUCACCUCUGGCCAGUUGCCGAGAUUCGGCGACUGGCGGGAGGAAGGAGAAGGAAUAAAUAAAUAAAAUAAAUAAAAUAAAAUAAAUUCAAAAAUAUUAAAAUAUUAUUAAAAAUUGUUCACAUCAACACCGAUCAGGCUAUGUCAGCCGGCCGGUGUUCAGUCAGCAAAAUUCGGCCAAAAUUGGCCAGAAAAGACUGAAUUGGCACAACAUAAAAAUGUUUAGGACUAAAUUGGCACCAAAAAAAGAUUUAUCACUAAAUUGGCAUAAAUGCAUAAGGUUUAGGACUUUUUUUAACACUUUUCCCGUAUUAAUCCUAAAGAAAAUCAUUUAUCAAAUUGUGGCCAGAAGAAUCAUUUAUCAAGCAAACUAUGAAAAUAAUCAAUGACAUGGAGCGUCCCCAACCGCGUGGAAAAAAAAAGGAGGAGAGGAUUUUCCUGCUUUCAGAUCGAAGCUGGGUGGGAGAUGAAGCUUCGAGGAAGUUGUGCGUCCCGUAUUGGAAAUUCGUCUUCAUUUACAUUGUAUUUUUGUGAAUAUAUUUUUAGGAUGUAAAUAAUACACGGUUCGUUGUCGUGGGUGGGUCAAUGAUUGACCUCAUGUAAAUCCAUGUGCGAAGUAUUUACGUCUCAGAUUCCUAGUGGGAAAUCGUCACAAGUAUCCCAGAAUGGGCAGCGUCGAGGAGGAGGAUGGUCCCUUUCGUCCCCUUAAAACUGGCCGUGUUUCUAGAGGCCGACCCGAGAUUUUUUCACCCGAGACACGGUCGAUGUGACAUAAUAUAAUUGAUAAGAGUGUACAGUGAAAACCUUAGACAAAUGCCACUUGAUUCCAAGGGCGUGCCUGGCAAAUUGGCGAGAGAUCCAGUUUCUGAAGUGGAGAUGAGACCCCUUUUGUGCCCGUGACGGAUUUUAGGAGCUCGAAACUAGUGAUUAGACCAGCUUGAUAUAGAACAGACUAGUACCUAAGGACCGAUAUUUUCCUUUUUUCUUGAAACCUUAACUUGAAAUUUUUAUCAAACCUAAUCUUCUAAAUAGUGACGAUGGACUAGAUAAUGAGAUAUCAGAUUUCCAUUAAUAUUGAUGAAUUUUACAAAGUCAAAUCAAUUUUUGCUCCACAAAGUUUGUAUCUUUAGUCCUAUUGAUCCAAAAUAGUCAAUUCUAUCACAGAACCGAUUUGAUGACAGCAUAAAACCAUUUUUUGGGGGACCUUGACCGUCAUUCACUGUGAAACUGAUCCGACAGAAUCUGACAAAAUUUGGUGAAAAAGCAAAAGUUGCAAGGAGAAUUCGGCACUCAGCAUAAAUAUGGCAGCUACUUUGAAGGCGAAGGCAUGAGUUAUAAGAACCGCAACGGCGAGGACAUAAGAGACAGACAGAGACGCGUAGGGACGAAGAGAAACUGAAAAGCUCUUCUAGACGUUGAUGUGCUAUAAAAAAAGCAAUAAUAAAAUUUAGGGUUAAAUAUCCAGAAUACAUUUAUAAUAAAUCACCAAAAACCUCAAAUUAACAUAUUUGUGAUAAAUUUUCCUCCGUUAGUUUCUGUUAAAUUUGAUUACUAUCACAAAAAGCCACAAAUUAAUACACAUGUGACAAAUGGGGAGGGUAAAAUUCCAAAUUGGUACAAGUGUCUAUUGCCAUGUGUCAUUCAACUUAGCAAUUUAACACGGAUACUAAUGGAAAAUAAAUUUGUUACGGAUAUAUAGUUUGGAGUUUUUUGUGGUAAAAAAAAUUAGUUUUGAUAAAUUUGUCACAUGUGAACCAACUUGAGAUUUUUCAUGGUAUUACAUCAAUUAAUAAUCUCACUUGUAGUUCUUCAACUCAUUUAAAUUAUCCAAUUGAAUUCUUAGAUUUUUAAAAUCUAAGUGUAUAACCUAAGAUUUUAUAUUGUUAAAAUGACCAUCAUUCCAUUGGCAAAAAAAAAAAAAAAAACCACCACCUAAAAUCAACCUUGGCGAAAUUUAAUAAUCUUAUUUGACUUUACUUUUACUUGUCUUAUUAAUCCACAAUAUGAAUUAUCAUUUAAAAAAUAAUUGGCAUUGACAUAAUUUAUAACUUUUUAUAAGAUACACCUCUACUUCAUAUUUUUCUACAUUUAUAAUUCUAUAAAUAUAUAUUAAAAUUUUGCAUCUAAAGAAAAUUAUUAGAGAUGGACUAUCCGAGGAAAAAUUAGAAACAUAAAAUUCAUAUGAAGAAAAUAGGGAGAUCGUAAAGAGGGGAGGGGGAAUGGAGAUGGAGAUGGAUUACAUACAUUUGAAUAGUAUAUGAGUUUGGCUUUGGGCCUAGUGAAAAAGAUUACAACCAAGAUGAAGAAUAGAACCAUCUAAAUUGUUCUUGUUCAAAGAGCAAGAUUAAUCCUAAGACAAAGUUUAGUCCAAGUGUCUAGGAGCUGAACUUCCUUCAACCAAGCCCCUACUUGGAUCCAUACCUAGCCUGAAUCUUAUGCAGUUCCUUGAGAGCUUCGGCCACGUCCAUCCGAUCUUGCGGUAACUCCAUCGAGCAUGCAACUCCAAUUCUUAGGACAGAGGCAACACAUCCUCUCAUCCUCUCAAUGUCAUUCUCACUUUCUCCGUUAAAAAUGGCCGAGUCCACGAUCUCCAUCGCUCGGUCUGGCAGAGCCACCUUGACAAAGUUGUGGAGAUUUGAAUGGUCCUUGAAAGUCUCUUCUGUGGGUCUCCUCCCAGUUAACAUUUCCAAUAAAAGAAUACCGUAGCUGUACAUAUCGCCUUGUGUGGAUAGCAUAUCCCACAUGCCAUACUCUAAAAUAGUGUACGUCAAGCAGUAUAUAAUGAAAAUAAAUAUUUUAUCUAAAAGCAAAACACAAAUAAGACUUAGACAAUUAAUGAGAAAAUUUUCUUACCAGGAGGGAUAUAACCUACGGAACCCCUCACUACCAAUGAGCUACCGUUGUCAUCAAUGUCCAUGGCAUCUGUUUUUGUAAGGGAGCUAAUUGUUGCUAGCCCAAAAUCCCCAACUCGUCCCAUCAUCUCGUUGUCCAAAAGGAUAUUACUUGGCUUCAGAUCUCCGUGUACAAUCUUUGGGCUGCAAACCUCGUGAAGAUAUUUGAUUGCAGAAGCUAUGUCAAUGGCAAUGUCUAACCUUUGCAUUAGUCCCAAAUGCCCUGGCUUUCCAUGUUCAUGUUCAUGCUCAACAUCCUCUUUGUUUCCUUGGUGUAUCCAAUUCUCUAAACUCCCAUUAGCCAUGUAUUCGUACAAUAGAGCUUUGAAAUUGUUGCCAUGAUAGUCCACGCUUGAACAAACAUUCACUAUUUUCAUGAGAUUUCGGUGUCGUAUAGCCCCUAAGGUUCGACAUUCCGAGACGAAGCUCUUCGAAGCACCUAUGUGGCCUAAGUUGAGCACUUUAACUGCCACCAAGCCGCCUUCCUGUGUGGUUGCUUUAUAGAUAGUACCAUAUCUCCCUUUACCAAUCACAUUGAUCUCAGAGAAUCCGUCUGAGGCUCUAAAGAGCUCCUCAUAAGAGACCAUCGGAAAUUUGUGUUUAAAUGGAAAUUCAAUCCAAGAGGUAUUCUUUUUCAACUUCUUUCUCCGAUACCAAAAGAUAAACAGGCAAAGACACAUAAUGAAGUAUGACAAGACGGCCGUCACUGUGGCAAUUACUCUAACUUUGCUAGUCCAUAAUGGUUUAGAGGUAUUCGAUCUGCAAGAAGGAAGGUUUAGUUCUGCAAUACCUCCACAAAGAUUCCCAUUCUCAAAGACAGACACUGCACUAGCAUUGAGAAAUACUCCGUGCUUCGGAACUUCUCCUUCAAGCUUGUUUGAAGAUAGAUUCAAGUACUUUAGAUCUGUAAGUUGAGCGAGAAAGCUCGGGAUCUCACCAGAUAAGUUGUUAUGGGAAACAUCCAACUCUUGUAAGCCUCGUAAUGUGCUUAAAGCCAGAGGAAUUUCGCCAUGAAAGGAAUUGAAUGCUAAGCUGAGCCGCCACAAUACUAAGCACUUGCCGAUGGAGCUAGGAAUUGGUCCCAUUAGCUUAUUGUAAGAUAGAUCCAAUUCGCCAAGAUUGAUCAAGGACCCAACUUGAGACGGGAGAGAUCCGCUCAACUGGUUAUGUGCCAAGUUGAAGAUAAUUGAAAUGGUAGAAAGGCCAAGAACCUCCUCUGGGAUUGAACCACUCAGAUAAUUAUUGGAAAGCUCAAGCUCGAUUAGCUGCCUGCAUUUACCAAGACUCUGCGGUAUUUCCCCAUAGAAGUUGUUGAACGGCAAGUAAAAGAAAUUCAAUAAUGUCAAAUUGCCGAUCGAUGAUGGAAUCUCACCCGUUAGCAUGUUUCCGCUUAAGUACAAUUCAUGCAAGUUAUGGAGUGCUCCAAUACAAGAAGGAACACGACCACCAAGCGAAUUGUUUGAUAAGUCAAGAUAGGACAAGUUGAAGAGAUUGCCAAUACUUGGAGGAAUGGUUCCGUACAUUGUGUUGGACGACAUAGAAAUUAAACUAAUGCUAUUGGAAAGAUUGCCAAUAGAAUCCGGCAAUUGACCUUCAAGAAAAGUGAAAGCCAACAAAAUAGCUUCUAGCCUUGAACAAUUAGUCAAUGGGGUAAUGAAACUGAAGUCAUCUCGCAACUCGUUAGAAGUAAGGGAUAGUACUCUAAGAGCUUUUAGCCUUGCAAGAUUUGCGGGCAUCGGUCCGUGAAAACUAUUAAUGUUAUAGUAGAUGUAUUGAAGGCUAGAGGCAUUUGAUAAGGACGGAGGUAUAACCCCAGUAAAAAAAUUACUAUUAAAAUCAAGAUGAAGGAGAGAAGGAAGAGUAUCACCAAUAUAAGGAGGAAUGCUCCCUCUCAAUUGAUUGUUACCGACGCUGAAAUAGAAAAUGCCGGACAUGUUGAAGAUUGUUGGAGGGAUCUCGCCGGUGAGUUGGUUAUAUGCCAAUUGAACAAAACUCAAACCAUGAAGCUUGGACAAUGUCUUGGGAAUCUCUCCUUGCAACCCAUUUUUCAUGAGUGAAAGCUUGGAAAGUUGGGAGAGAUUUCCAAUAGAAUGAGGAAUAGAUCCUACAAGAUUGUUUAUAGCCAAACCUAAAGCUUGAAGCUUUGACAAAGAGCCGAACUCAUUAGGAAUUUUUCCUACAAAGUGGUUACCAAUGAGAUUUAAAAUCUCAAGGUUUGAGCACUGAGAAAGAUUGGUGGGCAUUUGUCCGCCCAAAGAGUUGUUACUAAGGACGAGACGACGAAGGCGAAACAAGUGGCCAAUGCUUUGUGGAAUUUCACCGCGAAAGUUGUUAUUCUGUAGAAUGAGGCUUCUCAAGAAAGAGAGGUUUCCGACAUGAGGUGAUAGAAGACCCCCCAAGCCUUUCGACAUUAGGUUGAGGGACACGACUCUUUCGGGAUGGCGUCCACCACAUAUCACACCUUGCCAUUCACAGUGAUGAAAAGAGUCAUUCCACGAGCUCAAAGCUCCAAGCGGAUCCUCAUCCACACUAUGUCUGAAGUAGAUUAAAGUGAGCCGAUCCGUCCGGUUGGUUUGCAUCGUUGGACUCAUCCAUAAUGGGAGUUGGGCAUAGAAAAAUAGGAACAUAAUCGCCAUAUGCUUUUCCAUUGUGAGUGGGUUCUAUGUCCUAACAAGUUGCAAGCAAAGUCUCUUAUAGAUUGAAUUAAAGAAGAAAUGAAGACCUUCAAAAGCGUAUGCAUUUCCAUUGAUCAAAAGACACCUUUUUACACGGCAAAACUCGACCCAAUAUGCAAGUUUAACCUAAACAAAGGGUUGGACUUUAAAAGUUUUGCAGAUUGGUCGAACUAAAGAAAGGGCAAACACACACACUUACGUUAAAAUGGAGGAUUUGACGGCUACCCAAUGACUUCCUGGAAAGCUGUGCCGCAAAGAAAGGAAAUCAAGAAUGGAAGUGGUCCUUGAUUUUCGGCCAUUUCAAAGAGAGCUUUGUGGAAUUUCACCAUGAAAGUUGUUAUUCUGUAGAACGAGGUUUCUCAAGAAAGAGAGGUUUUCGACAUGAGGUGAUAGAAGACCCCCCCAAGCCUUUCAACAUUAGAUUGAGGGACACAACUCUUCCGGGAUGCCAUCCACCACAUAUCAAACCUUGCCACUCACAGUGAUGAAAAAAGUCAUUCCACGAGCUCAGAGCUCCAAGCGGAUCCUCAUCCACACUAUGUCUGAAGUAGAUUAAAGCGAGCCAAUCCGUUUGGUUAGUUUGCAUCAUUGGACUCAUCCAUAAUGGGAGAUGGGCAUAGCAAAAUAGGAACAUAAUUGCCAUAUGCUUUUCCAUUGUGAGUGGGUUCUAUGUCCUAACAAGCUGCAAGCAAAGUCUCUUCUAGAUUGAAUUAAAGAAGAAAUGAAGACCCUCAAAAGCAUAUGCAUUUCCUUUGAUCAAAAGACACCUUUUUACACGGCAAAACUCGACCCAAUAUGCAAGUUUAACCUAAACAAAGGGUUGGACUUUAAAAGUUUUGCAGAUUGGCCGAACCAAAGAAAGGGCAAACGCACACACUUACGUCAAAAUGGAGGAUUUGACGGCUACCCAAUGACUUCCUGGAAAGCUAUGCCGCAAAGGAAGGAAAUCAAGAAUGGAAGUGGUCCUUGAUUUUUGGCCAUCUCAAAGAGAGCUUUGUGGAAUUUCACCAUGAAAGUUGUUAUUCUAUAGAACGAGGCUUCUCAAGAAAGAGAGGUUUUCGACAUGAGGUGAUAGAAGACCCCCCAAGCCUUUCAACAUUAGAUUGAGGGAUAUGACUCUUUUGAGAUGCCAUCCACCACAUAUCACACCUUGCCACUCACAGUGAUGAAAAGAGUCAUUCCAAGAGCUCAAAGCUCCAAGCGGAUCCUCAUCCACACUGUGUCUGAAGUAGAUUAAAGCAAGCCGAUCCGUCUGGUUAGUUUGCAUCAUUGGACUCGCCAUAAUGGGAGCUGGGCAUAGAAAAAUAGGAACAUAAUCGCCAUAUGCUUUUCCACUGUGAGUGGGUUCUAUGUCCUAACAAGCUACAAGCAAAGUCUCUUCCAGAUUGAAUUAAAGAAGAAAUGAAGACCUUCAAAAGCAUAUGCAUUUCCAUUGAUCACAAGACACCUUUUUACAUGGCAAAACCCAACCCAGUAUGCAAGUUUAACCCACACAAAGGGUUGGACUUUAAAAGUAUUGCAGAUUGGCCGAACCAAAGAAAGGGCACACGCACACACUUAUGUCAAAAUGGAGGAUUUGAUGGCUGCCCAAUGACUUCCUGGAAAGCCGUGCCGCGAAGAAAGGAAAUCAAGAACGGACGUGGUCCUUGAUUUUCGACCCUUUCAAAGAGAGCUCCUAUUUGUUUGCGGGCAAAGCAUAUUAUUUGUGCUGUGAGUUUUUUACAUCCAAAUUGUUAAAACCUUGGGUUUAGGUCUCGUUUAGACAUGGGAAACACUCGAGCAUAUUGAGUGCUUGUAAUUCCGAUUCUCCAAUUAUAGCAAAUUUUUAUUACUAGCUCUCCCCAUAGAUAUAUGUGCCAACACUCGGACUUAAUCACGUAAAUCUUUGAAUCCUCAUUAUUCCACAUUUAUUUAUUUAUUUUUGGUGAUUUUUCACUAACUUAAAUACAAAAUCCUUAUUAGCUUCCCCAUUCGUUUAUUUUACCAUGAGGGUUACUUCUCACUUGUAAUGAAAAGGAAAUAAAGCAAAAACACAAACAAGGAGAUGAUGGGUGGGUCAUCCCAAUGUGGAAAAUAAGUUCCGCCAAUGCUUUUUAGCGUGUUUUUUAUGUUGCCAGCAAGAUUUUUAGUCAAAAGAUUCCUUGACUUCUCUCGUACUACAAAGAGUUUCUUUUCAAAGUUAAAUUUCUUGAAAGUUCGUCACUUAGAUCAUAUCACUCUUGUUCCAAUUACAAUUCAUCAGGCUAGAACCCCCGUGCCAAGCUUGAACCCAAGACUAAGAGGGCCGGUUUGUGUGGGCCAGCACAACUCAAUUACCAUGCUUAGAUAGGGGUUUUAUAAACAUAUAUGUUAGGAAAAGCAAGAUGCUAAAAUUCAAAUCUGUUUGGCCGUUUGAAACCAAAGAGUUUGCAAAAUAAUGCACGAGUAUAUGAGUCAAAUUCAGAUUUUGUGGGAGAAGGGGAAUUUCGAUGUGCAAUUGCCGUGUGGUAUAGAAAUUGAAGUUAUGGUCCUGGUAAUGAACAAAUAAUACGUGAUGCAAAGUACUUUGUUAGAAACUAAACAAAGAGAAAGAAAGACGUUCUAGAAUUUGGUGGAGAAUUAAGAAUGUUAGCUCUAAUCUUGAAGUCAAAUUUCCCAUGGAAAAUCAACAACGUUGUACAAUCAUGGUCGGCGAGCAUGAUGACCUCCACCAUGAGAAGUUUUCCAUUUCUUUUUCCCUUCUUUGAACUUUUCUUUUUAGGUUCUCUCGAUUUGAUUACCAAAGCCAUCGCAGGACAGUCUCAAAUAUUGGUAAACUAAGGCAAGGCAUCAAUAGUGCUUGACACUUUUGAAGGCUAAGGGAUUUCGAUGAACACCGAUUGAGUUUAGUCGAGGGCCCACUUGUGUAAAUAAAGAUGGUUCAAACCCUUCCACUAUAUGGGGGUAAAUUACGCACAACUUCUCUGAAUUUUGGGGUAAACAAAUUUGCCUCCAAUUUUUCACUUGUUAUACAAUAACGUCUGAACUUUUAUUUUGUUCAAGCAAUUAACUCUUCAUUAUAUUGUUAUUAGCAUGCACAUGCUUGUGAAUUUUGAGGGGUAAAAGUAUAAAUUUUAUCUCAUUCUUUUUGUAAGGAAGCCUCUUUUUCUAAAAGACUGAAAAAUAUAGAAAAUGGAAGAGAAAUAAAUUAACUAAUAUACUAAUAAUCAAAAUAAUAAAUAUCAAUAAUCAUAUUUAAUGAUGGGAAUUUUUCAAAAUUAAAUAAAUAUAGGCACCUUAAUAUAACUAAAUAAGAUAUUUUGAAAAAUAAAUACAAAUUCAUUAGAAUGGGAAAAAGGCAUCUAUAACUAAAAGAUCAAAUAACAAGAAUUGCUUAAUCACUAUGUAUGUUUAAAGGGUAAAUUACUGUAAAAAUGAUUGAUUAACAAAAAUAUUUACAAGGAGGAUGAUGAAUCCCUUGCCAAUCUAUCUCUUUAAGAGGCAAUCUUUCAAGAAGAGCUUUUAGCAUCUUGAGUUAAAAAAUUGUUAAAAUAUAUAAUGCGUGAAAACGAGAUGAUCUUGCAAUUUACGUCAACGCGAAAUCACUAAAGAAAUAAAUGAGAAAUAAUAAGGACACUGGAAAUUUACGUGGUUCGGUUCGAGUAUCGGUACCUAUGUUCACGAAAAGAGCUAGUAGUGAAUAAUCUACUAUAAUCAAAUAACCAGAGUUUACAAUCGCUUACAUGCUCAAGUGUUUCCCACAUUUAGAUUUAAGCCCAAACCUAAAAUGUUUUUAAAUAAACAACUCACUUUGACAUAAACUCAUGGUACAAAAUUAUCACGCAUUCAAGCUCAACGUAAAAUGCUCUACAUAUGCCAAAACAAGAACUAAGCGUCUGUCUCUUCUCCACUUAUGUAGAGAUUCGCGUUCUUUACCCCUUCAAGGCUUGUGUGAUGUCUGGAUGUGUGGGCGUGCAGCUCCUUUUUCUUUUGUAGAGCACGCCUUUAAUAUUGUGGGCCUAGGCCCCACCUUGGAUUCUUUUCUCCAAUAUGGAUUCUUCUUCUGCCUUCUUCUGCACGUACAAAGAAAGAUAGAAAACCCUCACCUUUUUUAUUUAUUUAUUAUUAUCUUUAUUUUAUUUCCUCCAUUAUGCAGCUAUAAGGAGUCCAACAAAAGAAGGCCUUUUUCAGUCAAUUUGAAAUAUACUUGGGAAAUCUUUCUCAACUAAUUUGAUUUAACAAAUUGUUAUCCAAAUUCAAACUCGAGACAUUAAUUUAAUAAUUCUCCUCCUUGGCUCAAUGUUUGAAGCCAAGUUAUAAUGCUCAUCAUCCAUGCUGCUCUCCCAACGCCCUAAGAGGUGUUCACUCUUCAUAGACGCUAAUAGAGCUCAAGCAGAACUUAAGCUUCGUCAAAGGAACGGACUUAGUCAUUAUAUCUGCCGGUUAUCUACUAUAGCAAUCUUUUUGAUAAUAACAUUACCCUUAGCUAAGACAUCUCAGAUGAAGUGGUAUCUGAUGUUGAUAUGCUUCGUUCGCUCGUGAUAAACUGGAUUAUACACCAAAUAUAUCGCACCUUGAUUAUCAUAGUGUAUAUCCACACUUUUCUAUUCUAAAUCAAAGUCUAAGAGCAAACUUCAUAACCAUAUCACCUCCUUCACUACAAAGGUUAGUAUCAUGUACUUUGCCUCCGUUGAAGACAAUGCAACAUGGUCCUAUAAGGAUGCUUUCCAACUAACUACAUCAUUUGAUAGCGUAAACACGUACCCAACUAAAGACCUGCAAUUAUCCAAGUCACCGACAUGAUCCGAAUCCACAAAAUCAGUGGUCUCACUGCCAUUGUUGUCCCUUGGGUACACUAUACCCAUGUCUAUUGUCCCUUUUAAAUAUCUAAGAAUCCACUUCACAGCUUUCCAAUGAGCUUUACUAAGACGCUUCAUAUUACAACUAACCACACUCACAGCUUGUGAAUAUCAGGUCUGAUACAUACCAUAGCAUACAUAAUACUACUCACGGUACUAGAAUAAGGAACACGGGACAUAUGCACUUCCUCUUCCUCAGUCUAUAGUGAUAAUUUAUCUAAAAGUAUAAAGUGCUUCGCUAAAAGUGUACUUACAGAUUUUACCAACUACAUAUUAAAACGUGCCACGAUAUUUCUCAAUAUUUUUUUUAAGAUAGACGUAAAACUCCUAUAACCCUGUUAUGCAAAAUCUCCAUACCUAAUAUUUUCUUUGUGGCAUCUAAAUCUUUCAUCUCAAAUUCAGCAUUUAACCGCCUCUUCAGUACAUCAAUAUCAGAUAUAUUCUUAACUGUUAUCAGCAUAUCAUCAAUAUAUAAGAGUAAAUAAAUCAAAGAACCAUCCUCCAAUCUCCUAAAGUAAAGGUAGCUAUCCAUCUGACUUUUCAAGUAGUCUUGACUGGCCAUAAAAGCAUCAAAAUGUUUAUACCAUUGUCUAGGAGACUAUUUUAGCUCAUACAAAAAUUUCUUCAACAAGCAAACAUGAUCUUCCUUACGUGGAAUAACAAAUCCCUCUAGCUACCUCAUAUAAAUUUGCUCAUCCAACUCAUCAUGAAGAAACGUAGUUUUCACAUCUAACUACUCUAACUCAAGAUCCUGCAAAGUAACCAAGGCAAGUAAAACACGAAUUGAAGUAUGUCUUAUCACAUGAGAGAACACCUCAUUGUAGUCAAUGCCCUAUGCUGUGUAUAUUCUUUUGUCACAAGUCUCACGUUAUACCCCGUUGCCUUGAUAUUAGGAAUGUCCUCUUUCCAUUUAAAGACCCAUUUACUUCUGACAAUCUUCUGGCUCUUGGGUACUUUGACCAGCUCCCAUGUUUGAUUUCGAUGGAGUGAUUCCAUCUCUUCACUCAUAACCCCUAGCCAUUGCGAUGACUCAGAGCCAACCAUCGCCUCAAAGUAAGACGAAAGCUCAUCUGUCUCCACCUCAUCACCUAUAGUCAAUACAUAAGCAAUAUAUGUAUAACCAUAACGUACUUGUGACUUAAUUUGCCUUCUCUUUCUAUAUGCGCCUAUAGUGUGCUAUGGUUUUGUUGGUUGUUCACUAUCAUCGACUUCAUAAACUGUAGCCUUAUCUACAGUCUCAACUUCUAUUACCUUAGAGGUCUCAGGAGUCUCCGCUUGAAAUUUCACCUCACUAAUGACACCAUGAUCUGUUUGCUCUGCGGGUUGUGUCUUAGAACUCCUCUGUUGAAGCACUAUAGUCUCAUCGAAGAUCACAUCUCUUCUUAUUAGAAAACCUGGUGAUAGGAUCGGUGCACGACAGCCGGUAGUCUUUUACCCCAUGUGCAUAAUACAUAAAUAUGCAUUUCUUAGCCCUCGAGUCAAGCUUACCAUCACUCGCAUGAGCAUACAUAGGACAUCCGAAUAUAUGUAAUAUGGAGUAAUCAUCAGGUUUCCCUGACCAUACUUUCUCAUAAGUCUUCCAAUCUAUAGUAGAUGAUGGGGUUCGAUUAAUCAGGUAACACGCCAUGUCACGCCAUUCUACUGUAGUGUCCUAGAUAUUGUGCAGUGUUUUACAUUUCAUUCUUUCUUGCAGAACUCAGUAAAAUAUUUACCACAAAACUCCAUGUUAUUAUUGGUUCUCAGGCACUUGAUUUGUUUAUUUGACUGCUUCUCAAUUAGUGCCUUAAAUUUCUUGAACCAAUCGAACACUUCAUAUUUGUAUUUCAGAAAGUAUACCCAUACCUUCCUCGAAUAAUCGUCGAUAAGCGUCAGCAUAUAUCAAGCACCUCCUUAAGAAGGAACUGAAGACGAGCCCCAAACGUUUGAAUGAAUGUAUUUAACUAGUCGUUUAGUCGAAUGAACAACUGUAGUAAACUUAACUCGACACUGCUUCCCAAAAAUGCAGUGCUCACAUAAGUCCAGCUUCCCUAUCUUUUGAACAACCCCUUAUCACUUAGCAUCAUCAUACUUGUCUCGCUCAUGUGCCCUAAACACAUAUGCCAUACUUGAGUCAAGUUAGAAAGUGACUCACCUGACAAAACUGCAACGGUUUCGGUCACAGUCUCUCUCAGUAGAUGAUAGAGAGUAUUCACUUUCUUCCCCUUCAUCAUUGUUAUGACACCUCAAGAGAUCUUCAGUACUCCACUUUCAACGAUGUACCUACACCCGAGUCAUUGAGUGUCCCUAGAGAAAUAAGAUUCUUCUUAAGCUCUGGUACAUGCCUCACAUCUGUUAGUGUGCGCACCACCCCAUCAUGCAUUCGAAUCUGAAUUGUCCAUAUCUCCACAGCCUUGCAAGCUACAUUAUUUCCCAAAAGAACGCUACUACCAUCUGCAGUUUGGUAAAUAAUAAAUCAGUUCUUAUGAGGCGUCAUAUGAUAAGAACAUCUCGAAUCUAGCAUUCAUUCGUCUCCUGACGAAGUGGUAGUCACACAUAAAAUGGCUUCUACAUCACUAGUGCUCCCCUCGGCAACGUUUGCCACACUGCUUAUAGCAUUAUGUAUCUCACCUUUAUUCCUUCGCUUUGGACAAUUUCUCUUGAUGUGCCCCUCCUCAUGAUACUCAAAGCACUUCACACGUCCCUUGGAAUUUUUAUAGCGUGAUUUCAAUAUACUAUUACCUUUGCUGCUACUAGGCCCUCGAUGUUGUUCACUACCCUGAAUCGUUAGUGCUUUUGCACUACUUCUUACACCAGAUCGUAUCUCACAAUUUUCUUUGCCGCUCCUUAGACAAUAAGGCAAACUUGACUUGUUUUGAGGUAAUUGUAGUACGCCAUUAUAACAGUGAAUCAGUAAAGUGCUCCCAUGACUCUGAUAAAGAAGCUAACAACAUUAUGCUAUGUUCUUCAUCAUCAAGUAUCUUACGAAUGUUCUUCAAAUCGAUCAUGAGUUUAUUGAAUUCAUCUUGGUUGAUUCUGAUAGACGUACCUUCAGUAUAUCUAUAUUGAAACAUCAUUUUCAACAUUUAUAAGCAAUUGUUCAAACAUUUUUUCACAUAAAGUGCGACACCUAAAUUUCGACCUUGUCCUAAUAAUAUGAAAUGGGCAUUUUGUCGACACACCUAUGAUCCUAUUUCUCUGAGUUGGCCAUUCACGAGUUAACUAAUCUACCAGGUGAAGCUGUUAAGGGAUAUAAACACAGCAAACUUGAGAAUUCGAUUAGAAAUUGACUGCUCGACCGCGAUAAUCGGCAAGGGUCAAUAUGGCACCGUUAUAAUCGAUUAGUGAUAGGAUAUAGGUCGAUUCGAUGGAAUGGCAUAAUUAAAUUGUUGGUGAUUUCACAUGAUUGCAAAAUUCGCGUCGAACGGCACUAACCCAAUUUUUUGUUAAUUCUGUACUCGGUGCUUGUAAUUGAAAUCUUGAUAUUUUGACAACAACCGAGAGUCGUCGACGAGUCGAAGAUGCACAAACGUGGAUCAGAAAUUAUUGACCACGGGUCAAACGUGAUAAAAUCCCUAAAAGCUACCUAGUAGGUUAGGUUGUACUAAAAUCGCGUCCGGUCGAUUUUAACCAUGAAAUGGAAUUCGGUUUUGGGAAUUGUACGUUCGAGCGUGUCACGAUUUAUUUAUAAGACGCCGUCUCAUCUUUUGGAGAAAUUCUGUUGAGCUCAGGAUUUUGCGGAAAAAUUGGUUUGCGGCAAAAAAAGAAAAUAAAAAGGGAAAUUUGGAUGGGUAGACCAAGUUGGAUUUUUCUACCUCAAUUAAGCUUAUUUUGGGAAAUUAAGCUUAGGAAAGUAAUUUGGGAGGAUGAAGAUGUGCAUGAAGACUUUUGGGGCCUUCUAAUGAUGAUUUUAGAUAUUUCCCAUUGACUUUCCCUCUCUCUUCCCCUCUCUCACGCACAUAUUCUUCCCUCCUUUUGCCGCCGACCUCACCCUUUCUGCCCAUUUCCCCUCAGCCUUAUCUUCUCCAUUUUCUCCUUUUAUUUUGCUGCCACAACUCCUCACGCAUUUCUUCUUCUCUCCCAGCUUUUAUUUUGCUGCCACAACUCCUCACGCAUUUCUUCUUCUCUCCCAGCUACUGCCAACACCAUCAUUUCCCUUCCCCCCCCCCCAUCUUUCUCCUUUGCCGCAUCAACCAUUGCCUCCACUUCCCCUCUUGUUUGCUACCCCAUCAUCCAACUCCAUUUGUACACCCUCAUCCCACCACCUUCCAUCCAUCACGCCAACAUCCAUCACCUACCACCCAACUCCAUAGCAACUGUCCACCAGAACUCCACGCCUGUAGCCACCAAUAGCUAGCUGCCCGUCCCCACUGUUAGCUCCGUCCAACAGCUGCGCCGUCACCAUCGAGCAGCCACCACACCUUAGCCACCAGCAUCCACCCAAACCGAGACCAAGUUGAGCCGAACCCUUCCUUUUGGCCGUGAGCUAGUUAGGCCAUCACGGUCGUCAGUGGAACUCCGUUAGAGUCACGAUAGACUCCGAUUCUCGUCGCCGUUGCGUUGCCAUCGCCGUGAGCCCGCCACCGUCGAAUUUCGGUGAGUUAACUUCUUAAUCCUUAAUUAGGUUGUUAAUUUCACUUAGGGGGUUAUACUAGUGUUAAUUAGCAUGGUUAGAUUACUGCUAAGAAUCAUUAGUGUUAAUUAAGUUGGAUUAGCUUAAAUUCAGAUCAGUUCACUGGACCCUCAUUGUUUGUCAUUUUUGUGGAGAAAAUGUGCUACGAUUUUGAGGUUGCUUUCUUCUUAAAAAAUGUUCUAGACAUCUUCAGCUAUGACAUAUAUUUUACUCAGAAUUUUAUGGAUUUAAAUGAAUAAGAUUUCAGUCUUGCCAUUUGCAAAAUAGAAUCUCGGAUUGUGCUGAAACAGUGACCUUUUGGUGUUCAAUGGAUUUUUAUCAACUCUUAGGGUUUGGUUUUUAAAAUAUUUUUUCACGAAAGUUGUUUUUCACAUCUUGUAGUUUAACAUAUUCAAAUUUCAGAUCAAACUGACAAGUUUUGAACCUUGAACCAAACUGAUUUUGGAAAACAAAAUUUUUGGAUAUGGGCACAGUUUUUGUAACGGUUUGAGCGAAUUACUACUCUUAAUCUAUGAAGAUUUGGGUUAAGGUGUCUGCAAUAAAAAUGUUCGUUUAGGUGUCCUUUACAACAUAUUCAUAUUUGAGAGUUUUUCAAAUUCGUUUGAUUAAGUUUCUGGAUUUAAACUCGGAGACGUGCGAGUGGCCUAAUUUCUGCCGGUUAGGACCGGUUGUGAUUUUGUUGUUGUUCUUGGUGUAGUACUUGCUGAAUCAUGUGUAUUUGGUGAUGAGGUUGACUCGUGGCAUGCUAAGAACUUAUGUAUGAGAUCGUGAGGUUAAUUGGUCUUUGUUGGUUAUUUAUUGUUAUUGCAAAAGGUGACCCUUUGGACUAUUAAAUAGAAAAUAAAUGAGGUGUCGGGUCCGAACACCAAAACUUGUUUGCCCAAUACAAAAAUAAGGUUUUAAACUAGGUGCGUGCAAAUUUUGACGGAUUAAUUUUGAGUAUGUGAGCACUUAUGAAUUUAUUUCUAAAUGUGUUGAACAAAAAAAAAAAAAAGAGGUUAUUAAAGCUUAGUUCCAAAAAGGAGUGUUUGGAAAAGAAAUUAGAAAAGAAAUAUGAUAUCGGGUUUGGACGCCAAGUUUUAUGUGCUCAAUAAAACGAGGAGGUUUUAUACUAGAUGCGUGCAAAAUUUGACGGGUUAAUUACAAGUACAUGACCCUGUACGAAUUUAUUUUGAAAGGUUUUGAAAAAAAAAAAAAAAGGGGCAGUUGCAAGUUUUAUUAUUUGAAAAGGAAUUUUGGUUUUCUUGGCUAAAUGACGGAAGAUAAGAAAUGGGUUUGGUUGAUAACAUGCGUGUAUGGUCACUAAGUGGAACCCGUCACUCAACGGGAGUUUGGAGCGAUGCCUGCUUUUAUCAGAUGCCCGGUGGGGGUCCAGAAGCCGGUAAUGGUGGAGGCUGGACCGAUACUCCUUUAUGGGAUGUCGUCUAGAUAGGGGUUCUAGACGUUGCUGUGACCGAUGGGGUAGGACGAUGCCUGAUUUUUAUCGAAUGCCUGGUGGGGGUUUGGAUGAUCACCGACUGGGGAGUUGGUUGUGGCCAAUGGGCCUUAAUAACUGGAACAUGCCAGAGUGAUUGAAAGAGUUGUGCCUUAUUAUCGGGCAAAAUUAUGUGGCACGGUAUGAGACGUGUCAUAAUGGUUUGGCCUUAUAAUUGUGACCUUUGUGAUUGAUUGAUAUAUGAAAGUGAGGCAUUCCUGUUGUUGAUUAUGCUUGCUGUGUGUAUAAAUGUAUAUGAGAUGUACUAAUAUGCAGGAAGGUGCUGAGGCGAGGUAAGUUCUGAGUGGUGCAUGUUUAGGACGCCUCUGAGUGAAUUCUCAUCAUAAUCGGGGUUUAGGGUAUUGACUCGCUGAGACAUUGUCUCACCCUGUCAUGGUUUAAAUUUUUCAAGUCUCUACUGUGGAGAACCCGGAGCCCGAGGCUAAAGGGUUUGGAGCGUAGAUGGCCCAGUAGAUUCUUUUGGGUUAAACCUUCUGUUUAUAGACCUAUAAGACUGGUUUGAUAUGUGUAUAAAGUGAUUUGUGAUAAUUGGCUUGUCUUUCCACUAUCCCAAUGUUUGAUGGUGGUCCGGAUAUCUGUUUAUUUCGCUUCCGCAUGUGCAUAAAAUGAAAGAGUCGGUGACGCAUCUUGGGAACAUGGCAAAAUUUUAGUUGACCGCCGAGGGAUGUGUGCAUGCUCGGGGUUCGAGGUGUGACAUAGAGUGCUUGAAGUCUUGCUCAUAAUGCUGCAACAUUCUUCUCGUUGGCAACUUCUAUUAAAAUCUCAUUUGACAAGUUCAACAGAAUUGUGUUAUUUGCUCUUUCCAUUAUAUCUAUCCUCUUAGCGGCUUUCAUUAUAGUCAGCAACUCAUCUUCAUUAUCAAGUGCCUUGGCCAAACCUUGGGUUGUCAAUAAUGCCCACAUCUUGAUGCUCCAUAACCCAAAGUUGUUCCUCUCAUUGAACUUCUCAAUUUCCGAUUUCCUCUCAAACAUAAUUGCAAAAACAGAAUUUCCAAAUAACAAUUAGACAAGCAAAAACUCCAAAUCACAAUCAAUAAAUUUGAUCCCAAGCUCUAAUACCAAUUGUUGAAAUAUAUAAUGCGUGAAAAUGACAGGAUCUUACAAUUUACGUCAAUGUGAAAUCACUAGAGAAAUAAAUGAAAAAUAAUAAGGACACUAAAAAUUUACGUGGUUCGGUCUCAACGAGGAGAGCCAGCAACAAAUAAUCUACUAUAAUCGGAGAAUCGGAGUUUACAAUUGCUCACACGCUUAAGUGUUUUCCACACCUAGAUUUAAGCCAAAACUCAAAGUAUUUAUAAAUAAACAACUUACUUGGACAUAAAUUUACGAUGCAAAAUUACCGCACAUUCAAGCUAAAGUAAAAUGCUCUACGUACACCAAAACAAGAACUAGGCGUCUGUCUCUUCUCCACAUACGUAUAGCUUCGCGUUCUCUACCCCUUCAAGGCUUGUGCGAUGUAUGGACGUGUGAACGUGCGGCUCCUUUUUCUUUCGUAGGGCUUCUGUUCUUUUUUCCACUAUAGAGCACCCCUUUUAUAUUGUGUGCCCAUAGUCAAAACUUUGACUCUGGGCCCCACCUUGGAUUCUUUUCUCCAAUAUGGGUUCUUCUUCUACCUUCUUCUGCACGUACAAAGAAAGAUAGAAAACCCUAACUUUUUUUUUAUUUUAUCUUUAUUUUAUUUCCUCCUUUGUGCAGCUAUAAGGAGUCCAACUAAAAAAAAAGGGUUUUUCAUCCAAUUUGAAAUCUACUUGGAAAAUCUUUCUCAACAAGUUCAAUUUAACAAUUAUCCAAAUUCAAACUCGAGACAUUAAUUUAACAAAAAUGCCAUUUGCAUCGAUAGUUAUCCGAAAUUUUCUAAAUCGUUUUGGCUUUUAGAUAAUUUUUAAAAUUGGAACCUCCUUGGAUGCAACGGCAGAUAUAACUUGCUUCAGUUUUGGCUCAUACACUAGUUUUUAGGUCCACACCAUAUUGUGUAACGAGGCAUAGCUUUCUUUGAGAAAGCUACUCUCACCGAAUUAUCUUAAAUAGUAACUUGUGCCAUUUUGCUGGUCCACACCAUAUUGUAUUAUAUCUUUCCUUCUUAGAUAGUUCUUUGCCUUAUAUUUCUUAUUCAAUUGUUGGACGCAUGAAAGAGCGACCAAAAGCAUCCUAUCCAUUCAUUAAACACAUGAACUCAUAUUCUAGUGGAGUUAUUCGCCAAAUUUACGAUAUGGACACCUUGAUGUGCUAUUUGGAUUGUGCCUCAAAUUUCAAUUUACGCUUCAUAUUCUUAUCGCAGGAUUUCGAACAACCACCUUACCCUACUCAAUUUGAUUAAUAUCAAAACACUGUAAGUGUCAGCUUCAUUACUAAACUAAGUAGAUCACCGAGUAAACAAGCAAUUCACCGCCUCAAUCAAAGUCCGGACAUGCUAGCAUAAUAAACCAAGCGGAUGUCAUGAAAAAAAUGCAUACUAUAUGCUAACCACUAGAGGUGAGAAAAUGGAUGAUGAACCCAUAUUGUAAUUCAGAUUCAAUGACCUGGUAAUAACAUGAGUUGUUAGCUAUCUGUGAUAAGGGGGAGGUCUAAAACUUUUUUUUUUUUUUUUAUCUCGAACCACUCUUAAAUGUGGUGCGACACAAACAUGGACAUCACCUGUACUUAGUUCACUAAUAAGAGAUAUGACGGACCUCACUAAAAGAGUGCACCAUUUCAUGGCAUUUACAUAAUAACAAUGAAAACAAUAAUAAAUAAUAAUAAUUUGUACGCCCUUCGUGCAAUUGGUCGGCUAAAUGUGCUUUGAGUCAUGGUGUAAACCAAGAGUUCAUGUACUAGAUCUUAGAAGGAACUUCUGAUACCCUCAACAGUUUCAUCGUUUUUUUGCCAUUGGAUCUUCCUUUCGUAACACACACACACACAAACGGAAGAAAAAAACAUCAUAAGCCAGAAAAACUUUCCGAGGAAUGCUCUCGAACUAUUCGUUCUUAAAAAUAUUUAAACGUCUAGCAUCACAUUUUAUAUUGUUUUAAUGCCUUAUCGGAAAAAAAAGAAAAAGGUUAGUAUCUCUUAGCAAAUCCCUCAAGUUAGCACAUGGAUUACAUAAUCCAUUGCAUAGACAAUCCAUUAAAUAUGCUAUUGAGGAAUUUAAUUAUUGUAAUUAGCGUGUGAUAUCGCAUACGUGUGGAUAAGGAGAGUAGCUAAGCUAAGCUCUUAGAAUAGAUCAGAGGGAUAAAUAAUUAACUUGAUGCUAUGGACUGCUUCGAUGUCUCCUUUUGCAUGUCCAGCUCCAGCCGGUUCCAACCAUUUUAGUGGGUCUUUUGGAUCGAUGGUUUCAUCACUUUGUUCUUCGGUUAUAAAAUGGAAGUUUAGUGGAGUAAUGUGUAACAAUUGAAAGUUUAGAAGGAACCUCGUAUUACCCCUUAAAUUAGGGUAAGUUUUGUGUAAUUUUCCCAUACAUUUAUUAUGUGAUGCCCAAUUUCUAAAACAUUAUUCGCAAGGUGAUAGGGUAGGGUAGAUUUAGAAAAUUAGGUGUAGAAAUAUGAGAAGCCAAACUUAUAUUCUAACUAAGCAUCUCAACUUUUCCAUCAAAGUCACCAAGGAACCACAUAAUAUAAGGUCCAUGAUUAGUGUGAGCCCAUUACAAUGUUGGCCCGACAAAAAUCGAUGGACAUUCGACUUCACAGCCUUGAGUAAGGACAUUCAUAAAAAUCACAAUUUCUUAGUCCAAGUCGCGUGGAACUGGUGAUGUUUUCCCGAAAUGGAUCCAAACCUGUAGAACAGCAAACAUCUUUCAACAAACAACUCUCACCGGCGAAUGUUCUCUUACGAAUUUGUGUUAGCAAGGCAAGACAGUCACGUCUUUUCUCGAAUCAAAUAGAAACUGCAAAUUGCCAUUCCGCCGCCUUUCAUUUAUACUCUCUGCAAUGCACGCACAAUAACCGUUCAAUCACAGAGCUGUUUUUCAGUAAGAGUAGAUAGCAGCAACCCGUGCAUAUAUCACCAUGUUGUCAUGCAUAUAUCACCAUACAGUCAUGCAUAUCUCACCAUGCCAUCGUGCAUAUACCACCAUGCAAUCAUACUUGUAUUUCCAUGAGGUUCAUUCCAUGCCAUAUGCACAUACAUACUCAUGAUUCAUAUCAUCCAUACAAUCAUGUAUACAUCGCCAUGAGAUCCAUUCAAGCAUUCAUGAUCGAAUUCUCAAUAUCAAAUAGCAUCAAUUUACUUUCAUAAGCAAAUCAUGCAUCAUACCAUAUGCACACACCCAUGCGCAUGAUUCAAUUUCCAAUUUUAUCUUUUAAUAGGAUCUCAUCAUUUUUUUUCUUUCAGGGACUAAUGUUUGCAUCCCUCAAUUUAUCGCUCGCACCCAACCUCGCAUCACGAGGAACCUCCGGCACAAACCUCCGAGCAUCUCGCAUCCCAUCUGGCAUCACAAGAAAUCCCCCUAGCACAAACCUUUAGGGCUUCCGGAAUUACGUACCGCCAUACCACCAGGCAUUCCCCCUGGAAUUACGUACCGUAUACCACCGAGCAUCUCAAAACUCCCGAGGACCCUCCGGCACAAACCUCCAGGCAUCCCAACACUCUCAGGGCAUCGUCGGCUCACACCUCUGAUGGUCUCGUUAUUAUCACAAUUUAUGAUCACAUAUAUGUCUCAUUUUCAACAUGGCAUUUGAUGCAACAAUAUCAAAGGUCUAAACCAGCUUUUUUGAUGUCAUAUGAUAUGCCAAACGUCAUCAUAUAUGCAGCACACACAACACCCACGAUAUCACAUUUCGUAAAGAAAUUCAUUGGCUUUUGAAAAUAGAACCAAUUUUCGGAUAAAACAGAAUGCACCUCUUUAGUAAAAAUUCUUGGAAAAUUAGUAAACAAUCUCAAUAAAUUCUGAAAAUUUGACAUAAUGUAAACAAGAUCCAGAGGAAUAUAUUUCAUGAAGAACACCAUGUCAAGAAAGUUCCACAUCAAUCACAUAGAUCCACACAUCACAGCAAAAGAAAUUCCAGCACCACUUUAACACAGUUUCGGAAAUAAUUUCGAUUAAACCCUUAAAUGAACUCCGAAAAUUCUAAGAUUUUAAUAUGUUAUAGCACAUAGAGGUAAAAGUCCCAUGAAGAAAUCAAAGUCUAAUUCCUUCUGGAUUAAAAGAUAUAAUUUUUGUAAUUCUCCCUAACUCUCGAUUCACUGUCCAGAUUCAUCAUUUUCAAAAAAAAGCGUUUUCCUCGAUCAAUAAUUGUCCUUUUAUUCUAAAAUUUUAAUAUGUUACUCCUUAAGAUGUUGUCUACAACUUUCAUCAAGGACAAAAGAUCAAAUUUCAAACUUAUAACUUUAUAAAAAUCCACAGAAGCGCACUAGGUCAGCAUAACGAUUUCCAAAUCUACUCUCUUCAAAGAAAAAUGGUUUUACCAACCUAUACUUGUUUAUUUACUCUCAAAUUUUGAUAUGUUAAUCAUAAAGAAGUCCUAUACAACUUUCAUUAAGAAGUCAAAGUGAGAUUCCAACUAGAACAUCGCAUGCAACUCACGAAAUCACCAAAGGUCGAACUGUUUUUCCAGAAACAGAACACUAGGCUAGAACACAACUCCUAUAACUUCGAAAUUUCUCACCUCAACCACAUCCAAAAUUCACCAUUCAUCACACACAAACACAGCAAGCAAAGGGUAGAUCAAUGGGCUCUACUUGCCUCUAAUCCAAGCAAAACACAGCAAGCAAACGGCGGGGCAAGGCGGCUUGACGGCGGCGACUCGGCGACACGCACGACAGCGAACGGCCUCCCUCUUCCUUUCCUUCUUUCUCUCUUCCUCUCUUCCUCUCGCACGACGUCUCUCUCUCUCUCUCUCUCUCUCUCUCUCUCUCUCUCUCUCUCUCUCUCUCGGACGAUAACCCUCUCUUCCAAUCCGCCUCUUCUCUUUUCUUUCCCCCUCAAUGAUUUGCAAUCAUUUGAUUUUGCAUGGCUCUUACACUUGGCUACAAAGGGGAAACACUUGGCAAGCUUCUCUUGCCACUGGGGGAUUUAGCCAUGCAAGUUGAUGGGCCUUCCUUUAGGGCCUCUCCCUUCGUUCCUCUCUUCCCAUGGUCGAUGGCAGCCCCUUCCCUUUGGGCUUCACGGGCCAGGCCUAAAUGGCCGAACGGUGGGGUCUUGCAGGCUGGUUUUGGCCUAAGAAUUUUGGCCCACUUCCUCUUUUAAUAAUUUACUCUAAAUCCCACUUAUAAAAUCCUAACUGAAAUUUAUAUAACCAUAAAAAUUGCAACAUAAAUUAAUAAAUUCCAACUUAUAAAACACAUGGCCAAGAGUAGAAUUUUCUUUCCUAUCAAAUAAUUUUCCACUAAAAGCUUGGCCUUAAUCUUAUUGCAAAUCAUGGAUCAAAUGGCUACAACAUAAUUUGAUGGUGCUUCCAUCACCUAUUCAUGGAUCAUAGCAUAUCUAGGGAUUGUCAUGAAAUUCUAGGAUGCCACAAUAUCCCUUUGCCAUAAGUCUCGCCUUAUACCUCGCUCUCUCAACAACAGGAAUGCCCUCUUUCCAUUUAAAAACCCAUUUACUUUUGACAAUCUUCAAACUCUUUGGUACUUUGACUAACUCCCAUGUCUAAUUUUGAUGGAAUGAUUCAAUCUCUUUACUCAUAACCCCUAGCUAUUGCGACGACUUAGAGCCAGCCAUCACCUUAGAGUAAGACGAAUGCUCAUCUGUCUCCACCUCAUCACCUACAGUCAAUGCAUAAGCAAUAUAUGUAUAACCAUAACGUACCGGUGAUUCAAUUUGUCUUCUCUAUCUAUCUACAGGUAUAAUGUGUAGUGGCUUUGCUGAUUUUUCACUAUCAUCGACUUUAGGAACUAUGGCCUCAUCUACAGUCUCAACUUCUAUUACCUUAGAGGUCUCCAGACUCUCCACUUGAAACUCCAUCUCACUAAUGACACCAUGAUAUGUUUGCUCUACUGGUUGUGUUUUAGAACUCUUAUGCUAAAGCAUUGCAGUCUUGUCGAAGAUCACAUUUCUGCUGAUUAGAAAAUCGGGUAAUCUGGGAUCAGUAUACCACAGUCGGUAGCCUUUCACCCCAUGUGCAUAACCUAGAAAUAUGCACUUCUUUGCACUCAACUCAAGCUUAUCAUCACUCGCAUGAGCAUAUGCAGGACAUCUGAAUAUAUGUAAUCCGGAGUAAUUAACAUGUUUCCCCAACUAUACUUCCUCAGGAGUCUUCCACUCGAUAGCAGGUGAUGGAGAUUGAUUAACCAUAUAACAUGCCAUGUUUACCGCUUCUGCCCAAAAUUUCUUGCCAAAUCCUACAUGUGAAGGCAUGCAUCAAGCUCACUUAUGCAAAUUUAUGUUCUUCUAUUCUAUCACACCAUUCUACUGUAGUAUCCCAGGUAUUGUGCAGUGUCUUAUAAUCCAUUCUUUUCCGCAGAACUCAAUAAAAUCUUUACCACAAAACUCCAUGCCAUUAUCAGUUCUUAGGCACUUGAUUUGUUUAUCUGAUUGCUUCUCAAUUAGUGCAUUAAAUUUCUUGAACCAAUCGAACACUUCAUAUUUAUGCUUAAGAAAGUAUACCCAUAAUUUCCUCGAAUAAUCGUCAAUAAAUGUCAAGAUAUAUAGGGCACCUCCUUUAGAAGGAACUGAAGAUAGGCCCCAGACGUCUAAAUGAAUGUAUUUAACUAGUUGUUUAGUGGAAUGAACAGCUAUAGUAAACUUAACUCAACGCUGCUUCCCAAAGAUGCAGUGCUAACAUAGCACUAACAUAAGUCCAGCUUCCUUAUCUUUUGACCGUUCAACAACCCUUUAUCACUUAGCAUUGUCAUACUUGCCUUACUCAUGUCACGCCCCGAACCUCGAGCACGUCAACAUCCCACCAUGGUCAUUCUAAUGCGACGUCCCAGGUUAAGUCGCCGACCCACUCAAAUAUUUAAUGCACAUGCGAAAGCAUAUUAUAAAACCCUUGACAAUAAAAUACGGGAUAGAAAAGCAGGAAGCAAAAUCACCACAUAACAUUUUCAUAAUUCAACAGAAUUACAAACAAAGGUCUACGACCAACAGUCUACAAAAGACCGGCUCUUAAAAAGGAAUUGUCCUACGACCUACAAGUCGAACACGUUCUCCAAUCCUCCUGAUUUCACCUCUGCAACUCCUCAAGGCCAACCAAAGCUAUCUAGCUGCUCCGUCAACCAGGGACCUGAAAUUUUAAUCCCCAAACCGGGAUGAGACAAUAUCUCAGCAAGUUCAACCCCCUAAACCCUUAUUAGAAAGAAAAUACACCCCGGGUGACCUGGCCACAUCACACAAAAGACUUACCUUGCAUUAGCCUUCACAUGCAGGUUAGCACAAUUUAUAUAAUUCAACCACGUACAAUUAUGAUAACCAAACAACCAUGGCACAAUCACAUCAUCAGAACAAUUCAACCACUUGGAUCGUCUCAACGAUCAAUCGACUUGGCCGAUUACAUGUCAUUCUAGCAAAUCAAUCAUUGCUCUCAAUCACGGCCCCACUCGGCCAAUUUUAGAAUUAGUGGCAUCACGGCCCCACUCGGCACGACCUUUAAAAAGGUGGUAGAUUACGGCCCGGUUGGGCGCGACCUUUAUCAAGUGGCAAUUCACGGCCUCACUGGGCACGACCUUUAUCAGGUGGCAUAUCACGGCCCCACUGGGCGCGAUCUCUAAUAGGUGGCAUAUCACGACCCCACUGGACGCGACCUUUAUCAGGUGGCAUAUCACGGCCCCACGGGGCGCGACCUCUAAUAGGUGGCAUAUCACGGCCCCACUGGGCACGACCUCUAAUAGGUGGCAUAUCACGGCCCCACUGGGCGCGACCUUUAUCAGGUGGCAUAUCACGGCCCCACUAGGCGCGACCUCUAAUAGGUGCCAUAUCACAGCCCCACUGGGCGCGACCUCUAAUAGGUGCCAUAUCACGGCCAAUCACCCAUCAAUUUCCACACUUGGAACUUUAUAAAAAGAAUCCAUAUUUAUCACAAUCACACUCCAUUUGCCACAAUCAAUCAUCAAAUUCAAAUUCUAAGUAUGCAGCAGCGAUUGGCACGAAAUUCUGAGAGUAUAAAGUCCCGACAAAAUUUUCGGAAUUUAAUAAAUAAUUAAUUUUAUUCCGAAAAUUAAUUAAAUAAUAUUAUCCAUAGUUUUCGCAAUCCAUGCUCAAUUUAUAANNNNNNNNNNNNNNNNNNNNNNNNNNNNNNNNNNNNNNNNNNNNNNNNNNNNNNNNNNNNNNNNNNNNNNNNNNNNNNNNNNNNNNNNNNNNNNNNNNNNUGACUACACAGCAGAGAUCGGCACGAAAUUCUGAGCAACCGGGGUCAACAAUAAUUUUUCCUUUUUUUAUAAUAAUAUUUUAAUAAUUUCGGAUUAUAAUAUAAUAUUAUAAUUUCCAGAAUUUCGAAACAUUUAAAUAAUUCAAAAAUAAAACCUAUUAUGUCACAUCAAGGUUUAUUAUCAAAUAAACUCUCUUAGCCUUUAAUUAAACAUGCUUUAAAUUAAACAAACAUCUUAAUUUAAUUCACAAUUAAAUAAACUAAACUAAUCACCUAAGCUUACUUAACUUAGGCUAAGCACACUUAGGGCAUCAUUAAUCGUCUAAUCAAGGUUUAGUGAGCUAAACUCACCGGAUUAGCGAGCCGAGCGAACCAAAACGACGAGGACGACCCGAGGAUCGACUUUCUUCAAGGCGGACCGAGCAUCCGGGCUCGGGAAGACGGCCAAAACGGGCCAAAUAGGUGCUGCCAUACCCAUUUUUGCAGCCACUGAUUUGGGGCUGGAGGAGGCGGAUCCGGCGCCGGAAUGGGCGGAGGAGGGCGGCGGCAGCUCGUUGGUGGCUCGGACGGUGGCACAUGGCGGCCAGGCGGGCCUCUAGCGACCUUCACGACAACGAACGGGCGGCUGGACGGUGAAGGGACGACGGCUGGUGGCAGACGAAGCAAGAACGGGAGGGGUGGAGCAGCUCGCGUGCAGACGGGCGGCGACGGCGAACGGCGUGCGGCAGUGGUGAACGGCGGAGGCGUGCAACCUCUUCGGCUCCGCUGGUCUGCUCGGUUCUGCCCAGCAACAAGAAGAAGAAGAUGGAGGAUAGACGAUCGAACGGUAGGGGAAGAGAAGAAGACGGAAGGCAAACGGCGGCGACGGCGGCGAGCGGUGAGCUCCGGCGAUGGGCGACAAGCGGCGAAGGAGGCGGACGGCGAGGGGCUGCUUUGGCUUCUUCCUCUGCAAAUUUUCUGGUCUUUCGCACAAAGAAGAUGGAGGAGAAGCCAACAGAAGGGAGAGAGGAAGGAGAGAGAAGGAGAGAGAAGGAGGGGGCCCUUUUCUUUUCUUUUUCCUUUUUUUUAAUCCAACAAAUGGCCUAUCAUGACAUCACUUGAUGAUGUCAUACUCUACCAUCUCCCACAACCUUAUUCCAAUGGGUUCACUUGCAAUUUCCGCCGGGGUCCAAUUCUUUGUACAAUAACUUCUUCAAUUUCACUUGAUUCUCUUCUAAUUGAAUUAAAUUAAAGCUCAUAAAAUUAAUUCAAUGUCACCACACUUCAAUUCACAUCUUCACUUGUCUAUAGAACCAACUUAAGUCCCAAAAGCAAGACCAAAGGCGGCCUACUAAUUUCUCGAGCCAAAAUAGCCAUUCUCUAAUUUAAUUUCUGAAAAAUUCUGAUUACAUGAAAAAUCUUCCGAAGAUGAGUUAAUGAUCCUAAAAUAAUUUGUGACACACCCAGACUUCCAAUUUCUGAAUUCUGACUCAAUUUCACGGUUAAUUUCAUUUUGGCACGAUACUAGCGUGGCCCAACCUAUCGGGUAGCCUUUAGAAAUUUUCAUGCAUUGACNNNNNNNNNNNNNNNNNNNNNNNNNNNNNNNNNNNNNNNNNNNNNNNNNNNNNNNNNNNNNNNNNNNNNNNNNNNNNNNNNNNNNNNNNNNNNNNNNNNNGCCGUCGAAUUUCGGUGAGUUAACUUCCUAAUCCUUAAUUAGGUUGUUAAUUUCACUUAGGGGUUAUAUUAGUGUUAAUUAGCAUGGUUAUAUUAGUGCUAAUAAUCAUUAGUGUUAAUUAAGUUGGAUUAGCUUAAAUUCAGAUCAGUUCACUGGACCCUCAUUGUUUGCCAUUUUUGUGGAGAAAAUGUGCUACAAUUUUGAGGUAGCUUUCUUCUUAAAAAAUGUUCUAGACAUCUUUAGCUAUGACAUAUAUUUUACUCAGAAUUUUAUGGAUUUAAAUGAACAAGAUUUCAGUCUCGCCAUUUGCAAAAUAGAAUCUUGGAUUGUGCUGAAACAAUGACCUUUUGGUGUUCAAUGAAUUUUUAUUAACUCUUAGGGUUCAAUUUUUAAAAGAUUUUUUCGACGAAAGUUGUUUUUCACAUCUUGUAGUUUAACAUAUUCAAAUUUCAGAUCAAACAGACAAGUUUUGGACCUUGAACCAAACUGAUUUUGGAAAACAAAAUUUUUGGAUAUGGGCACAGUUUUUGUAACGGUUUGAGCGAAUUACUGCUCUUAAUCUAAGAAGAUUUGGGUUAAGUUGUCUUCAAUAAAAAUGUUCGUUUAGGUGUCCUUUACAACAUAUUCAUAUUUGAGAAUUUUUCGAAUUCGUUUGAUUACGUUUCUGGAUUUAAACUCGGAGACGUGCGAGUGGCCAGAUUUCUACCGGUUAGGAUCGGUUGUGAUUUUGUUGUUGUUCUUGGUGUAGUACUUGCUGAAUCAUGUGUAUUUGGUGAUGAGGUUGACUCGUGGCAUGCUAAGAACUUAUGUGUGAGAUCGUGAGGUUAAUUGGUCUUUGUUGGUUAUUUAUUGUUAUUGCAAAAUGUGACCCUUUGGACUAUUAAAUAGAAAAUAAAUGAGGUGUCGAGUCCGGACACCAAAACUUGUUUGCCCAAUACAAAAAUAAGGUUUUAAACUAGGUGCGUGCAAAUUUUGACGGAUUAAUUUUGAGUAUGUGAGCACUUAUGAAUUUAUUUCUAAACGUGUUAAAAAAAAAAAAGAAGAGGUUAUUAAAGCUUAGUUCCAAAAAGGAGUGUUUGGAAAAGAAAUUAGAAAAGAAAUAUGAUAUCGGGUUUGGACGCCAAGUCUUAUGUGCUCAAUAAAACGAGGAGGUUUUAUACUAGAUGCGUGCAAAAUUUGACUGGUUAAUUACAAGUACGUGACCCUGUACGAAUUUAUUUUGAAAUGUUUUGAAAAAAAAAGGGUAGUUGCAAGUUUUAUUAUUUGAAAAUGAAUUUUGGUUUUCUUGGCUAAAUGACGGAAUACAAGAAAUGGGUUUGGUUGAUGACAUGCAUGUAUGGUCACUAAGUGGAACUCGUCACUCAACGGGAGUUUGGGGGCGAUGCCUAAUUUUAUCGGAUGCUUGGCGAGGGUCUAGAAGCCAGUAGCGGUGGAGGCUGGACCAAUGCUCCUUUAUGGGAUGCCGUCUAGGCAGGGGUUCUAGACGUUGCCGUGCCCGAUGGGGCGGGACGAUGCCUGAUUUUUAUUGAAUGCCUGACGGGGGUUUGGAUGAUCGCCGACUGGGGAGUUGGCUGUGGCCGAUGGGCCUUAAUAACUAAAACAUGCCUGAGUGAUUGAAAGAGUUGUGCCUUAUUAUCGGGCAAAAUUAUGUGGCACGGUAUGAGGCGUGUCAUAACGGUUUGGCCUUAUAAUUGUGACCCUUGUGAUUGAUUGAUAUAUGAAAGUGAGGCAUUCCUAUUGUUGAUUACGCUUGCUGCGUGUAUAAAUGUAUAUGAGAUGUACUAAUAUGCAGUAAGGUGCUAAGGCGAGGUAAGUUCUGAGUGGUGCAUGUUUAGGACGCCUUUGAGUGAAUUCUCGUCAUAAUCGGGGUUUAGAGUGUUGACUCGCUAAGACAUUAUCUCACCCUGUCGUGGUUUAAAUUUUUCAAGUCCCUAGUGUGGAGAACCUGGAGCCCGAGGCUAAAGGGUCUGGAGCGUAGAUGGCCCAGUAGAUUCUUUUGGGUCAAACCUUCUGUUUAUAGACCUAUAAGACUGGUUUGAUAUGUGUAUAAAGUGAUUUGUGAUAAUUGGCUUGUCUUUCCACUAUCCCAAUGUUUGAUGGUGGUCAGGGUAUUUGUUUAUUUCGCUUCCGCAUGUUCAUAAAAUGAAAGAGUCGGUGACGCAUCUUCGGAACGUCGCAAAAUUUUAGUUGACCGCCGAGGGAUGUGUACAUGCCCGAGGUUCGAGGUGUGACAUAGAGUGCUUGAAGUCUUGCUCAUAAUGCUGCAACAUUCUUCUCGUCAGCAACUCCUAUUAAAAUCUCACCUGACAAGUUCAACAGAAUUGUGCUAUUUGCUCUUUCCAUUAGAUCUAUCCUCUCAGCGGCUUUCAUUAUAGUUAGCAACUCAUCUUCAUUAUCAAGUGUCUUGGCCAAACCUUGGUUGUUAAUAAUGCCCGCAUCUUGAUGCUCCAUAACCCAAAGUUGUUCCUCUCAUUGAACUUCUCAAUUUCCGAUUUCCUCUCAAACAUAAUUGCAAAAACGGAAUUUCCAAAUAACAAUUAAACAAGCAAAAACUCCAAAUCACAAUCAAUAAAUUUGAUCCCAAGCUCUGAUACUAAUUGUUGAAAUAUAUAAUACGUGAAAAUGACAGGAUCUUACAAUUUACGUUAACGUGAAAUCACUAGAGAAAUAAAUGAAAAAUAAUAAGGACACCAAAAAUUUACGUGGUUCGGUCCCAACGAGGAGAGCCAGCAACAAAUAAUCUAUUAUAAUCGGAUAAUCAGAGUUUACAAUUGCUCACAUGCUUAAGUGUUUUCCACACCUAGAUUUAAGCCAAAACCCAAAGUAUUUAUAAAUAAACAACUCAUUUGGACAUAAACUCACAAUACAAAAUUACUGCACAUUCAAGCUCUAGAACAAAUGCUCUACGUACACAAAACAAGAACUAGGCGUAUGUCUCUUCUCCACAUACGUAUAGCUUCGCGUUCUCUACCCUUGAAGGCUUGUGCGAUGUAUGGACGUGUGGACGUGCGGCUCCUUUUUCUUUCGUAGGGCUUCUGUUCUUUUUUCCACUAUAGAGCACCCCUUUUAUAUUGUGUGCCCAUAGUCAAAACUUUGACUCUGGCCCCACCUUGGAUUCUUUUCUCCAAUAUGGGUUCUUCUUCUACCUUCUUCUUCACGUACAAAGAAAGAUAGAAAACCCUAACUUUUGUUUUAUUUUAUCUUUAUUUUAUUUCCUCCUUUGUGCAGCUAUAAGGAGUCCAACAAAAAAAAAAGGGUUUUUUCAUCCAAUUUGAAAUCUACUUGGGAAAUCUUUCUCGACAAGUUCAAUUUAACAAAUCAUUAUCUAAAUUCAAACUCAAGACAUUAAUUUAACAAAAAUGCCCUUUGCAUCAAUAAUUAUCCGAAAUUUUCUAAAUCAUUUUGGCUUUUAGAUAAGUUUUAAAAUUGGAACCUCCUUGGAUACAAUGGCAGAUAUAACUUGCUUCAGUUUUGGCUCAUACACUAGUUUUUAGGUCCACACCAUAUUGUGUAACGAGGCAUAGCUUUCUAAAAGAAAGCUACUCUCACCGAAUUAUCUUAAAUAGUAACUUGUGCCAUUUUGCUGGUCCUUCGUGUUUGCUUUUGUGAGUUCGGGCUUGUAUUAUAUCUUUCCUUCUUAGACAGUUCUUUGCCUUAUAUUUCUUAUUCAAUUGUUGGACGCAUCAAAGAGCAACCAAAAGCAUCCGAUCCAUUCAUUAAACACAUGAACUCAUAUUCUAGUGGAGUUAUUCGCCAAAUUUACGAUAUGGACACCUUGAUGCGCUAUUUGGAUUGUGCCUCAAUUUUCAAUUUACGCUUCAUAUUCUUAUCGCAGGAUUUCAAACAACCACCUUACCCAACUCAAUUUGAUUAAUAUCAAAACACUGUAAGUGAGUCAGCUUCAUUAGUAAACUAAAGUAGAUCACCGAAUCAACAAGCAAUUCACCGCCUCAAUCAAAGACUAGACAUGCUAGCAUAAUAAACCACGCAGAUGUCAUGAAAUAAUGCAUAACAUAUGCUAAUCACUAGAGGUGAGAAAAUGGAUGAUGAACCCAUUUUGUAAUUCAGAUUCAAUGACCUGGUAAUAACAUGAGUUGUUAGCUAUCUGUGAUAAAAGGGAGGUCUAAAACUUUCUAUUUUUUUUUUAUUUCAAGCCACUCUUAAAUGUGGUGCGACACAAACAUGGACAUCACCUAUACUUAGUCCACUAAUCAGAGAUAUGAUCAGAAGAAAUCAAGAACGGACCUCACUAAAAAAGUGCACCAUUUCAUGGCAAUAAUAUAAGAACAAUGAAAACAAUAAUAAAUAAUAAUAAUUUGUACGCCCUUCAUCCAAUUGGUCGGCUAAAUGUGCUUUGAGUCAUGGUGUAAACCAAGAGUUCAUGUACUAGAUCUUAGAAGGAACUCCUGAUAUCCUCAACAGUUUCAUCGUAUUUUUGCCAUUGGGUCUUCCUUUCGUAACAUACACACACGCAGACGGAAGUAAAAAGCAUCAUAAGCCAGAAAAACUUUCCGAGGAAUGCUCUCGAACUAUUCGUUCUUAAAAAUAUUUAACGUCUAGCAUCACAUUUUAAAUUGUUUUAAUGCCUUAUCGAGAAAAGAAAAAAAAACAGUUAGUAUCUCUUAGCAAAGCCCUUAGGUUAGCACAUGGAUUACAUAAUCCAUUGCACAGACAAUCCAUUAAAUAUGCUAUUCGGGAAUUUAAUUAUUGGAAUUAGCGUGUUAUAUCGCAUACGUGUGGAUAAGGAGAGUAGCUAAGCUAAGCUCUUACAAUAGAUCAGAGGGAUAAAUAAUUAACUUGAUGCUAUGGACUACUUCGAUGUCUCCUUUUGCAUGUCCAGCUCCAGUCCGAUCCAACCAUUUUAGUGGGUCUUUUGGAUCGAUGAUUUCAUCACUUUGUUCUUCGGUUAUAAAAUGGAAGUUUAGUGGAGUAAUGUGUAACAUUGAAAGUUUAGAAGGAACCUUGUAUUACCCCUUAAAUUAGGGUAAUUUUUGUGUAAUUUUCCCGUACAUUUAUUAUGCGAUGCCCAAUUUCUAAAACACUAUUCGCAAGGUGAUAGGGUAGGGUGGAUUUAGAAAAUUAGAUGUAGAAAUAUGAGAAACCAAACUUAUAUUCUAACUAAGCGUCUCAACUUUUCCAUCAAAGUCACCAAGGAGCCACAUAAUAUAAGGUCCGUGAUUAGUGUGAACCCAUUACAAUGUUGGGCCGACAAAAAUCGAUGGACAUCUGACUUCACGGCCUUGAGUAAGGACAUUCAUAAAAAUCACAAUUUCUUACUCCUAGGGGUGAGCGGGUCCAGGGUGGGUAGGGUCUAGACCUGGACCCUGUUCCCUACUCUAUUAUAACCGGUUCUCCUUUUUUGGACCCUGUUCCCUACCUGUUUUUAUUGGACCCUGUUCCCGGCCCACCCUAUUUUUCCGAUCCGGGAACAAGGUUGACCCUGUUUAUAUUGGAACCUGUUCUGCAUAAAAAUUAACCUUAGAAAAGCAAGUCUAGAUGAGUUAUCUUGCUGCUUGGCCAAUUCUUUCUGCAAUCCCCAGCAAAAAUAUCAAGAUCAAAAUUAGUCAGGUGCGUUAAAUAACCCCUACCAUUGACUUGCUUCAGUUAAUCAGAAUCAAACUAACCUUGAAGACUGUUUCUUCCUUCCACAUCUCAACCCCUUUGCAGAACGACCUUGACGAGGUUCCUAAUCAUUCAAAUGGCCAAGAAAAAUGUUGACAGUCUUUUGGUCAAUAACUAAAUUGUUCUACUUACAGGAGGAGCUAAAGAAAUCAGAGUGGAAAGCAGAACGAGAAAGAAUUGAACAUAAUUUCCCAGUGACAAACCUAAAAAGAGUAUGAUGAUUAAAACGGUGAUGAGCCAGUAAGGGAAGACCACACUGAGCGCUACACCGACGGUGAUGCCGAGCAUUAGCAUGGGCUGGAACAGAAGGGCCAGAUCAUAGUCUAUGAUGGGAACUUCCCUCAUCGGAUGGGGUACUCUCAGGUUGUACCAGACAGAGGCCGUGGAUGCCCCCGUUAUCAUACCUGCACAAAUACCAAAACUUUCAAUUAACAAAAGUCCUUGCUGAGAAGUUGGCAUAAUUCUUCCCAGCUCCUUUAGCUAGAGAAGCAAGGAAAGGCCAAAAAAAAAAGGAAACAAUUCAUAAACAAACCUCAAAUCAACAAAAAAAAACACUGGACUUGAAACAAUGAACACAGAGAAAAAAGUUUCCACUUUUCGAGCGUAAUUAUCAAUCUAAGCUCGUUAAAAAAUGAUUUCCUUCCUUUUGGUUACUUUUGUGUGCUCUUCAACGCGUGUGGCAAGGUAAAAAGGAAAGUGUUCACCACCAUCACCAUCACGUCACAUCUCAUUCCAACUCUAGUAUAAUCUCACUGCAACCUAUGGUAGGCACCGAAUCCUGUACAAAUGACCACUUGCAACGGCACUAAAAGAAGGAAACAGAAAAGUGAUUGAGAAGGAGAUUAUGAUAUUCUGAGGAAUUUUGUCCGACUCACACUUGGAGAUGGCAGCAGCAGACUUGGUGUCGAACCCGACGACGAGGGUGAGCAUGGGCACGAAAAUGCCGCCGCCCCCGACGCCGCCCACCGUCCCACAUGCCGACCCCAGAAAACUGAUCACCGUGGCCACCACCACCCGCCACCCAAACUCCAAAUCCUGCUCCACCCCCAUCACCCAGAAAACCAAACGAAAACCACCUUUAUGAGUCGAAAUCCACGUUGGCAAAAAGUAGACCUGUUAAACGGGUGGGUCGGGUCGGGUUUGGGUCGGGUCAUAAAUGGUCCGACCCAAAUCGACCCAUUUAACCCGUUUAUGACCCAUUUAUUACAAUGCAAAAAUUUUAACCCAUACCCGACCCGACCCGUACCCGACUCAUACCCGACCCAUUUAACGAAACAUAAAAAAGUUUAUAUAUAUAUUUUUAAAAUGAUAUUGCUAAAAUGGUUUUAUACAACAUAAAUUUAAUAGAUAAUUUUUAUAAUUUUUAAAAUAAUUAUUUAAAAAAAAAUCGAAUUUUAAUUAUUUUUUGUUUUUUUAAAAAAUUAAUUUUUUUAUUUUUUAUUUUUUUAAAAAUAAUUUUUUAAUUAUUUUUAUUUUUAUUUUUAAGAAUAUAAUAUAAUAUUUCUUUUUCUUUUUCUUUUUCUUUUUCUUUUUCUUUUUCUUUUUUCUUUUUUCUUUUUUCUUUUUUCUUCUUCUUCUUCGGUCAGCCGCCGGCCACGACGACUGCCGGCGGCCGGCCACAGGCGAGCCUCGAGCUCGCCCGGCUCGCCGACGCCGGCGAGCUCGAGGCUCGCCAGAUCCGGCGAGCUCGAGCUCUCCCGACGCCGGCGAGCUCGAGUCUCGCCCGACGCCGGCGAGCUCGAGUCUCGCCAGAUCGGCGAGGCUCCAGAUCCGGCGAGCUCGAGGCUCGCCAGCGUCGGGCGAGCUCCGGGCUCGCGGGCGUCGGGAGUGGCCGGGCUCGCGGGUCCCGGGGCGUCGGCGAGGCCUCCGCCUCGCCAGAUCUGGCGAGCUCGAGAGCUCGCCCCUCGCCCGACGCCGGCGAGUUCGAGUCUCGCCAGAUCGGCGAGGCUCGAGCCUCCGCCUCGCGAGAUCCGGCGAGCUCUAGCUCGCCCGACGCCGCUCGCCCGGCCGGUCGCCGGCCAUCGCCGUGCCGGCGACCGGAGGAAGAAGAAAGAAAAAAAUAAGAAGAAAGAAAAAAUAAAAAAUAAAAUAAAAUAAAAAUAAUUAUAAUUAUAAUUUCGGUUUUUAUAAAAAAAAAAAUUAUAAAGUCAAAGAGAGGAGAGAGAUGGUGGGGUUUUGAAUGAAAAUAAAUAGGUUUAUUUUUAAUGGGUUGAUAAAUGGGUCAACUCUUUAACCCAUUUAAAACCCAUAUAUCUUAGUCUUAACCCAUUAAAACUCAUUAUGGGUGCUUUAUAAAAGAAAGCUUGACCCAUUAAUGAUCCAUUUAACCAUAAAUGGGUCUAUAAAUGGGUUGUGCAACCCAUUUAACACCUCUAGCAAAAAGCUACGAAAACAGAGCCCGAAGUGCACCCGCGGCGGGUGUGGCGCGGCGGGGGGCUCUGGGGAAGGCAAGACGAGAGGCUGGAGCGAGGAGGAGGAGGCGAGGAAGGGGUCGAGCAGGUGGAGGUUGUCGGGGGUGACGACGACGGUGACGGUGACGGUGACGGCAGGGGCAGCGGGGCGGGGGAGGAGGAGGAGCUUGGCGGCGGUGGUGCGAGCGCGAGGGGAACCGGGAGAGGAGCUCAGGGAAGUCUGGUUCUCUGCGUCUGCGCCUCUACGGGUAAAGAUAGAAAUAAAAUUAGGGUUUUGCUGGGGUAAAAACCGGUUCUCCAACCGGUUCCCAAACCGGUCUGGUCGAACCGGUUCUCGGACCAGUUUAAACAGGGUCUGAGUUUUGGGAACCGGUUCCCGACCCUGUUUUCCGGGUGGGCCGGACCGGGAACCGGGUAAACCCGGUCCGGUUGCACACCCCUACUUACUCCAAGCCGCAUGGAACUGGUGAUGUUUUCCCGCAAUGGAUCCAAACCUGUAGAACAGCAAACAUCUUUCAACAAACAACUCUCAUCGGCGAAUGUUCUCUUACGAAUUUGUGUUAGCAAGGCAAGACAGUCACGUCAUUUCUCGAAUCAAAUGGAAACUGCAAAUUGCCAUUUCCGCCGCCUUCCAUUUAUACUCUCUGCAAUGCACGCACAAUAACCGUUCAAUCACAGAGCUUUACCUCAUAGCAAAAAGGAGAGUCAUGACGCGUCACUCCUUCCAUGCAAUGGCUGUUUUUCAGCAAGAUUAGAUAGCAGCAACUCAUGCAGCAUGACAAUAAGUGAAGGAGAUUAACUUCAGUUCUUUCCAUCACUAUUUGUGCUGGCCUCAGCACCGGAUAACUGAAGCUUACCACAUUCUCUCGCCCCACAAUUCUGAGAGAAAAUACAGUUAGAUAUGUAUCAAACGUGCAACAUCAUCGACGACAAAGAAAUGACGAGAGCAACAUCCAAAGGCGGGGAACUCUAUAAAUUGAAAGAUAAAUACCUAAAAGGAAACUAAUAAUCUUCUCCAAGGGUGAUGAUUGACAGAAAAUGAGAUGCAUCCAGGAAUUUUGAUCUAACAUCCUCAAAUUAUUAGUUUGAGUCUUAGACUCAUACUAUAUCUAAUCAUCUAGCUAUUAUUUGUGAAAAAAAUUUGGGUGCUCUUGAAACAUGACGUUUUCAUAAUCGCUUUGACACGAUUGCGUAUCACUGCUAAUAGUGGCCAUACCUGCAAAUGUCACGUCCAUUGCAGCGAUUCUGCUUCUUGGAUGUCUGCAGAAAAAAUAAAGUAAGAUGUCAGGACCAUGUGAUCUUAUCGUCUUCAACUGCAGGAUAUAGCACCCAACACUUCUGAGAAUCUGUAAAAUGCAAUUAAUGAACUUUUUUCUUUCUCAUGUUUGCACGUUAUGCAGCAUUUUUAUGCUCAAGGUUUUGAAAUAUUUGCUAGGGGGAGAUGGCGGACAGAUACUACUUCUGACAUAGAGAGAGACUUGACCGAUGUCACUGUCCGAGACACAUGAAAGAAAUUGAGCAGCAAGAUAAGAAAGAAUUGACGCACAUCAUCAUCGAAAAACUUACAAGUCCAACGAAAGUACUUCCCCAUGCAAACACCACCUGCGAACAUGGAAACCAAAGGUUGAGAAUCAACAUCUGCUCUGUAGUUUAUUUUUGGCCAGUCUUUUUAAACAACUUCACAGUUUUUACCCUCCUUCGAAAAGCUCUUUAGUGCAAUUAAAGUAGGCAAUGAAGGAUAGAAUGUUUAAAAUUACCUCUUGUGCACUAUCACAGAUUAAGCAUACAACCUGAAACAAAACAUGUAGGUAAGUGGGAACAUCAAGUGAUUAGUCGGUCUAUAAACAUGCUAGAAGUUCAAUAGCAUCCACCCGCUGAACUCAAUGGCAAGGCGAGUCAAUGCCUUGCUUUUGUUUACAUUGAUAUGUUAUUAUGCCCAUAUGAGAACGGAAUGUCUUGUUAUGAAAAGCACGUCCACAGGUUGAAGAUUGAAGAAUCGAAUAUUUGUCAUAUUCGCCAAACUGUAGACUACUUAUUCGAACUCAAUUUGCAUGGCGACUUCUACCUAUAUCCGUCACGCAAUAAUGGCAAACCGCACAUAUCAAAAUAUUGGCACACACAAUAGAAAGUCAACAAUGGUUCAGAGUAAAAUCUCAUCUUAAGAUAACUCAUGUCACUAGCGCCCAAAAUUCAAAAGCAGCUGAAGCUGUGCCUAUAUUUUGGUUAACGAUCAUCCUCUAAUAUAUGGCAAGUAAAAUGCAAUCUAUCAACCGAACUUGCACGAAAGUAUCUUGUAGGUAUCUAGUGCGUUCUUCAUGUCAUAACUAAAGGAAGCUCUCAAGCACAUUUAAGUCUAUGAGGGGCACGAGGAAUCACCUUUGCAUCAUCAUGACAGUGAAGGCAAUAAAAAAUCUCGUUGCAACAGGGGGAUCUAUUGCGGCACCUUCGACGGUAAUGAGGACAUCUGCCGCAGCAGCAGCAACAACUUUGAUAUUAACUGAAAGUUGAGAAGGACAAAGCUUGAACUACUAUUGCUCGAGAAUGAGUCAAGACAUUACUUGUACGGCAAGUACCGCUCUCUAACAAAUCAGUAGCGAUAGCAUCUUCGUGGUCAGAACAGAGCACGGUCGGAAACACGAUUGGACAGCGCUGGAAUCGUAACAACGGGAGGGAACCGAGUGGUGGCCUGAUCGGAAAUGGAGCGGCCGUGGAACCAGAGGGAAAGCAGGACCGAGAGAACAUUUCUCUGUUUUUAGUUCCCCCUCUUCCUUCGUUCGGAGAGAGAGAGAGAGAGAGAUAAAGGUGAGGAAGGAAAGAGGCCGGGCCUUCACUCGGCAUGGGCCUUGGACCUCGGAUGGGCUCCAUUUUUCAGCUCCUUUCUGUUGCUGAGUCUUAUUCGAUGGGCUAUUGGACAAAUCUAAAGAGAUCUGGGCUCAAGUCCCGAUAUUGUCCGGCGGGGAGCGCGAGCUGUGGAUCUGGGCUGAGGUCUUAUUAGUCCUCUCCUUUAAAAAAAAAAAAUUGUUAACUUCAUUUAUCUUUACAAAAAUGCAGAGUCAAUUUGCUAGCAAAAUUUAGGCGUCAACGUCCACAUUGCCAACUCAUCCUGGUUCCAAUGACCAUAAUUGUUUCUGUCAAAGUAUGGAGUUCUAGUGAUAGAUUGACCCUCAUAAAAAUUUUUACUAAGGUUGGAAGACAGAAUAGGAUCUUUAUAAUCAGAAGUAAACAACACUUCAAAGUACAAGCAACGUAAUAUUUAGGCUCUGUUCAUUUCAUGGAAAAUAACUUCUAGAAAAAUGUUUUUCGAAUUUUCCGACGUUCAUUUCACGAAAAAUAAAUUAGUCAAGAAAAAUGUUUUCUACUAUUGGAAAAAAGACACAUUCAAAAGUGAGGGGAAUAUUUUCCACUUUUAAAAAGUAGAAAAUAUUUUUCAUGACUACUUUCACCUCAAUUUCUUUCACCAAACACAUUUUCAUUCCAUUUUUAUGUUUUCUUUUUUACAUCGAUUUUUUAAUUUCUAUUUUCUUUUUUGCUUUUCUCUCUUUCCUUCUCUUAUUCUUCUUUUUUGACCUUGGCAGGUUGAUGAAGAAGAAGAGAAAGAAAGAAAGAAAAGGCAAAAAGAAAAAGAAAAAAAUUAAACAUUAAAAAAUAGAUUUAAAAAAUGAAAUAAUGAAAAAAUCAUUGAAAUUGAGCGCAUGUAGGAAAAUAUUUUUCUUACCGAAUGGUGGAAAAUAUUUUCUAGUUCAUUUUCAAAUUUCAGCCGAAUACGGGAAAAUAUGAUUAUUUUCUUGGAAAAUGACUUGCUAGAAAAUAAUUUUCAAAAACACCACAUUUUUCAAGAAAAAAAACGAAGCCUUAAUACUAGUUAUUGAGGUCAACAAUGCAACCUAACGAAGGGAUGAAUGGGUUGAUUUACAAAAGUAAAAAAUAAUUUAUAAUAGGUCACGUUAAGAAACGCAAAUUAAAUAAAAAGGGGAAAAGGCCUCGAUAACAAAAACUUCAAAUGAUAAUAUUUGAUCAUGCGUUAUGUAUAUAUAAAGGUUUAAUUAAUGUAAAAUGAUUGAUCUACAAAAAAUCUAGAAAGAACUUAUCAAUGAAAAUGAUGUCCUUAACUCAUAAAAGACGAAGAUGAAUCAAACUCUAAGGUGAUUUUGUUAAAAAAUAUUUUUAUUGAUCAAUUUUCUCUUACAUUAAUUAACCAUUUAACAACAAAAAAUGAGUGUCAAUUUUUUUUAUUUGAUUCUUAGUUGUUUGAGGCAUUUUUCCUUUCUACUUAAUUACGUUUCUUUUUGUUCAAAAACCUACUAGUUCUAUUAAUAUAUCCAUGAAUUUUCUACCAACUUUUAUUAUCUAUAUUAUUAUUGAUAGUCAAAUUUUAUGGUACUGAUAAUUUAGUUAAUUUUUUUCUCCAUUUUCUGUAUUUUUUAUUUAUUUUUCUUACAGAAAUCAACAGUAGAAGGCAUUCUUUCGAGAAAAAAUGAGAUGAAGAACAAGUUUACCCCUUUAACGUCAUCUCCAUUGCACAUGUGAAUGGAGAAUAUAGUGAAAUGUUAACGGCUAUCACCAAAUAAAAGUUGAAGAAGUAAUGUGUAACAGUCAAAAUUUUAUGUCAAACAUGUAUUUUCCCGAAGUUUGGAGUAACUUUUGUAAUUUUUCCACAAAUUUAUUAUGCAAUGCCAAAUUUCUAAUAUAUUCACAGGGAGAUUAGUGUGUAUUUACAUAUGUUGGGUGUGGAAAUAUGAGAAGCCAAACUUAUUUUAUACUUUAUGUAUUUUAGGUAUAUCAAUAUAGUUUACUAUUUAAUAAAAUUUUAUUAGAGAAUGAUGAAAAAAAGAUGUAAAAAAGAAAUAAAUUAAAAAAAGAGAGGAAAAAAAUAAUAAUAAAGUACAUAAUCGCAAGAAAUUUUUACCAUCUUCAUUUAUAAACUUUCAAGUUCGUUUAUAUUAAUACGUUGUUUAUAUCAAAUAAUAUAUAUGAUAUGAUGUGAAUAUGUCCAAUUUUAUAAUUGCGAUCAUCAAAUGGUGGAUAGAAUAUGAUAAAAUCCCACAAUUUCAUUGCCUAUCAUAUUUAAUCCUAGCCUAAUUAGAAAUUUAGAUGACUAAACAUAACCAAAGAGGAUAGGGAGUUGGCGAGCCAAUUUGAGUUUAGUGAGCUGAGUUGAUCGGCUUUCGAAACCUAGUUCACAAGCUAAUUAGCUUCCCCGGGUCAAAAGGCUAGAGACACUCGUCGCAUUUGGGCCAUAAGAUGCCGACAAUCCUCAACAACAGACCGGACUACCCAUGGGCUUUCAGUUUGGCCUGAGAUAUCACUUUCCAUCCUCACCUGCAGAUCACCACUUUUCCUUCCCAGAUCAAUUCUACCUUGUCUUCAACAGGAGUGCCAAGGCUUCUCUCACUGCUAGGAUUUCAGGCACGAGGGCCGGAGCAUGGAUUUUCUUGGCGAAGCCGGCCACGAGAGCCCAUGAGCAUCUCUACACACCCCAACUACUGAACCCACUCAAGAGCGAAUGUUGUGCACUGAGGCAGCAAAGAACUCUCAUUAAUCUCAUGCUUAAUGGCUUUGACCAAUCACCUUGUGCCAAGUGUUUAUGAGUGUUUCUUAUCUUCUUACAAAUACUAACAAUCCCAUCAUUCGCAUGGAUAAUUGCUUUGACACUUUUGAGUCUUACUUCCAAUGGUGGCCACACCAGUAAAUGCCAUGUCCAUUGCAAUGAUACUUGUUGUAACAUAUUAUCGCAUAAGCUAUCAGGAAAUUAAUGUGAAAUUAUUAGAGAAAUAAAUGAGAAACAAUAACGGACGCCAAAGAUUUACGUGGUUCAAUACCAAGUGUCGGUACCUAGAUCCACGGAGAGAGCUGAUAGCAGAUAAUUCACUAAUAAUCGGAAAAUCCAAAUUUGCAGUCACUCACAUGCUCGAAUAUUUCUCACACUUAAACUAGACUCAAAUUUAAAGUGUUCGCAAAAAUACUCACAACACAAAUCCACGGUGUGUAUAGCCCUGUUCACGGCCAAGCAACAAGCGCCCCACUCUCUGAUUCUUCCUUUCGUUCUUCGUGCGGCGGUCCCCAGGAAAUCACGGUGCGGCCAUUGUACUCUCUUUCUUCUUGUGCGGCUACACUUUGCUGAAGGAACCCACUCCACGCUUCUCAAAGAAAGAAGCCACUGGCAGCCAUUCACACAACGAGGAACUCCUUUUGUCUUGUAGUGGUGGGGGACUUCUUUCCUGUCAUUCGUCCAACCUUCGGCAAAGGUGAGUCCAACUCUUCAAUUUUGUUGUGCUAUCAAACUUGGAUAUUUAUUCAAUCUGAUUGGAUUCCAUAAAUGACUGAGACUCGAGACAUAAUUUAACGAUACCACUUGAAUGUCUGCAGGAAAAAAAAAAGUAAGACAUGAGGUCCAUGUAAUCAUAUUGUCUCCUGCUGCAGGAUAUGACACCUAACACUUAUGACAAUCUGUAUAAUGCAAAUAAGAAAUUCCCUUUCUAGCAUGAUUGCCCAUUGUUCAGCAUUUUUAUGCUUUUUGUUUACAUUGAUAUUAUCCAGGGCAUAUGAGAACAGUAUGUCAGGUUAUGAAAGGCACAUCCGUGGGUAAAAGAUUGAAGAAUCACAUUCAUCAUAUUAACCGAACUGUGGAGUACUUAUCCAAACUCAAUCCACAUGGUGACUUUCAUUUAUGAUACAAAGGAAGUCUGAUGCAAUUAACUAGAGAAUUAACUUCUAGAGAAUAUCAAUGGCAACAUUCUGCACAUAUUCAUCACAUAAAAAUGGAAAACUGCACGUCGCAAUAUAAGCGCACACAUUUCAAAGUUAUCAUAAGGUCAGAAUGCAAUCUCAUAUGAAGAUAACUCAUGACGCUAGUGCCCAAAAUCUGCAGGCAGCUGAAGCAAUGUCUCCAUUCGGUUGAUGAUUUUUCUCUAAUGUAUGGCGAGUAAAACUUUAAUUGCAAUCUAUCAACUAAGCUUGCUCUAAAGGAUCUCCUAGAUAUAUAUCUAAUGCCUUCUUCAUGUCAUGACAAAGGAAAUUAUUAAGCAUUCUUAAGUCUACGAAAGGCAGAAGGGAUCACCUUCACAUCAUUACCACAAUGAUGGCAAUUAAAGAUCUUGCUGCAACAGGGGGCUGUAAUGCAGCACCUUCAGCGGUAAUGAGGACAUCUGCAGCAGCAGCAACUUUGAUAUCAACUGAAAGUCAACAGGAAUUAACCUGGAACCGAUAUUGCUCAAGAAUGAGCCAAGACAUCACCUGUACUGCAAGUACCCUCUAUCUAGCACCCUGGUAGCAUUAGCAUCUUCUUCAGCUUUUUCAACAGGCAUCUGUUCCACAUCCAUAUGCUAAAGGACUGCCAGCUCAUUGUCUGUCGGACUUCUUCAUAUAAGACAUGCUGAAGGUUCCCACAUCAAACUGAUGAAACCUUGGUUGUUCAAUAGCUAGUUCAUCCGUUUUAGUUUGACUCUACUGAGACUACCAGCUACCUAGGCUAGCGAUGAGAAGUACCUGCAGAGAUGAGCAAACUUAUCAACAUUCCAUAGCCUCCUAAGAAUUUUACUUGGCCAGUCAAGCAAGGAGACUCUGCAACAUUGAUUUCUUCCACAAGACUCAAGACCAUUGACAUUGGCAAUAAGACCGUCCAAUUAAUGUGGAACAGCUCCAAUCAGCAGAGCUCCAAUCGAAGGAAUCAUCAAAACAAGUAGAUCUAAAAGAUUCCCAUAUAAUAACAUAAGUGAAGGAUUGAGGAACACCAGGGCAUCCCGCCAUGGAUAAUAAGGAAUUUUGAUCACUUAAUUCCUUGAAGUCUGGAACAAACUAUACCUGACACGACCGUGAAUGAGCCAAUCUCCAGUGAAAGCCAACAAAAUCACACAAAUCAAUUGCUCUAAAACGAAGUAAGACAACAGAAUAUGGCGAAAGAUUGCGAAAGCAAACCUUGUCCAUCAAGGAUAUACUACCUCCUUCCGCAAUUCUGCUUGAAGCUUCCUUCGAAAACUACUAAUAACUCAAGCCUCAGACAUUCCAUUGUGUUGACUCACGAGACUUUUCCUAUCAGAAGGCUCUUCCAACAAAACAAAUACCUCCAAGUUGACUAAUUGACUCCAUAAUGUACAUCUGCUGAGGACAGACAUACGUGUCCUUAAGUAAGAACCUUCAUGAAGAAGGUAUUUAUCCAGGUUAAUUGACCAACCUUUUCAUUUAUUCCACAUGUUAUGCAAGAGUCAACACAAAUCAAAUCGUCUUUAUCACUCUAGUCCAACAUUUCCUAUUUCAUGCUGUAUGAGCAUAUGCUUCUUCCAUGUGCAGGAAUCAAGCUUGUGGGUUAGUUGGAGGGAGGCAUGGAGAGAAUGAGAGAAAGAAUGUUUCUUUUUAAGCCUAGAAUUAUAGUCGAAGCCCCACUAAACAGAAUCAUAGCUCACAUCCAAAAAAAUUUGCCUACACUAGGAAGCAACCACUUUAUUUGUGUCACAAAACAAGUGAAUUCCGCCUUCCAUUGCCAUGGUGGACUGUUGCUUUAAAACAAUGCAAUGAUCUAUCUCCAAUCAUUGCAAAUGCUACUUUAGUAAUCCUCUUCUGACAGCAAUCAUCGGCAAUGGGAAUUUUGUUCCAUUUCAUGUACACUAGCCUAUAUAAACCAGCCUCUCUUCUGUGCCAUGGUCUACCAUCUUGAUUAAAUCUCCUUUCAUUGCACAUUUAAAAAAAAAAAAAAAAGGCAAAAAAAGGCAGAGCACGAGCAUAGAGAUUCCAGAAUUCUACUGUGAAACCCAAACUACAGUAUCCACAUUAUGCAUUUAUCUUAAAAAUGUCUAAAAGCCAACCAUUCUAGUAGAUAUUUCUCUAAGUUCUCAAUUUGCUACAUUGCAUGAGAACUAGGAUCUAGGGUAAAGGUGAGAAAGCUUGUCACUCGAAUGAGCAGAAAACUUCAAACCUAUACAUCUGUAUGUUACAUAGAGUAUGCAUUAGUGCACGUGUCAAUCUGUAAACUACUCUCCAAAUGAAUUCAACAUAUCAUUUGAUACGUUUAUUGUUUAGUCUCAUGACACUUGGAUUCUACAUUGUCCUGCAAAUUUCCAACAAGGAAAAUGGGCAAAAACUGCUCCAAUCAUUAGGAGAUCUCUGAAAAGAGGAAAACAUGAAAAGCAAUUGUACCCACUCCACCUUCCCCUGAAAACAAAAUUUGCAAGACUCCUGAAGGGAGAAAAUCUACAUCCUAUAAAAGAUGGAAAGGCUGACUAUCAUCUAAACCAUUAACAUUCUUCACUUGAGAAUCGAAUCAUCAGGCAAAGGUCAGAAAACAUGUCACUUGGAUGACCACAAAGUUAGAACCUAAACCUCCUAUGUCUUGCAGAGUAUGCAUUAGUGCAUAUGACAAUCUGUAGACUACUCUCCAAAUGAAUACAGCAGAUCAUUUGAUAUAAUUAUCAUUCAGCCUCAUGAUGCUUGGAUUCUACAUUGUUCAGCAACAUUUCCAGCACAAGGAAAGUGGGGAAAAAACUGCUCCAACCAGUAGGACAUACCCUUGAGCCAAGACCUCAGUCAUACGUAAGGAAAACAAGAAAAGCAAUUGUCUCCACUUUAUCUUCUCCUAAAUACUAAAUUCCCAAGGACUCCUGAAGUGAGAAAAUCUACACCCUAUAAAAGAUGGAAAGGCUAGCUUUCAUCUUAGCCAUCAUUAACAUUCUUCAUUUGAGAAUUGACUCAUCAGACAAGGCCAGCCAUGUAUAAUAUAUGAUAUUAGGUGUAAAAGAGCAGCCAGUCAAUUCUCUUCUUCAUCUUCUUACAAGGAACUUAGGUGAAUCUGCAUCAGCAUUCACCUUGUCUCCUGUUUCUCACUUAACAAAAGCCACCUAGCAUAGUAUGCUAUCAAGCCGCUUGGGGUGAAAUCCAAAUACAGUACAUAGCAUUUGGUGACCAACAACCGAAUUGCAAGCUAAAAUUCUAACAACACUAUAGCACGCUACGCUGUACACAAAAUGUUCCAGAAAAUAUUGACUUUCCAGAGUUAUCAAAUCCCAGCAUAUCUAACCAUUAAUGUGUGUGCCAAAUAAAUCACAUGACUCAUUAUCCAAUGAUUCGGGAAAUGAUUGCAAUGCCACAUCCUUAAUCACAUGAGAUAGCAGCAAAAGAAAAGAAAGCAGCAGGGAGUCCAUCACUUCGACAAAGGAAAAACAAGACCAUGCUAGUCCUCCAGUUAUCAACAAGAAUCAAUUCAUGAUGUGAUAAAAACUGCCAAAUGAAUGACAGUUCAAAAGGCCGUAGGAUCAUACUAACAUCAACAACAAUACCAUCAAAAUGAUCACAAACUCUUUCUCCCCAAGAGAAACCUCUUCCAAUGCAAAGGACUCUAUUCAAAUGAAAUCACCAUCGAGCCAGCAUUCCCAUUCCAUUAAUGUCGGAAUGUUCAAGAGAUCCCAUAUCAUUCAGCUACAUCAGAAACCAAAACAAGACAACAAAAAUAUCUCCGGACAAUCUUCAUUAGCUGUCUCAACACGACAAUGACAAGCCCAAAACCGAUUCCGAUUCAGACUCAUCCUUUCUCUUUCAGAACAUCAAAAUUUGAAUUUUUGUAGCUUGUAGCAGAGCACCGAUUAAAUCAGAUUGAUGCAUGUCGACUCUUAGAGGAUUCGUGCUCAUUUGUUUAUUUAUUUUUAUCAAAUUUUGUACUCGUGUGAAGUGUGUUAUUGAAAGAUAUAAUUUAUCUUUCGUUAAUUAUGCUCUAAAAAUUAUGCACAAAUUCUUGUCAAUUCAUGUUAUUUUCGAAUUCUCUCAAUAAUCACGUGAAAACAUAUCAAUUCGUAUCAAAGUUUGGGCUAAGACGUCAUCCCAAAUCUCUAAAGCAAUCCGCUUUUUAAGUUGAUAUAUAAUCACGAGAAACUAAGCCAUGAAAAUUAUGCAGGUGAUGGGUGCAAGAAGUUAGAGAAUAUAGUCGUUUGGAAACAGAAAAAUGUAAGAAUGAUAUGUAAAUAUAUUUUCUUAGUACUUUACGUAGACGACAUUUUACUUGCUAGCAGUGAUGUUGAUCUCUUGAAUGACACAAAAAAUUUUCUAUCUACAAAGUUUGAUAUGAAAGAUCUUGGGGAAGCCUCGUUUGUUCUAGGCAUUGAGAUUCAUCGUGACAGAUCUAAGAAGGUUCUGGGGUUAUCUUAGAAAAGUUAUAUAGAUUGUGUUUUGAAAAUAUUCAAUAUGCAGACCUGUAAGUCAGGUGAAGCUCCUGUUGUGAAAGGAGAUAAAUUGAGCAUAGAUCAAUGCCCCAAGAAUGAUGUUGAAAAAGAAAUCAUGAAGAAUAUUCCUUAUGCUAGUGCAAUUGGCAGUCUUAUGUAUGCACAAGUAUGUACCAGACCUAAUAUUGCUUUUGCUGUGAAUACUCUUGAAAGAUAUCUGUCGAAUCCAGGUCAAGAACAUUGGAUUGCAGCUAAAAAGGUGAUGAGAUAUCUACAACGAACAAAAGACUUUAUGCUCGUGUAUAGCAGAGUAGAGGACCUAAAGGUGAUUGGAUAUUCAGAUGUUGAUUUUGCUAGUUGUUCGAAUGAUAGAAAAUCAACUUCUGGAUAUAUUUUUAUGAUGGCUGGAGGUGCUAUUUCUUGGAAGAGCACAAAGCAAACCUUGAUUACGAACUCUACAAUGUAUGCUGAGUUUGUAGCGUGCUACGGUACGUCGAUUCAAGCAAUUUGGCUUAGAAAGUUGAUCUCAGAAUUGCGAGUCGUGGACUCUAUUGCUAAACCUAUGGUGAUCUACUGUGACAACACUGCAACUGUGUUUUAUUCCAAGCAUGACAAGGUUAGUAAUGCGUCCAAACACAUGGAGAUCAAAUAUUAUACUGUUAAGGACUUGGUCAAAAAUGGAGACAUUGUAAUUGAAAAUAUCAGAGCCGACUCCCAACCGUGUGUGGGACCAUAACAAGAAUGCUGUUCUGACUCCCGACCUUGUGUUGAGCCACAACGAGGACAUUGUUCUGUUAAGAGGUGGAGAGUGUGACAGCCCGAGCGACGGUCCUCGGACGUGCGCAAGGAAAGAGUCCCUCUCUUCUCUUGUCUCACAUCGCCUAGGGAGGGAGGUUUUGAUUAGCUUAUAAGACUUGGGUCCCUUUAAUCUGUGUAACGUGUUUCACGUACACUUCCGCUGCAUUGAAAACAAAACCGUGAGGGAGGACAGGCCGGUGGGCCGUGCCUCCAAAGCGAACAAUAUUAUGGCUUGGGAGAGGGAAUGCCCGAGGGAUGGCCCUUUGCCCCUACAUAACGCAUUUUAAAGCCGUGAGGGAACAGACCGUGGCUGGGAUGGCGGUUCAUCCGUGCCAGGGCGGGUGACCCAAAGCAAACAAUAUUACACAAUGGUAUCAGAGUCGAUCAUAUAUGAUUGUAGAACCUAAAUUUUUUUUUAUGGACAAAUUCGAAAUCCUUCUCUUUGAGCCGAAUAUGGGCAUUAUUUUUUAGUGUAAACUUUUUGCUUGAUUGAUCCUGAAACCAUAGGGCUUUUUUUCUACAUGUCAAGAUCUUUUCAACCAUAUAUAAUUUGCAUAAUUUCGUUGAGAAUUGAGAGAGAAUUUUAGAUUUGAAAUUCUAGGGUUUAUACGUGAAAAAGUUCUAGAUUUUGCAAAUUACUUGCAAUUGAUUGAUGUUUGUUGUAAACCGUUGUAUGGGUAUUGUUAUAUAUAUUUUUUAGUAUCCUUUUGUUGUAUUAAAUUGAGUUUUUAGGGUUUAAAUUUAAGAAAACCGAAUUUUCGGCCAUGGGAGUUUUAGAUCCGAAACUUUGAAGCUUGUAUGUGGUGGAUUUAGUUGGUUUUUCUUCGUUUAAUUAAAUGUAGUUAAUUAAAUUGAAGCAUGAGGAAAUUUCAUCAAAAACCAUGUUAAUUUGUGCCUUCGGAGCUUCGGGUUGAAACCGGGUCAUAUGACCUGGUUUGUUGCAAAUUCGUGACCCGGCUGGAGGUUGAAGAAGACCUCCAGCCGAGCCUGGGCCUAAAUAUGGGCUUUUGCCCAUAUUUUUUUUUAAAUUUGUAGGCUAAUUUCGUAGCCCAUUUCAUGGGCCAAUUUUAAAUUAAAGGGGAGAUGGGCUUCUCCAUUACAUGGGCCAUUUACAAUUUAAAAGGAGUGGGCCGCGUGAGGGUUUAGGACUCGCGGGUCUAGCCCACGAUCUGAUUAGGGCUGCUCACGGGUCCUGGGCCCGUGGGAGUCCGAAAUAUUUAAAUGAUAUUAUAAUAAUAUAAUAAUAAUUUUAAAAAAAAUUAAAAAAAGUUGUGGCAAAAAUUGUUGUUUGAAAAAGUACAAUAUGAUGAUUGGAAGCACAUGUUGUAAAGUGUAUCAUAUUGUUUGAUGAAUUUUGGGCAUAAAUUUUGGAGUUCCCUAUUGAUAAAAGAUUAAUAUAUACAAUUGCUCGCCCAAAGGGAGUUAUUUGUAUAUUAAUUUGGAAAAUAGCAUGAAGUUUAAUUCCCAUAUUUAAAAGAUGGGGAUGUAUAAUUGAAAAAUAUUUAUCUGCCCAAAGGGGAUAAGUGUUUUGAAAAUUAUAUGUAAUUCCCCUCUAUGUUGAUAUUAUGGAGAUGUAUGAUUUAAAGGAUUUGUCUGCCCAAAGGGGAUGGAUCCUUGACAAUUAUAUGUAAUUCUCCUUAUUGUUGCUUUAUAAAUUUCAUGCUGGGAAAAAUAAUGGUGCAUUAUACACUCUACCCAAAGGGGAGUUUAUGAUGUACUUAUUAUUUUUGUUGAAUUGCUUAUUGCCCAUAAUUGAUCUUAUUGCAUUAUGUGUGUCAAAUAGUUACAUUUGCUGUAAAUAACAACAAUGCCACGGUUGAAAUGUUAACUUGAUCAAACUUCAAGAGAUGGAAGCAAGAUAUAGAGUUUGCUCUGGGCAUCAUUGAUAUGGACUUAGCUCUACGUGAGGAUGAACUUGCUAGGCCCAAUGAUCAAAGUACUGCAGAUCAAAAGGCCCAUUAUGCUAGAUGGGAAAAAUCUAACCGACUGAGCCUCAUUGCUAUGAAAAGGUCUAUUGCUGAGCAUCUGAUUAGUGGUUUGCUGGAAGAUACGAAUGACAGACAGUUCCUUGAAGCAGUGGGAGAAAGAUAUAGUCUCAGAUAAGGUUGAAGCUGGGAACUUGCUGAGUGAGUUAACGAACAUGAGGUAUGAUGCUGCUAUGGGUGUUAGAGAAUUUAUACUGAAAAUGGUCCACAUUCAGUCCAAACUUAAGGCUCAUGAAAUUGUCAUUUCUGAAAAUUAUAUUGUGCAUCACGCCUUAAAUGUUUUGCCAGCUGAAUUUAGCCAGAUUAAGACUGCUUAUAGUGCUCAAAAUGAGACAUGGAGCGUUAAUGCCUUGAUUACUAAGUGUGUGACUGAGAAAGAGAAGUUAAAGAAGGAAAAGUAUGAGUCUGCCCACUUAACUACCAAUGCCAAGUUGAGUUCGUCUAGAGGCAAAUGGAAGCCUAAAGGGUCAAAUGCUCAUGGUUCAAAGAAAGGACAAGACUUUAAGAAAAAUGGGAACUAUGGGAGAAAUGGAGAUAAGGAUUUUAAAUGUUUUCACUGUAAGGAGCAGGGUCACAAGAGAGCCAAUUGCUACAAAUUCCAAGCUUGGUUAAAAACAAGAAAAGAAAGUCACCAAGGUGAGUUGUUGGUUUGCUUUGAAUCAAAUUUGGUUGAUGUUCCUAUGGAUUCUUGGUGGCUUGAUUCUGGUGCUACUGUUCAUGUGACUACUGCCUUACAGGGUCUCACAAAUCUAAGGAGUUCAAGUCUGAGGGAGUCAAAGCUUAAAGUUGGAAAUAAUACUGGAGUUGAUGUGGAGCGCAUAGGGACAAUUGUUUUGAAUUUAGAUUCUGGUUUUCAACUUAUCUUGAAUGAUGCCUUUUAUGUUCCUAAUUUUAGGAGAAACUUAGUAUCUCUUUCUUCGCUUGACAAAGCUGGAUAUUGUCUUCAUUUUGCAAAUAAAAGAGUGGAUUUGAGUUAUGAUUCCAGAAUUAUUGGGAAUUGUGUUUUGUCUGAUGGAUUAUAUCAAUUAUCCUUAUCUCCCGAUAGACCAUAUUGCUCUUUCAAUGUCGAGAAUGAGGUUGCUAAGAGAUCUUUAAUCAAAGAUAGAUCUUCAUUGUUAUGGCAUAAGCAAUUAGGGCAUAUCUCCAAAGAAAGGGUAAAGCGACUUAUCAAGACUGAUAUUCUUCCUCCUCUUGACUCAGAUGAUACUGAGACUUGUAUUGAUUGUGUAAGGGGAAAAUUAACUAAAACCAAGAAGAAAGGCGCUACUCGCAGUCAAAAUCUAUUGGAGAUAAUUCAUACUGACAUUAAUGGGUCAUACUCUACCACCUUGUGUGGAAAUAAGUACUUCAUCACGUUCAUUAAUGAUUUCUCCCGUUAUUGUUAUGUUUAUCUAAUUAAGAAGAAGACUGAUGCACUUGAAAUGUUCAAAGUGUUUCGUACUGAAGUUGAGAAACAAUUGGGAAAAAUUAUCAAGAUUGUUAGGUCUGAUCGCGGUGGUGAGUAUUAUGGGCGAUAUACUGAGGCUGGACAGCAAAAUAGACCGUUUGCAAAAUAUUUGUAGGACUGUGGUAUUGUCGCUCAAUAUACAAUGCCUGAGAGUCCUGAACAAAAUGGUGUAGCUGAACGGCGAAAUCGUACACUCAUGGAGAUGAAACGAAGUAUGAUGGGCAGUUCUAAUUUGCCUGAAUACUUAUGGGAAACAACAACUUAUAUUUUGAAUCGUGUACCUAGUAAAUUGAUGCCGAAAAUACCUUUUGAAUUGUGGACAAGGAGGAAACCAAGCUUGAAUCAUUUACGAGUUUGGGGUUGUCCUGCAGAGGUGAAAAUUUAUGAUCCUUCUUAGAAGAAGACGGAAUCCAGGACUACUAGAUGUUACUUUAUUGGAUAUCCUAAUCAUUCUAAAGGGUAUAGAUUCUAUUGUCCUACUCGAGAAACUAGAAUUGUUGAAUCUCAAACUGCCAAAUUCCUGAAAUUAGAUGUUGCUGAAAAGAGUUCCUCUCAAUCUUUUGAAAGGGAAGAACCAAACAAAAUAGUCUCUAUUCCAUUGCCAAUCUUACAUGAUGAUUCUAUGCGAGAUCCCAGCAGAGUGGAAAUUCAACAAGAAGCAAAUACCGAAAAUAUGACAGUAGAUCCUCCCAUUACAAAUGAAAUUCCCCAGAUGAAUGAUGUAGGUCCAGAAAUGCCUGUGCGAAGAUCACAGCGACAAAGAAGACCAACACCUCUAAAUGAUUAUCAUGUCUAUCUUGGAGAAGCUGAUUUUGACAUUGGAAGUAUAGUUGAUCCGACGACCUUCAAAGAAGCUCUUAAUAGUGAUUAUGCAGAUAAAUGGUUAGGAGCGAUGAAUGACGAGAUGAUGUCCAUGUCAACUAAUCAAGUGUGGAAACUAGUUGAUUUACCUGAUGGGCAUAAACCAAUCGGCUGCAAAUGUGUAUUCAAAACCAAGAAAGACAAUAAGGGCAACAUUGAGAGAUUCAAGGCAAGGUUAGUCGCAAAAGGGUACACACAGAAAGAAGGUAUUGAUUAUACUGAAGCCUUUUCCCCAGUGUCCACUAAAAACUCUUUUUCGGAUAAUCAUGGCAUUGGUGGCUCAUUUCGACUUAAAGCUUCACCAAAUGGAUGUCAAGACAGCUUUUCUAAAUGGAGAUUUGGAUGAAGAAGUAUAUAUGCAGUAACCUAAAGGGUUUAAAGAAGCCAUAAAGGAGCAUAUGGUGUGCAAACUUCAAAGGUCCAUCUAUGGUCUCAAACAAGCAUCACAUCAGUGGUACUUAAAAUUUCACAAAGUUGUGAGAUCGUUUGGCUUUGAAGAAAACAAGUUUGACCAAUGCAUCUACAUGAAAGUAAGUGGGAGUAAAUAUAUUUUCUUAGUACUUUACGUAGAUGACGUUUUACUUGCUAGCAGUGAUGUUGAUCUCUUGAAUGACACAAAAAAUUUUCUAUCUACAAAGUUUGAUAUGAAAGAUCUUGGGGAAGCCUCUUUUGUUCUAGGCAUUGAGAUUCAUCGUGACAGAUCUAAGAAGGUUCUGGGGUUAUCUCAGAAAAUUUAUAUAGAUCGUGUUUUGAAAAGAUUCAAUAUGCAGACCUGUAAGUCAAGUGAAGCUCCUGUUGUGAAAGGAGAUAAAUUGAACAUAGAUCAAUGCCCCAAGAAUGAUGUUGAAAAAGAAAUCAUGAAGAAUAUUUCUUAUGCUAGUGCAGUUGGCAGUCUUAUAUAUGCACAAGUAUGCACCAGACCUAAUAUUGCUUUUACUGUGAAUACUCUUGGAAGAUAUCUGUCGAAUCCAGGUCAAGAACAUUGGGUUGCAGCUAAAAAGGUGAUGAGAUAUCUACAACGAACAAAAGACUUUAUGCUCGUGUAUAGCAGAGUAGAGGACCUAAAGGUGAUUGGAUAUUCAGAUGCUGAGUUUGUAGCGUGCUACGGUGCAUCGAUUCAAGCAGUUUGGCUCAGAAAUUUGAUCUCUUGCAAGUCGUGGACUCUAUUGCUAAACCUAUGGUGAUCUACUAUGACAACACUGCAGCUGUGUUUUAUUCCAAGCAUGACAAGAUUAGUAAUGUGUCCAAACACAUGGAGAUCAAAUAUUAUACUGUUAAGGACUUGGUCAAAAAUGGAGACAUUGUAAUUGAAAAUAUCAGAAUUGAGUCCAUAUAGGCUGAUCCUCUAACAAAAGGCUUACGACCCAUUUUGUUUAAAGAACAUGUAAAGAGUAUGGAUAUUUUAGAUUCUUUUGAUUUCUUUUGUUAGUGGGAGUUAUACAAAUUGUAUUUCUAGAUAUUAUGGUUAUAUGCAGACUGAUAAUGCUUUUAUGAUGUUUAUUAAAGCAUUUAUUUUGAUAAUUGUUGUUGUUGAUUCUAUUGUUAUCCUUUCUCCUGUUGACUGAGAAAUGGAAGUAGAAAACAGUAUCUUUAAACAAAUUUUGUUUAAAGAUGACUGGAUGUCACUGAUUAUGAGAUCUCAUGUUGGAUUGUGACAUAGUCGUGCAAUUUCAUGUUGUUUAGAAAUUGUGUUAAUGCAGUUUCAUGUCGUUGAGAAAUUGCAUUAAGGACUGAUAAGAAGUAGUGCAUAUUUUGAUUACAAGUUGGCACUAUUUCUUACUACACUACUAGGCCCAUGAUCCAUGAAAAUAUAAUACUUAUUAUAUGUGAUUAUGGAAGGUCUUGUGUUGUGGCAUUUUCUUAAUACAUUGAUCUCCAUAGUCCUAUACUGAGGUUAUAUAGGAUUGGAUUGGUAUUGAGAUGCCAUUAUUGGAAUAUUAUUUUUAAAAAGUUGUGGCCACAUAAAACAAAAUUUUCAGUUAUUAACCCGAUAGUGUCUUUUUCAAAUAUAAAAUCCUUUUCAAAAUAAAAUAAGUUAAUUAAUGUAGCCCAAGUGGGAGAAUGUUGAAAAUUUCCUAUAAUAUGGGCUUACAUUAAUUAAUUGAUUUUUUAUUUUAAAUAAUCGGGUUAAUGGAUAUUCCAAUAUUUGUUGAACCCUAAAGUGAUCUAAUUGAAUUGGGUAUUGACAUCUAUUGAUAACGGGCCUAGUUGAGCAGCAAAGUGUAGGCAAUUGUGUUUAACUGAAACCCGUAAUGGGAAGGGCCCAGUUGACACGCUGUUGAUUAGGGUUUGUUAGGUCCCCUCUUUAGCCUAUAAAAUGAUAGGUUAUACCUAUCAGUUGCUUUAAUCCCAUUGAAAGCUGCUAUAUCGAAAUAGAUCAUAGAGAGAAAGAUAUGUCAUUCCGAUAGAUCCCUAAUUAUUAGAGUGAUCUAUUUUUCUGCAAGUGAAGCAAUGGCUCAAAUAGGUACGCUUUAAUUCCGUUGUAUUUAUUGAUUGAUGUUUUACAAUCAUAUAUGGAUCCGUUAUUUCCUUGAUUGAUUAGUUGUAUAUGUGAAUAAAUAUAUUACAUGAUACUGGAGAAAAAAAAGGUGAUAUAGUAAAAUCUCAUGGCCUCUUCACAAUAGCUCAGUUAUUGAAUUCCUCAAGUUCACCUUUACCGAAAUGAUUUUUUCAAUUAAUUUAUGUAUUCCAGGAUUGCUCAUUAUUCAAUCAUUCCAUUAUUCUUUUAAAUCUGAAGUAUGCAUUAAAUAUCACCAGAAUUGGUAUAAAUUUGACCCCAAAGAAUGUUUCUCUGAGACGGGAGCUAGUCCUUGAGGGCACAAAUGAUAAUCAUCUUGUUCCUAAGAACAAUUUCUAAUCAGAAAUAGAUUUUGGAAGGUAUUUUAUGAGGGAAAAACUGUAAAGGAAGAAGAGGUAGAGGCUGUUUCUGAAACUCCAGUGAAUCAAGGUGCUUUAGUGCCCUAUGAGCAAGCUCAAAUUGAUGCAACCCAGGCAGAUAUGGAGGGACGGGAGGAGGAGAUAGUAGAAAUGAAUGCUGAAUAUAAUUUGAAUAGAAAAUAGGGAGUGACAGGGAUCUGGAAAACGAGUCCUUAUGAUAAGGUAUUGAAGAAAACAAGAAGAAGAAAGGUGAAGAACAGAAAACUCAUACCAGCAAGAAGCAACACAAGUUUUUUCCAUUUAAUUCAAUGAACCCAACCUCUUCUUGGUUGGAUGAAACCAAAAUCCUGGACACUCCCAUUCUUAUGACAGAAGAAGUAGCUGAAUGGGCUUGGGUAGCUAGCUGUAAUAAGCCACCAGGUGACAAAUAAUGAGCAUAAGUUGGAAUGGUCAGGGGCUGGACACCACCCAACCCUCGCGUGUGCAUGCGUGGAUGAUUUUUGAGCUACGAGCUAUGGUUGCUUGUGAAAGGCCCAAGUUGCUAUUUCUCAUGGAGACAGAAUAGAGAGAGUGGUGCAGCGACAUAUGAGACAUCUCGAUUUCUAGGAAUGUUAUAUUGUGAAUCCAGUUGGUACAACAGGGGGAUAAGUGGUUAUGUGGAAAGACUUGGUCUCGGUGGUCGUAGAUUCAUUAUCAGAAUACUCUAUUAAUCUGACUUCCACAGAUCAAGGGUACCAGAGAAUUAUGUGUAUUACUUUUGUUCAUGCUUCAAACGCAUUCUAGGAUAGGUUAAGGCUGUGGGAGGAAAUCAAAAGAAUAAAAAACAGUAUUCAUCUCUCAUGAGUUUGUAUGGGCAACUUUAAUGAAAUUAGUUAUCACUAGGAGAAGGAAGGGAGGAGAAUGGCUGAGAACUAUAGAAUGACAGUAUUUCGGGAAUUCAUAAAUGACUGUUCUCCAAUGGAAGGGGAUUGCAAGGGGUGCACAUUCACGUGGACUAAUAACAAAGAGGGAGAUGAGAUCGAGAUGGAAAAAUUAGAUAGUCCUAUGCAGUGUCGAUUGGAGAGUAAUGUUCCUUAAUGCAGAAGGUUAUGCCUCGCCGGCCCUUGACUCGGAUCAUAGCCUUAUCUUAUUGAUUCUAUCACCAGAACCAGCAAAACAAGGCAAAGUUUUUAAAUAUGAGGCUUUUUGGAAUGAGGAUGAUGAAUGCAAAGAAGUUGUGAAAAUGGCAUGGCAAUGAAGAAGAAUGGACAGAGGAAUGUCUGAAUAAGCUGAAGAGAGUAUCAGUGGUCCUAGCUGAUUGGAGUAGGAACAAAUUUUCAAAUGCCAAAUGCUCCUGUACUGAAAACAGUGGAGAAAGAGCCCAGCAGAUUAAAGAUUGAAUGGAACUAUUAUGGUGGCAGCAAGAGGAAAUGUAUGGGGGAAUGAGGUCCCCCAUUAACUGGAUGAAAUUGGGGGGGGGGGGGGGAAUAGAAACACCUGGUUAAUCCAUGCAACUAAAAUCGAGCCAAGGCAAAGAAACAAGAUUUCAGCCUGAAAAAUGAAAUGGGGGUCUGAAGCCGAGAAACAGGAAAGUUAAAAGAGUUGAUGCAAGUUCUUCCUGUCCCUGUACAGAACGGAGGAAGCCCAAAACUUCCAGCCUCUUCUUGAACAAUGUUCUCGAAUAGUAUCAGAGGAAAUGAAUCAAUCCCUAACUCAGGCUGUCACUAUGAAAGAGGUUAGAGACGUGGGGUUCUAAUCAUGAGCCUCCAAGGCCCUAAACCCGAUGACUGAACGAACUUUUUAUCAACAUCACUGGGAGGAGAUUCAUCAGGAUGUACUUUAUAUGGUCUUAGACUUCUUUCCAUCAGGUAUAUAAAACAUAUAUAGCCCUUGUUCCCAACAUAUUAAACCCAUAAAGUCUAGAUCAUUUUCAUCCCAUUAACUUGUGCAAUUUCAGCUAUAAAAUAAUCUCGAAGGUCUUGGCUAAUCGCCUCAAGCCUCCCACUUUAAUAUGACCUGAUAGCAAAACAAAGUGCGUUUGUAUAUGGAAGAUAGAUUUGAGAUAACAUCAUGAUAGUAUAGGAGGUGUUGCACCAGUUGAGAAUUAGAAAGAGAAUGAAGAAAUUCCAAGCAAUUUCGAAACUUGAUAUGAGGAAAGCAUAUGAUAGGGUGAAAUGUGAUUUUUUUUUUCAAAAGAUGUCUACUAAAAAUGGGCUUUGACACUAAAUGGAUAUCUUGGACAAAUGCACUGUGUUGAAUUGUGUCUUUGAGUAUUAAGUUCAACGGGGGCCUCUACCGUUUUUCUAUCUGUUUAGAGGGCUUCGACGGGGUGACCCUCCCUCACCAUAUCUUUUUAUUAUAGUGUCAAAUGUGCUAUCUACCUUGCUAAAUAAGGCUGUAAAGGAAGGGAGAAUCUCAGGAAUUAAGCUCAAUAGACAUUGCCCUUCAUUGUCUCACCUUUUAUUUGCCGGCAAUUCCAUCUUUCUUCUAGAUGGAAAGAUAUGAGAGUGCUAGAGUAUUACUGAAAUUUUGCACCAAUAUAGCUAUGCUUCAAGGCAGGCUAUUAAUUAAAUCAAGAAUUUUCUUUAGUAGUAAAUGUCCCCAAAAUCUACAUCGAAAUAUGGCAAAGGAGCUGUGAGUUUCGGAAAGAGAAAAAACUGGAAAAUAUCUUGGAAUUCCAUUGGAUUGGGGGAAAACCAAAAAACAAAUGUUCACAUGGAUCUUGGCAAGAUUUAACAUGAAGUUUCAAGGUUGAAAAAGAAAAGCUUAUCUCCAAAGUAGGGAAAGAGAUUCCCAUUAAAGCUGCGGUACAAGCUAUCUCUCAAUAUGCUAUGUUGAUCUUCAAAGUUCCACUAUCCAUUUGUCGUGCGAUAAAGUAGAAUGCUGCCUCAUUUUGGUGGAAAAAUAGUGAAUCAAAAUCAGGACUUCAUUGGAAGAGAUGGGAUGUAAUGAAGAGAAGAAAAUAUAGUAGUGGAAUGGGGUUCAGAGAUCUAAUUAAUUUCAACAUGGUGAUGUUGGGCAAGAAUGCAUGAUGAAUUACUCAAGCUCCACAGAGUCUGUGGGUUAAGGUUAUCAAAAGGCCUUUAUUUCCCAAAUAGCAACUUCUAGAGUGCUACAAAGGGCUCUUGUUCGUCUUGGGGAUGGCAAAGUAUCUUGACAGGAAAGGAUCACAUUUCAAACGCAAUGAGCUGGUUGGUAGGAGAUGGGACUGAAAUCAGAAUAAGGAAAGAUAAUCGGCUAAGAUCUGGACUCAUUGGUGGUGAGGCAACCUAGGGUAAACCCCAACUAGUGGCAGACUUAUUCGACAAAAAGGAAUUCAAGUGGAAAGAACAUAUAAUUAAAGGGAUAUUUGACGAAAGAACUGCAAACAAAAUCCUAGCUAUUCCUAUUAGCUCAACCAUGGAGAAAGACAAGAUGGUUUGGACAUGCACAACCUCAGGCUCUAAUUGAAUGAAAAGUGCCUACCAUCACAUAAUGUCAACAGAAACAAAGCAACAAGCAAAGCAGCAAGCAGAACAACCAACAUCCUCAUAUCAAACACCCAGAUAGCAAUGAAAAUUGAUUUGGAAGAUGAAUAUUAACACGAAAAUGAGGCUCUAUAAUGGAACGUGUGCCAAAAUGCUAGCCCAUCUUUAGAGAACUCGUUCAAACGGAAAGUCUUACCUGAUCCCAUCUGCCCCCUUUGCCAAAAGACCCAAGAAACAGUUGAGCAUAUUUUUCUAUGAUGCAACUGGACUCGUGAGGUCUGGAAUCACCCAAAAUUAGAUAUCAGAAUCACAGGCAAGGAGCUCAGUCGCAUGGAGGAGAGGAUUCUACAAUGAGAUAACUCAAAUGCAAACUCACCUUCACUAGAAUUGGUAGUAGGGGUUCUCUGGAACAUUUGGAAGGCUUGGAACCAUUUCAUCUUGCGCCACCAAAAACCAGGUUAGAGUAGCAUAGCGGAAGCGACCAUGGCUGCACAAAAGAGCUUUGAGAGAUGGAACUAUAGAAGGAAAAAACGAACACAACAGCAGGAACUCUUACCCAAGAUGCGAAACCCAUCAAGAAGGGGUAUGCGGAGACAAAGCUGGGAGAGUGGUGGUUGGUUUCGGGAAGGAAUUCCAAGCAAAUUGAAAACCGUGCUAGUCUAGAAGCCCUUCAUUCUCUCUCUCACUUUGGAGUUAGACUAUCGGAAAGUAACAAGCGUACUUACGUAUCACAAUAUGAGUGGGAGGUGGCCCCACUUAUCACCGAAUGCAAGAGAUUGAUGACCGUUUUAAGUAAUUUCAAAUAGUCCAAGGUGGAAGAGAAGAAAUCAAGUGGCGGAAUAGAUCGCCAAGGUUUUCCUUUUUGUUGGACUACCAAUCCUCCUACAGUUCUUUGGGACUUUAUUUGUUUGAGGAUAUCUUCUACCGGAGGUUUCACUUGAGUAAUGAAAGAAGACUUUUUUUUUUUUACGAAAAAAGAAAAAAUACAGCUACUUCCGAUCAAAUUUCCCUUGUCUUGCAGAUCUUGUUGAUUCAACACUAACAAUGCCGUUCAAAUGGUCCACUGUUUUUUCCCGCUCUCUUGCUUCUUUGUCAUGAUGUCUUCCUUUGGCUGUUGGAUGAAAGAAUCACAUAAAAUCACAUAAAAUCAAAUUACAAAUCUUCACACGACAAGACAUUUACAACCAUAAAGCGGUACCUUUAAUCUCACUGCGGUGACAAAUUUGUGAGAAGUGCUAUCUACCUUCUUAGCAUUAACCACAACAUUGUUGGCACUUCCACGUUAUUAAAAACAAGAAAGUAGUCAAGCUAAAUUGACACUUACAAUCAUUCAAGUACAUAAUCAGUUACUUGAAAGUAAAAGUGCCUUUUGAUUGGUGGCAUUGUUAUGAUGCAUCUUUGUGACAAGUUUGUUGGCUUUUCUUUAUUUGACUAUCCUUUCAUCCUGUUCAGUUAAGAAAAUAAAGUCAGAAAAUAAUGGCACAAAUAGAGACUAGAAACACAGAAUGAAUGAACCUUACCUUUUUCUUUUGUUCUAAGGGACAAUUUUUUGAGAUGUGACCUUGCUUAAGCACAAAUGGCAUGUAGUUUAUGUGCCUUGUCUUGAUGGUUUGAAUCCAUUUUUAGAUUCUCCUCCCUUUGAUAUCCUUCUCUCUUGAGGCCUACUAGGCAUAAUAUGAGGCAUUGGUGCCACCAAAGGUUCUUGAUCAUUGGAAGGCCAAAUGAGUGAACGAUGCACAUCACUAGCCAAUGCCAAAUGAGUGAAUUGAUUUUUAGACCUCCUCCUUUUAGUACACUUAGUGUCCAAUUUGACAUAAUGCAAGCUAUAUAGAAUUUCAACAGAUAACACUUCAAGGAGAAAAAAAGAAGAAAAGAAAACAUGGGCAAUUCGUCAAAUCGGGAUUGAUCAAGAAAAGCCUAAGAACAGGAAGUGUAGCAAGCUAAACUAAUUAGAGUCAACUAGGCUGAUAGGCGAUCUAAGCACAUGGGGACUACCAUAAUUACCCUCUCAGGAUGCGCAUAAUAACUAUUCUGUCUGUUUUUCUAUUAUUUUGAUCCUGGGAACAUGUUUAGAAUAAAAAUCCAUUUGAAUAAUAUAAUUUCAUUUUUCUAUUUCUGAAAUAAAUUUUUAGUCCAAAAAUAGGUUUAGAAUAGAAAUGAGAAGUAAAAAUUUACUUUUCUAUUCUACAACAAAAAUGAGAAAUAAAAACUAUUUUUAUCGCUCACCCUCACUACUAGCUGUCCACUCACCCGCCGAUGUUCUGUCUGCUCUCCUAUCGUCAUUAAAUGUGUAUUUUUACUUAGAAACUCGCCUAGGAAAUAGAAAUAGAAAAAUCUAUUUCUGACUAGAAAUUGAUUUUUGAAACAAAAUGACUACCAUUUACACCCUAAGUGUUUCACAUCCACAUUAUUUGAGGUCCAAAUAAGGACCUAGAUAAAACCUUCAAAGGACUUGCUUAGAUCCAAUUUGAGCACAUGAGGACUAAUACAAUUACUAACAAGAAUCAUGACUAAAUAUUGUGCAUGCGUUUUUGAGAAAUAAAUGGUCAAUUGGAUUCCGAAAUUGCAUGUUCAUGAUACCUGAACCUUUGUUACAAUUGAGCUUCAAAAUCCCAAAUAAAGCACAAUCUCAAAUGCAGAUCAGUGGACUCUGGCUACGUUGUUCUUCACACUGGGAACAUUUUCAAGUUUAGUAUCAACAGCAACCUCUAUCAUUUUGACAGCAAAAUCAACUGUAAUAAGAUCUAAACCUCGCAAAAUUUUGAUUCCAAGACUUCCACCUAUAUUGGAAAAAACCAUUCCAAGCCAACCAUGACAGCAGCUUCACAAAGUAAGAAUAGAUUCCACUUUAGCAUGAAGAUCCAACCUUGAGUCACAAACAAUUCUCUUAGCAUAAAGACUCCAAAAGAUCUCCAUGCAGGUGCUAAUUAUAAUACCAAACUGAAAUACAAUCACCCAAACAUAUAGUGCAGUUGAUUAUUUCAAAUGACGUCCUCCUUCACGUCUGCCAUCUUGAUGAUUGCUUGACUCAGAAGUUCAGGUAAAUGACAUAAUGCAUUAUUAACUGUACAAACAUUAAGUAUCCUUUGGGCUAAUAUGUUAUUUGUCUUGGACUUUUAGGUUUAUCCCGAAUUUAAUACAAUUGAACAUGGAUUCAUAGUCAACAAAAUUCAAGUUGCGAUUUUCUCCAUUUACUAUUUCUCGAUCCAUACGAUUACCUCGAUCAUCUAAUGCAGACAAUUCUCUGAGAUAAAAUGUGCAAAACACAAUGUUCGGACAAAUCUUGUCCCAACUUAGUAUUGUAUGCAUACAGAGAGAUGCCCUCUCAAAAUGUUUGUACAGUAAAUUUAUUCUUAAGCUUAACUUAUAACAUGCAAUCGUGAACUGCAUAAUCAACAUAGAGCAAACUAAAACCUCAAAUCAAAAGGACCUCUGCUUAGGGUCAUUUAUUUGGAAUUUCUCAAUCUAUACAAUUACCUUUGGCAUGUUAUCAGGUGCCCUUAUACAUUAGGUUUUAUUAAGUAAUUCCAGCAUUACAGAAUCAGUCAGACGUGGAGAAUCUUUAUUUUAUUUUAUUUUAUUUUUUUGCAUCGGAUGAAGAAUCUUACCCGAAGACUAAUGACAAUGAUUCACUUAGAAGACUUUUUGAUUUAUUUCCAAUACUAGCAUGAUGUGCAAAAAUAUUUUGCCAAAGCACACAUUAACUUCUAGGAACAUCUCCUCUGGAUUCCUUGAAAUCAAAUAAGAAAAUAAGAAGACUGUCAAUCAUGAUAUACUAAUGAAAAGGUAACAAAUCUUAAAAGAAAAUGCAAACAAGAAACACAAAUGAAAAUUGGGCGGUAAAUCUCAAAAGGGAGAGAGGGAGCUUCCCUACUUUAUGUACCUUUGUUUAGAAAUGUGGAUCAUCUCAAUUAUUCCGACUCAUCCCAUCCUGGUUAUCUUGUCCAAAUAUCUUCAGACCUUUGGAUAUUUGGAUGGUUGAGCCUUUCAAAUUUACUGUAGUCAAACAUUCCAACCUGUCGAGACCUAGAAUUUCGAGUAAGUUGUUGCAAUUUUGAGCAAUUAACAUCUUUAGACCCUUGGAUUUUGAAAGAUCCAGCUUUUUAAUUGAAGUGCACAAGAUAUUCAGCUUUUCCAAAUGACUUCACCCAUUGGAGACCUCGAAUUUCAACUAGGUUUUUGCAGUUUUUAGCAUCUAGUACCUUCAAAUCCUCAAAUUUUGGAAGGUCUAGCCUUUUAAUUGAAGAACACUCAAAGAAAAGUAACUCUUUCACGGACCCUAAAAUAUUGAGAUGUUCAAUUUCUAUUAAGUUUUUGCAAUAUGGAACAUGUAAUAUCUUCAAACUCCCAGAUUUGAAAGGUCCACCCUUUCAAUUGAAGUGCACCCGACAAUAGAUAACUUCUCUAACAACUCUAGCUCAUCAAGGCCUUGAAUUUCAACUAAGUUUUGGCAAAAUUGAGCACUUAAUUUCUUCAUGCACUUAGAUUUUGGAAGGUCCAACCUUUCAAUUAAAGCACACUUGACGAAACAAAGCUCUUCUAGGAAUUCCAGCCAAUUGAGGCCUUGAAUUUCAACUAAGUUUCGGCAAUUUUGAACAUUCAAUAUUUUCAGACCCUUGGGUUUUGAAAGGUCCAACCUUUCAAGUGAAGUGCACUCAACGAUAGAUAUCUUUGCCAAGAAGUCCAACUUAUCAAGGCCUUGAAUUUCCACUGAGUGUUUGCAAUUUUCUACAUUUAAUGUCUUUAGACCCCCAAACUUCAGAAGGUCUAACCUUUCAAUUGAAGCACACCCGACGACACAUAAUUCUUCCAAGAGCUGCAUCUUAUCGAGGUCAUGAAUUUCAACUAAACUUUCACAAUAUUGAACACAUAAUUUUUUCAUGUCCUUUGAUUUUGGAAGGUCCAACCUUUCAAUUAAAGUGCACUUAGAGAUGCACAGCUCUUCCAAGUAUUCUAACCUAUCGAGGCCUUGAAUUUCAAUUAAGCUGUUGCAAUUCUCAAUUUCUAGUUUUCUCAUGCCUUUGGAUUCUGGAAACCUUUCAAUUGACCCUUUGAUGGUCAUGCUUUCCAAAUAUUUCAAUUUGUCAAUACGGUGAAAUUCACGUAUAUUACAACAACCCUGGGCAGAUAAUGUCUUUAGAUGGUUUAAUUCUUAAACAUCCAGUGUGUCCAUUGAUUCGCAAAACAAGACUUCCGAAAAAUCUAACUUGAAAGGAGUGUUUAGAGAUCUUUGUAAUUUUGAUUCUUCGACAUUUCUAAGUUGGGAACAUUUUGAAAGCUCUAGUAUUGUUGAUGGAAGCUCCACGAUGCACUUGAGAAUUUUGUAGUUAAGAAGGUGUAGUUGCUUGAGAUCGGUUAGGUGGGCAAGUGAAGUCAUUUUGAAACUUUGACAGGUGACACUCAAAUAUGUCAAGCUGGAAGGAAGCUUUGGCAGCCAUUGAAGCUCCCAGCACCUUAAAACUUCUAAUUUUUUUAGCUUUCUCAGCCUUCUAAUAUCAUUGGGUAAUUUCUUUAUUCCAGUCCCAGAAAUAUCCAAAGUUUCUAGAUUUUGCAUAGCCCCUAUGUUGCGGUAGGGAAGAAAUGUGACCACAAUUUCUUAGGAGAAGUAGCUCCAGUGCUUCUAAUUUAGUCACUUCUACCGGCAACUCCUCGAGACUAAUACAUCCCGACAAGUUCAAGCGUGCCAGAGUCUUCAUGUUUCCGUUCGAAGAAUCAAGUUGCUUCAGACUUUGACAACCUUUAAGGAUAAGAACCUCUAAGUUCUUAAAAGCUGAAAGGAAGAAAGUUCCUUCCAAAAAUUGACAAUGUGUUAGGUCGAGAAACUUGAGCUUUUCUCCCUUCUGAUAAAAAAUGUAAUAAUUGUGGAGGGGUUAGCCAAAAGUAAUUUUGAUUCAACAGAAAUCAAUACGAAAAAAGAAUGAAAUGACUUGUUUAACCAUCUUACCUUCACAAAAUUCCAUCCUUGCCAUUUGCUAGAAAUCUUGCUUCUCGACAACUCAAGUACAACCAAUUCCUUUACAUUAAAUUCUUUUGCUUCAAAAGUCAAGGGACAAUUGUGCCAUCGAAGCCAUUUUAACUUCUUAGUGCAGUUCUCAAAAUCUCCACUAAAAUGUGUUGGAGAAAACUUCUUUGAGUAUUUUGAAGCUGACAAAACGUUUCCAUCAGUCUAGUUUGAAGACUUGCACACUCUUUCAUCAAAGUCUGAAGACCUCCGGACUGCCAGACUCAAGACUCAAAGUCUAUCCUCAUUGACAGUUUCUAGACCGUCGAAGAAGGCUUAUCCAGAACUGGAUGUUUCGUUAAGGAUUUGACUUUAUCGACUGGAGAAGAUCUCUUGGCUAGAUACAGCAUGUUGGAAUCCAUUAUUCAAAUCAAGAUUGAUUCAGGGAUUUUCGAUCCGUUGAUUGAUGAAGUAUACUUGGAAGGUUCUACUUAUGGAAACCUAGAACCUGAUUGUAUGGGCGAGCAGGAUUGAUGGGCUAUCGUCAUGUUCCUUAAAUAGCUCGAAGAUCUUCCUAAUUGAUUCUGUCCAACGGGUAGAUUGGAAGAAUUCCUUUGGUAAGUGCCAACGGGUAUGAUGGCAUAAAAGAGUAUAUAAGGAAGACAUUCCAGUUGUUCAAGUGCGUGCACGAUAGAAGAAUUCCAAAGUCUGAAGCUCCUUGUUCUUAGUCAAUUAAACUGUUGAGCGAAAUAUUGUACGCAAAAGAGAGUCUAUAUCUUUGAGAGAACUUGAGGAAGUGUAGUAGAGUCUCUACACUGUGGAAUCAAGGAAGAGCUUUACUGUAACAACUCUUUUGUUCAUAGUGAAAUCCAGCCAGUGGGCUGUCAGUGUGGAAGAAUGGACGUAGCUUGGAUUAAGCCGAACCACUAUAAACUCUGUGUUCAAAUUCUCUUCUCUACACUCUUUUACUUUGGUCGUAGCUUGUUUUGUNNNNNNNNNNNNNNNNNNNNNNNNNNNNNNNNNNNNNNNNNNNNNNNNNNNNNNNNNNNNNNNNNNNNNNNNNNNNNNNNNNNNNNNNNNNNNNNNNNNNAAUUGUUUUUACACCUAUUCACCCCCCUUUAGGUGUUCAUACUAGCAUUCACAAUUGGUAUCAGAGCUUGUGUACUCACUUAAGUUGAAGUGUUUUACUUCAAAGUUAAAGAUCCAUGGCUAGUCUGUUGGCUCCAGGACUGGUUGAAGGGCAAAGCAAUAUCAGACCGCCUUAUUUUGAUGGAAAGGAAUACAACAUAUGGAAAAACAAGAUGAAGGCAUUUCUAAGAUCAAAUGAUCCUCUGGAAUGGGAUGUGGUAGACAGAGGAAUCAUUCCUAAAUCUACACCUGUCUCAGAAAGAGGAAAAGAAGCUGUUGAGUCUAGCGAAAUGACUCAAGAAGAGAUAACCAAGAGACAAGCUCUUGAUGCAAAAGCAAUUUAUUCUUUAUAUUGUGCAUUAUCACCUACUGAAUAUAACAGAAUAUCUUCUUGUGUUACAGCUAAAGAAGUCUGGGAUAGAAUACACAUCACCUAUGAAGGAACUGAUCGAGUGAAAGAAACCAUAAUCAACAUUCUGCUCGGUCAAUACAAAGCAUUCAAAAUGAAAUCGGGAAAAUCUAUCACUGACAUGUUUAGUCGUUUUACAGAAAUUGUGAAUGGUCUUUAAAAUCAAGGUCAACCAAUUUCUGAUCCCAUGAAAGUAAACAAGCUACUGCGUGGACUCUCCAAGGAUUGGAAUCACAUAAAAACCUCAAUAAGGGAGACACAAAGAAUCAUGCCACUCUCUGUUGACGAAUUGGUUGGAACUCUUCAAUCUUAUGAAGUGGAGCAAAUCAACAAAGAUGAAGAUCCUAAAGGUAAGAAAUCCAUUGCAUUAAAAUCUAAUGAUAAUUUCGAUGUCACAGAUUCUGAAGACGAUAUGGAUGAUGAAGAGCUUGCUCUCAUGAUAAGAAGAUUCAGAAAGCUAAACAGAAAGGGGAGAAGAUUCAACCCAAAGAAACAAAGUUUUCAAAAGCAACAGACUAAGUCUGUUGAGGAUGAUGAAUCCAAUAGAGAUGUAGUCUGCUUUGAAUAUAAGAAAAAGGGACACAUCAGACCCAACUGUCACCUUCUGAGGUAAAAGAAAGGAAAAGCUGAGAAAUAUCGAAAGGCGCUCAAAGCAGAAAACUUGGAGUGAUACAGAAUGUGAAGAAAGUGAUGAUGACUAUGCCAAUAUUUGUCUCAUGGCAUAAUCAGACUUAGAUUUAGACUCCGACACAGACUCAGAUUCAGAUAGUGAAAUCGAGGUAAGUAAUUUGAAAAUCCCUACUAAAGUCUCUAGAUACAUUGAUGAAUUGUGUCUUAGUCUCAAAGCUUCUCUUAAAAGGAUUUCCAAACUUAAAAGAGAAAAUUCUGCACUAAAACAACAGGAAAAUGUUUGGAAAGAAAAGGUUAAAAGUUUAGACAAAAGUAUUACUAUUUUGAAAGAAAAUGAAGACAAUCUUUCAAAAGAAAAUGUAUUCUUGAAAAAUGACAUCUCAAGUAUUUCUAAAAGAUUUUCUAUAGGAUCUGAGAAACUGGAAAAAAUUCUUUCUGCACAAAGACCUUGUUUCAAUAAAUCUGGUUUGGGAAUGACUGCGGAAACCAUUCCUCUAAUUGAUUUUCCUAAAGUAAAUGAAAGAAUUAAGCAAAGACCUACAAGAGAUGCUUACAAAAAUCAUUUUCAAAAAGUUUUUGUAAAACCAGUAGGUCGCAAUGCUCUUAAAUGUUAUAAGUGCAAUAGUUCAGAUCAUUUUGAGAAAGAGUGUCCUAUCGUUUGGAAACCUGUUAAGAAAGUAUGGGCAAAGACCGUAUAUUAUACUAACACCAAUGGACCCAAGAAAAUAUGGGUACCAAAGAAAGCAUGAGUUUCUUUUCUAAAUGUAGGUCACUAUCAAGAAAAAUAUUAAAUGGUACCUGGAUAGUGGAUGCUCAAGGCAUAUGACAGGAGAUUCAAAUUGCUUCAUAAAACUUGUUCAAGUUAAUGGUGGAAAAGUUUCAUUUGGAGGAAACAGCAAAGGAAGAAUUGUGGGAUACGGAACUGUAAAGAUUGGAAGUCUCAUGAUCAGUAAUGUUUCCUUAGUGGAAGGACUCAAUUACAAUUUGCUAAGUAUCAGUCAGCUGUGCGACACCGGUUUCAAAAUCAACUUUCAAGAAGGAAUAUGUUCAGGAACUAGUAAAGACUCCUCUCAGUCUUUCACCGGUCGAAGACAUGGAAAUAUCUACCUCUUGGAUGUCAAACCAGAUGAAGCCCAAUGUCUAAUCUCAAUUCAAGAAGAAGCAAACUUAUGGCACAGAAAACUUGGGCACAUCAACAUGAAGCAAAUAGCCAAAAUUUCAGCAAAGAAGCUUGUUCGUGGUCUACCCAAUCUGUCAUACCAAAAGACUGAUCUAUGCACACCAUGCGUGUUGGGAAAAUAGGUAAGAAACUCAUUCAAACCAAUAAAUCAAGUUUCAACUAAUCGUGUACUGCAGCUCUUGCAUAUGGAUCUCUUUGGACCAACCAGAACUUAGAGCAUUGGAGGUAAGAAAUACUGCUUAGUAAUUGUGGACGAUUAUUCACGAUUCACUUGGAUAUAUUUUCUGGCAAGUAAGUCUGAAACCUUUUCUUAUUUCAAAAAGUUUGCUAAAAAAGUCCAAAAUGAGAAAGGAUAUGUUAUUGCAAGUAUACGGACAGACCAUGGAGGUGAAUUUGAAAAUCAAGACUUUACAAAAUUCUGUGAUGAAUCUGGUUUUCAGCAUAUGUUCUCCUCUCCAUAUACUCAAGAGCAAAAUGGAGUCGUGGAAAGGAAGAAUAGAUCCUUGCAAGAAAUGGCUAGAACUCUUUUAAUUGAAAGUAACAUCUCUUCACAUUUUUGGGCUGAAGCUGUUUCUACAGUAUAUUAUAUUAUUAAUAGAGUUUUUCUAAGGCCUAUUAUGGAGAAAACUCCCUACGAGUUAUUCAAAGGAAAGAAGCUCAUUGUUUCAUAUUUUCAUGUGUUUGGAUGUAAAUGUUUUAUAUUGAAAAAUGCAAAUGAUCGAGUUGGUAAGUUUGAAGAAAAAUCAGAUGAAGGAAUUUUCCUUGGAUAUUCUAUCACAAGCAAAGCUUACAGAGUCUAUGACAAGAAGACUCAAUCUGUGGAAGAAUCAAUGAAUGUCAAAUUUCAAGACUCUAUGCAAAAUGAAUCGAUUCAGACUCAAUUUGAAGAAUCUGAACCUGCUCCAGACUCUACAAAGUCUAAAUCUCUAGAAGCAGCUCAAACUUCAGAAGACCAGCAACAAAUGAUCGUCGAAGAUUCAAAUGAGGAAAAAGAUCAACAGUCUGACAAAUCAACCAGCAACUGGAAGCAUAAGUCCAAUCAUCCCAAAGAUCUCAUCAUUGGUGAUAUUAAUGAAGGAAUUCGCACAAGAUCCAAAAGGCGUGAAGAACCUAGUGCUGUGGCUCUUAUUUUUGAAAUAGAACCCAAAAGCAUAGAAGAAGCUUUAACUGAUGAAAGCUGGAUUGCAGCUAUGCAAGAAGAACUCAGGCAAUUUAGUAUCAAUGAUGUCUGGGAAUUGAUUCCUAAACCGAAAGGUAAAUCUAUCAUUGGAGUUAAAUGGGUUUUCAGGAAAAAGAUGAACGAGAAAGGAAAGGUCGUAAGAAACAAAGCAAGACUCGUGGCCAAGGGAUAUACGCAAGAAGAAGGGAUAGACUAUGAUGAGACUUACGCACCAGUAGCAAGGUUAGAAGCAAUUAGAUUAUUACUUGUUUUUGCUUGUUAUAAGAAUUUCAAGUUAUUCCAAAUUGACGUCAAAAGUGCUUUCCUAAAUGGAUUUAUCCAAGAGGAAGUCUAUGUGGAACAACCACCCGGUUUUGAAGACCCAAGGAAACUAGACUCUGUAUUCAGACUGAAAAAGGCUUUAUAUGGUUUAAAGCAAGCACCCCGAGCUUGGUACGACAGACUAAGUAAGUUUUUAAUUCAAAAUGGCUUUGUCAAAGGUAAAUUAGAUACUACACUGUUUAUCAAAAGAGAAAGCAAAAUUUUUCUACUUGUUCAAAUUUAUGUUGAUGAUAUUAUUUUUGGAUCUUCUAAUGAAAGUCUACGCAAGAAAUUCUUUAACUCUAUGUAGGAUGAAUUUGAAAUGAGCAUGAUGGGUGAACUAACCUUCUUUCUCGGACUUCAAGUGAAACAACUGAAGGAAUGAACUUUUAUUCAUCAAGAAAAAUAUGCCAACGAUCUUGUCAAAAAGUUUGGGCUAAAGAAUUGCAAAAAGACUUAUAUACCAAUGUCAAGUUCUUUGAAGCUGGACAAAGAUGAAAGAGGAAAGAAAGUUGACCAGAAGCUAUAUAGGAGCAUCAUUGGUUCACUUCUUUAUCUUACUGCUUCUAGACCUGACAUUCUGUUUAGUGUUUGUAUUUGUGUCAGAUUUCAAGCAGACCCUAAAGAAUCUCAUUUAAGUGCUGCAAAACGUAUUAUCAAAUACAUUGCCUCAACUUCAAACUUGGGUAUCUGGUAUCCUAAAGAAUGAGACUUUACUCUUCUUGGAUACUCAGAUGCAGACCUAGCCGGAUGCAAAGUUGAUAGAAAGAGCACCUCGGGCACCUGUCAACUACUUGGAAGCAGGACAGUGUCUUGGUUCUCAAGGAAGCAAAGUACAGUAGCUCUUUCUAUAGCAGAAGCAGAGUAUGUAGCUCUUAGAAGUUGUUGUUCACAAAUUCUAUGGAUAAAACAACAGCUAAGAGACUUUGGAAUUGAAGAUUCAUGCACUGAAAUCAAAUGUGACAACACCAGCGCAAUCAAUCUCACUAAGAAUCCGAUUCUUCACUCAAGAGCAAAACAUAUAAAGAUUCGACAUCACUUCAUUAGAGAUCAUGUUCAAAAUGGAGAAGUUUCGAUUCAGUUUAUUGACUCAAAAAAUCAACUGGUGGAUAUAUUUACAAAGCCUUUGGAGAAAAUCAAUUUGAANNNNNNNNNNNNNNNNNNNNNNNNNNNNNNNNNNNNNNNNNNNNNNNNNNNNNNNNNNNNNNNNNNNNNNNNNNNNNNNNNNNNNNNNNNNNNNNNNNNNACCCAGGACUAAAAGUCUAAAAACACUCAGACUCAGACCGAUCAGAUUCUCGACUGUAAGUUAUUUUUAUUUUAGAAAUAUCUCUCGAAUCAAAUCUCGAAAGGUACGAUCAUCAACCCGUAAUUAAUUGUUGUAUUUUCAAUUCCGUGAUUAUUGCAGUCUUUCUUUUUCGAAAAAGAAGUUAUUUUUAAAAUGACAGUUAUCUAAUUUUUAAAAAGGCAGUUAUUUUUUAAAAAGGCAUCUUUAUAUUUCCUUUUACGGCGUUUCGUAUGCCUCACUUUGAUUGUCUUAUAUACAGUCGGUUCCUCUUCAUUUUACUCACAAAAACCCUAAGAGAGCACCGAUCUUCCACUUCUGUCAUUUUCUCUUGUUUAAUCCUCGAAAAAUUUUCAUCUUUCUUGGGAAACAAGCUUGGAAACUCUCAAGGACUGAGAAAGAUGUCGUCCCAAAGAAAGUCUUCAAGGAUCGUGAACAGGGGACCACAGCAAAUGCGUGAGGGGCCUACGCACUUUGAUCUCACCGAGGAAGAAGAAUCUCCUAAUCAACAGCAGACCCCACAACAUUCUCAGCAGCGUCCAUCUCCUCCAUCUAGACCUCAGGAUGCUACACAUCAAGAAGAAGAAGAAAUCAUCAAAGACGCAGAACCCGUAAGAACUCUUAAGCCCGCUUUUACCUACAAGCUUUAUCGUGCUUUGAAGAGGGGUGGUACUCCUUUGAACUACAUUGAUGAAUUUCUGAAAGACAAAGGGUAUAGAAAUGAAACUUUCAUUUUACGCACAAUUGAACGAUUGGGAAUUGCCCCUGCUGGGUUGGCGGAAGAGGCAUUGGCAAAUAUCCCAAGCGAUCCACGUGUUGGAGGGCUGAGUUAGCCUAAUGGGAAUGACGAUGAUAGGAUGUACAGUCAGUUUAAAUCGAGAAUGGGUGUUACGGCAAAAAUCCGAAGCAAAAGGACAGACUUGUUUCGAUCGGAGGAACACAAGCAACUGUACUCUAAGUUGCUGAAGCGUGGGGUGAUAAACCCUAGAAGUGUGGAUUUUGAUUUUCUUGACUCUGUGAAUGUCAAUCUGCGGGAAAAAUUCAAUCUUCUUCAACUUGAACAGUUUUGUUCUGAAAGUACAUAAGCCUAUGCUGAACUUACUACUUAUUUCUAUUUGAAUAUUAGUUUCUUGGAUGCGAAUAGAUUCUCUUUUAGUGUUCGAGAUGAGGACUAUGUGGUUGACAUGAAUACAUUGGCUGAUGUGAUUGAGGUUGAAAGAGGGAGAUAUCAACCUAUUAGUGUGUCUAUUGCUCGUGCAACGUUGGAGCUUGUUAAGGAUAGAAGGACAGAGGGAAAGAUUUCCUAUUUGAGGAUGAAUGCAUCCAACAUUCUGCUUCACAAGAUUGUGAUUAACUGCCUCAGACCAAAAUCUACUUCAAAAACCGACGUUUCAAACUCGGAGGCAAAGCUGAUGUAUGCCAUCAAUGCUGGGAAAAAGUUCUCUCUUCUACACACUAUUAUGUUCCACAUGUACAGGGCAGUGGUGAAGGACAAGGGUCAACUCCCGUACGCAGCUCUUGUAACCAAGUUAUUCAGACAUUUGAACGUUCAGCCUCCCCGAAUUCUCUGUGUUCGAACGUGCAAUCAAAUGGUGUGGGACUGAAAAUGGUCUCUAAAUUGNNNNNNNNNNNNNNNNNNNNNNNNNNNNNNNNNNNNNNNNNNNNNNNNNNNNNNNNNNNNNNNNNNNNNNNNNNNNNNNNNNNNNNNNNNNNNNNNNNNNNNNNNNNNNNNNNNNNNNNNNNNNNNNNNNNNNNNNNNNNNNNNNNNNNNNNNNNNNNNNNNNNNNNNNNNNUUUCUGCAAUGGCAUGAAGAACUUGAGUCGUUCUACUCCAGAAUCAAUGGAGAGACAGGAAAAAGACAUGGAUGAGACAGAACAGAGGACUGAAGUGAGAGAAGAUUUGGAGAAAGAAGCAGAGGAGAGAGAUGCAGAGGAGGAAAGAAUUGAGGAAUAAGAAGAAGAAGAAGAAGAAGAAGAAGAAGAAGAAGAAGAAGAGAGGAGAUCAAGUGGAAGCAGAGCAUGAGGAACACUCUUCUCCACCUAAAGGCAUGGAAACAGGGGGAGAUCCUGAGAAAAGAGGAACGUCCUCAUUCCCUGCCACCAGUGAAAGAGUAAGCCACUCUCCAGCAGAUCCAGAGGACAUCUAUGCCUCUCAAUUUCCUGAGGAGGGACAUGAUGUUUCAUCGCCUAAUCUGUGUGACCAUGCUAAUUUGCCAUCAUCUGCGUAUAUCGUGCAGAAGCCAGUAUUCAGAUUGAUAAUUCAGCAAACUUUCGCAUAAUACUUGAUGUUCUCUUAGAGAUGCGGGGUCAAAUAUAUGCUCUGGGAUGCGAAGUACAAAACUUGCAGACUGCAGGACAAGCUUCUUCAGUUUCUUUGAAUGAUCAAAUCCAAGCCCUUGCUCUUCAAGUUCAAGCAAAUGCAAGGGUGAAGAUGUGGCGCAACUGAAGGAGGAUUUGAAAAAGCUGGAAGGGAUUGUCCAGUCAAUGGGAGAUUUCCAGCUUGUUCGUGUUCCCAAGCAAUCUUAAUUCCAUUCUCUUUUCAUCUCUACCUUUUUAAUGAUGACAAAAAGGGGGAGAGAUGUGGUGCAAAUUUGAUUUGAACUUUGAACUUUUUGAACUUUUGUGUCGAUUAUGUUUGAUUGACUUGACUUUUGUGUUUGGCUGUUUGGAUUUGAAUUGGAUUUGGAUUUGACUGUUUGAACAUUUGUUUAUCUUAAGUACUAUUGAUAUCUCAUGGCUUUGUUCAUUUACAAGACUAACCUACUUUCUGUGGAUGCAGACUCUAGUGUUAUUUUUACUAAGCCAUUUAUCUUUGUGAGAUAUCCAUAUUUGCUUGAGUAAUGUUUUGCAGGUCAAAGUUAUCCAAAUCUGCAGGAAAGUUUUGUCACCAUCAAAAAAGGGGAGAUUGUUGAAGAUAACUUCCUUGAGUGUUUUGAAGCUGACAAAACGUUUCCAUUAGUCUAGUCUGAAGACUUGCGGACUCUUUCAUCAAAGUCUGAAGACCUCCGAACUGCCAGACUCAAGACUCAAAGUCUAUCCUCAUUGAUAGUUUCUAGACCGUCGAAGAAGGCUUAUCCAGAACUGGAUGUUUCGUUAAGGAUUUGACUUUAUCGACUGGAGAAGAUCUCUUGGCUGGAUACAGCAUGUUGGAAUCCAUUAUUCAAAUUAAGAUUGAUUCAGGGAUUUUGGAUUCGUUGAUUGAUGAAGUAUACUUGGAAGGUUCUACUUAUGGAAACCUAGAUCCUAAUUGUAUGGGCGAGCAGAAUUGAUGGGCUAUUGUCAUGUUCCUUAAAUAGCUCGAAGAUCUUCCUAAUUGAUUCUGUCCAACGGGUAGAUUGGAAGAAUUCCUUUGGUAAGUGCCAACGGGUAUGAUGGCAUAAAAGAGUAUAUAAGGAAGACGUUACAGUUGUUCGAGUGCGUGCGCGAUAGAAGAAUUCCAAAGUCUGAAGCUCCUUGUUCUUAGUCAAUUAAACUGUUGAGCGAAAUCUUGUACGCAAAAGAGAGUAUAUCUUUGAGAGACCUUAAGGAAGUGUAGUAGAGUCUCUACACUGUGGAAUCAAUGAAGAGCUUUACUGUAACAACUCUUUUGUUCAUAGUGAAAUCCAGCCAGUGGGCUAUCAGUGCGGAAGAGUGGACAUAGGCUUGGAUUAAGCCGAACCACUAUAAACUCUGUGUUCAAAUUCUCUUCCCUACACUCUUUUACUUUGAUCGUAACUUGUUUUGUUGACAAGAAACAAAUUUCUUUUUUACAAUCUAUUAUUGAAUAGUGCUGCACACUUAUCUCGAAAAAUUGUUUUUACACCUAUUCACCCCCCUCUAGGUGUUCAUACUAGCAUUCACAAAAUGUGCUUCACUUGCAUCGAGGAACCUUAAAUUCCUUAACUUCUUGAAUCGUUUUGCCUUAAGGAUAUUGUCACCUUGGUCAAUGGUUUCACCACAGCUAAGACAAAUGGCCUCAAUCUUUUUUGUUCCCUAUUAGUAGGAAUCAACAUCCAUUAAUACUAUUUAUAUCCAAGUCAUCUAAUAUCAUUUGUUCAUAUUGCUAUUAUUAUGCAUCUAUCUCUUCAAGAGACUAGCAAAUCCUUUUUUGGCAGAUAAACGGUAUUUAUAAAGGCUAACAAAGUGAAAGAUGUCAAUUCUGACUUUGAAAUUUGGCCAUAAGUACUUAGAUCUUAAAAUAAUUAUGAUGUUCUCUAGUUUUAUUUUAUCAUGUAUAAUAGUUUACAGUUUCUUAUACCCAUUAUAAACGUACUAUUACCCUUUGAUCUACCUAUAGGGUAAAACUUCACAACUGAUAAAUCCUCUUCUCUUGUAUUGUAGUUUUGUUGCUAUCCUAGUUAGGACGCACAUGUAAUGCAUGGAAUUUAAUUAAAUUACAAUGCACAAAAUUGAAAGUUCUUGUGAUUAUUGUGACAAUUGGGAAAAAAAAAACUUCUCUUAAUAUAAAAAAAUUUAUCCUUAUGAAGUCCAUCUUUUCUUUUCCGUAUUUUCUUGUGUUUAAAUUUCGUGUAUAUUACUCAGCUGUGUUACUUACAAUUAAUAAAAAUAUAACUUAUACUCAUUUUUGCUUUUUCCAAUGGAGUAAUGACUAAUUGUACGUAACUAAGCUUGUGAUGGUAGUUACUUUAAUAUCAUAUGUAAUUUUUUUUAUUAAUAGUAACUUGAAUUAUUAUCAAUAAUUAAUCUCUAAUUAUAAGCAACUGAGAUACUGACAUUAAUUAUAUCUAUGCUCUCUAUAACUUAUCAUACUAGCAUAAAUUAUUAUUUAGUUGCAGAUCACAAUUGGCUAUAUUAUAAAUCGAUCAGAAAUUGAAUUAUUAAAGUAUAAUAAGUAUAAUUGUUCUAAAACAAUUAUAAUAAAUAUAAUAAACAGUCCUAAUUUAUUAACUUUGAUUAAUUUGAAUAUAACUAAUUAUUAAAAAUGUAUAGUAUUUUCGGAAUUUUAAAAAUUGAACUUAUUCUUGGCUACAUGAAAUAGCGAGUAACUCCUUGGCCCCCAGGAAUAGCUAGUCCUGAUUUUGAGAGAAUAGCUAUUUCAAAUCUACUUUUUUAAUCAAAGGAAUGAAAAUUUGCUUCAAUUUGAAUGAAUUAAAAACAUGAUAGUUAUUCCUGCGAAUCAAAUGUGCAACAAGCUUUCACCAAGAAAAAUCACUUAUGCAUAAGAAGUUAAGGAGCACCAACAAUUCAUGGAUUUCCAGAUCCAUGUCAGUUUAUUCAAACCAGAAAAUUUCUUAUUGUAUUUGACAAUGUUUCUUAAGAUUUCAUGGAAACUCAGGAGAAUGACAUAAUUAGUGGAGAAGGAAUUAUAUCUUAUACCUAAAAGAAAACCAUGAGAAGAGUAAUUAUAAAAAAAAAAAAGUAAGCAACCUCCAAGAGAAGUAAACAUACUCAGAUUAGUCAUUUCCAUGAGAAAAUUCCCUCUCAAAAUAUGAAGAAAUCUAUCUGUCGUCAAAAUCGAGUAACACUCAUGGUCAAAUCCCAAAAAAAAAGCCCAACCAUUUGUACUUGAGACAAAAGUAACACAAUCUUUCAAAUGUCCCAAGCCUAAUGUAUCGGGGACAUGUUGACAUGGAACAAAGCCCAACCUUUUAGCCGGGAAAAAAACCGACAUCUAUUGUAAAUUACAUUCAUUAAAUUGCCACUAAUAUCCUACAUGGCUCACUGUGUUGACGUACACAGCGAGCCACAUCAACCAGCACAGAAGAACGACGUUGCUUUUUCAUUUAUAAUCUUUGCCAACAAAAUUAGUGUAUAAUCUUUGUUAUCAAAUUUUUAGCAUUUUGUAAAAACAACAAAAAGCCGUAUAAUUAAAAUUGUUUUUGUGCAUGUCAGCCCAAUGAACCAUGUAGGUGUCGUGUGUCUAUUUAAGGUGAGAGGAGAAUAGGUAGAAUUUGUAAUAGAUGUCAUUUUUGUAUCGCGAGUGAAGAAGGGCUGAGCUUUUCCCUGGGAAGUUCGAAAGGUGGUGUUAUUAUCAGCCCACAUGCUUGCUUGGGCUUCCUUUUAGGAUAUUUUAGGUUGUGUUAUUAUUGUCAAGGGUGCAAAAGGCUGCUCUAUUUUCACUUGGCAGUUCACUCACUAAUAAUGUCCGAGGAAUGAGUUAUAAAUGUGUUCUAAUUAUGCUUUGAAUGUCUUUUGUUUUUGUUUAUUUUGUAAGUCGUGCCAAUGCUCUUGUCCAUGCUUUGCACUUCACAUGACGAAUAUCAAGAUUGACUGUUUUCGAUGACAUACAUGACAAUAACUUCUAAUAUUGAUCGGAUGUAGGAAUCAACUUACAAUAAUAUUUGUAUCAGUUUUCUCAGCCGCUUUAACUUGGAGUAAUGACAGUGCCAUGAAUGAAGAAGAAAAAUGAACCCAGCAAGAAUUCUGAAAUAAUUACGACCAAUGACGUACCUUUUUAGUUUGUAAAGCCAUCAAUACCAAAGUUAUCUAGACUUAAAUAUACAGCAUAUUCAUUUUUCUUUUAGUUAGUUCAGUUUAUUUUAUGAUGUAAUACGAAGACAUAACAAAUGAACAUUGGCUUUAAUAUGAUAACAUAGAAAUCAGCUCUUGAGAUUAUAUAUAGGUUGCACGUUGAAAAUGCAAAUAUGUGCUAGUUUUUUAGCAACAACUCCGAGUCAAACAAAUGAUGGAUCAAGAAUAUUAAGAGUCAAAACUAUGAUUAAUUUCACACAUACAAUACAAUCACAUAAUUAUAUACAAAAUAGAAUUUUAGAGUAAUUACCUUUGGGACUUUUUAUAUGAAAUAAAUAAGACAUUUCUCUUUUCAAUAGCCAUUACAUCAAAUACGAUUAAUGUCAUAUAUAUCUGCAUACAUUAUGUUCAUAUUCUAUUAAUUAUAUGUUCGGUAAGUUUUGAAUCAGUCCUUAUUAUGUGAAUUUUGGUAAAAGGAAUUACUAACUUAAUAUUACAUAAAAUAAAUACCCCUUCCAUUCUCAAAUACGUUAUAAUGAUUGAAAUUUCAUGAGAAAUGUGGGCAUGAUUGCUCCUACUAUAUCAAUUCCAACACCUAGAGAGUAGAAUUUUAUGAUUUAUAUAUCCUAAGGAAGUUAUGGUUUACAGUAGCAUAGUCAAAGUUAUUAUUGCAUGUGUCAAGGAUGUAACUGAAUAAAUUUUAGAAGUUAAGGAUUUUGUCAAUAUAGAAUACCUCUAUCAAGUAUCUAAUAAAUUUGAAAAUACCUCAUACUUGGAAGCAACUUCUGAAUGCACGCUUGUUCAAGAAAAAUCUCAAAUAAGGUGCAAUGCUUAUUAAGAGAGAGCAACCUCAUACUUUCUAAUCAUGUCAAUGAAACGACAUAAGAGUAAUAAUAGUAGACAGUUCUCUGCUCACUAGAGCAAGCACUAAGUACAAGACCAAUAUCAAUCUGACACUAGAACAUGGACUGAGAGGGCAAAAGAGAGAAACGCAUACCUCAUUUGCGUUAAGCACUUCCCGGACUUCCCUCGAGUCCCAUAACCUACUACGGUAUUGAGGUCCUUGCUCGUUUUCCUCGCGGACAAUUUCCUUGCCAAGAUCUCUUAAUUGAUCAUGCAUUCUGAGCUCAUGAUUAUCUCCAACUUUUAUUAAUGACAUUGUUGAGAAUGUCGGAUUCCCAAAAACCGGAUUCGACAUUAAAUCGAACCCCUAAAACGAAUGCGGAAGACAAGCCCGGGAAAUUCACAUGUAUUACCGAUUCUAAAGCACACCACAGAAUCGAGCGUACCUUGUUAGCCACAGAUUAAACAUCAAUGCCAAUAAGAUUGAGGAAGAGAAAACGAUCCCGUUCGAUCUGAUGACAUCGAUUAGCCUUGAAGGGAAGAUGAUGUCGCUUGGGUGCCACUUUUUUCUUUUUGGAGGGAGAGAGGGAGAGGAACGUACGUUAUGCCAACGAUUGUGUUCCUCCCUCUCUCUUUCUCCUUUUAUACGUCCCUCCAAUAGAAAGGAACAUACCCCUUCAUCCAUGGGCCCUAAUCUUGUGGGCCGGGCUUUUAGGUCCAUCAUGGACGAACGGGCCAACUUAGGCCCAUCACAUAAAACUAUCAUCUCCCACUCGCACAUGGUGGGCCGAACAGGAUUCUCUUUACCUCUCUUCAACAUUCAUACCAGUGAAUAAUCCGUGCGACCAGCAUACUUUGAGAGCUCGUUGACAUACAUCUAUUAGGAACAUAUAGCAGCUCAUAAUGGGCAUCACACUCUGAGUAGAUUUAGUAUGCAGUACCCUAGAUCGAUCGAUCACAUUUAUAUCUCUCUUGAUCUCUUUUAAACAAUGAUAUAUAUAUAUAUAUAUAUUGUAUUCACAAUUAUGAUUAUCCCAAAGACAGUCAUAAAUUGUUAACUAGUGAAUACGAAACUACAAUGUGAUUCUCCAAAUUCGAUCUUCCUCUUUCCUUCAAACUCUCAAUUUCAAUUCAGCUUGUUUUUCUAGAAAUGUCCCAUUAGAUCGAAUCAACUCAUGACCAUUGGCAAUAUCCUAAGAUAGCAAACACUAAAUAGAAAUCUUGAGAAUAAGUAAGAGUCAUGAGGAGACUAAAAAAUUGAUGAACUAUUUUCCUCAAGAGUCUCACACGACACAAAAGUUGAGAUCAAACUUUUGCCACUCUUAUUGGUCGACUCAUGCAUACGUAGUAUGAAAUACGUAUUACGGUACUCAUUUCCUAUGGAGCAUAUGUCUACACCUUUCAAUACCGUACAGAUGAUAGUUCAGACAUACCCAAUGUCUAACUUAAGUUCACGUAUCUACUCAUUCACAAAAUUCAUCAGAACUCACAUCUGGCAUCAUAGACAGAUAAAGUAAAAUAUGUUGGUUAUUUUACUUUCGGACACAGUAAAUAUUAUGUCAUCAUCUUAACACUCAGUUAAGGCGACAUAUGUAUUUUAAGCUUAAGCUCUCGAUUAUCACCUAGAUAAUAAGCUUAAAAACAGUCUCAUCUCUAUUUAUCACACAGUAAAUAGAGGCGAUUACCCAUGUGAAUGGGCUAAUCUUAUAUCUGUCCGACAUACUUUCUCAACUUAAAAUGAUGCACUGAGCAUUAAGAUGCAUAAAGAUCAAACAAAGAUUCAUAAGCAUUAAUGAUGAAAAACACAAAUUCAUCAAAUGUGAACACUUCAUGGAAAUUACAAUCCAGUACAUCAGACUCUACGCAAUCCUAGAGGUUUCACAUGACCACAAAACACAUCUCUAGGUAUUGACUUUGUCAUAGGAUCUGCUACCAUUCUAUGCGUAGAUAUGUACUGUAAGUUUACAUCCUUUCGUGCAACCAUAUCUUUGACAAAGUUAUACUUGGUAUCUAUAUGUUUGGUCUUGCCAUGAUAGUUUGGAUCUUUGGUGUACGCUGUAGCUGCUUGGCUAUCACAGUUAACCAACAAUGAAUCUGCAGCACUUCCAAUAACACCUAAAUGAUCCAAUAAUCUCUUAAGCCAAACAUCUUCUUAUAUUGUUGCUGAUAAUGCCACGAACUCAAUUUCCAUCGUGGACAAGGCUAUACACUUUUGUUUCUUACUGCUCCAACAUAUGGUGCCAUUAUUCGGUAAGAAAACAAACCCAGAGGUAGAUAUUCUUUCAUCUAAAUCUCCUCCCCAAUCAGCAUCAAAAUAGCCUUAGAGUUGCAGAUCUUUUCCUUGAUAACUCAAUGUAUAAUCAGCAGUUCCCUUUAGAUACCUCAGUAUUCUCUUAACGGCCUUCCAAUGUGCUGGACCUGGGUUGGAUUGGUAUCUACUCACCAUUCCAACUGCAAAACAUAUGUCAGGUCUUGUACACAUCAUAGCGUACAUCAAGCUCCCAACAGCACUAGCAUAAGGAACAUGUUUCAUUUGUUCCUUCUCUUGUGGAGUCCUUGAACACAGUCUAUGGCUCAAUCCUUCACCUUUUGCAAUAGGAGUGUCUAUGGGUUUACAAUCUUGCUUACGAAAUCGUUCAAGAACCUUAUUUAUAUAUGUUUCUUGCAAAAGAGAUAACGAUCUCUUCGAACGAUCUCUUGAAAUCUUAACUCCAAGAAUGUAUGCAACCUCACACAUAUCCUUCAUCUCAAAGUUGGAAGACAACCAACUCUUGACAGUAUUAACAAACUCCAUAUUACUUCCAGCAAUUAGUAUAUCAUCAACAUAUAAUGAUAUGAUCACAAAUUGAUCCUUGGAUCUUUCGAUAUAUACACAAUGAUCCUCAUCAAUCAUUGUAAAAUCAUAUGCCAUUAUGGCAUUAUGAAAACGUAUAUAUACCAUUGUCUUUGACGACUGCUUAAGGCCAUAUAUCGACCUCAAAAGUCGACAUACCUUUUCUUCUUGGCCUUUCACUAUGAAACCAGCAGGUUGUUCCGUAUAUAUUUCUUCCUCUAAUUCUCCAUUGAGGAAAGCAGUCUUUACAUCCAUUUGAUGAAAUUCAAGAUCCACACUAGCCAUUAUUGCCAGAAUAAUGCGAAUCGAGGUAAAUCUUACUAUAGGAGAAAAUGUAUCUUCAUAAUCAAUUCCUUCAUGUUGAUUAUACCCCUUCGCCACAAGGCGGGCCUUAUGCCUUUCUAUCGAGCCAUCAACUUUUCGCUUUAUUUUGAGUUCCCACUUGUUCCCAAUAGCUUUGCGUCCUUUUGGAAGAUCAACCAGUUCCCAGACUUGGUUUGAUUUCAUUGACUCAAUUUCUUCUUCCAUUGCAUGAAUCCAUUUCUCCUUACUAAGGCAAUUCAGAGCCUCAUUAAUAUUUCUUGGCUCAUCCUCAUCUUGCGGAGCAAUCAUAAAAGUUUCCCCUUCAAUGUCAAAACGUCGACGGGGAAUACUUUGGCGACUUGUUCGCCUUAUGGGAGAUUGUACACUUAGCACAUCAUUCCCCAUUAUGCUCACACUAGGAUUAGAUAAUGAUGACGUCGUCUCAUCAUGUGGUUGCAAUUGAGAAUGAGUUGAAUUCAAUUCAUCACUUCUCAUAUUACUCCCACUUGAACGAACUCCACUAAUAUCAUUAUCUUGAUCCAAGAUUACAAAUAAGGAGUAAUCUGCCCCUAUUUCGCCCUUUUUAGGAAAUUCAUCCUCUAAGAAUGUGACAUCCCGUGAUUCAAAUUCAGUUAUACUUUCACUUUCCUGCUCACCUAUGAACACAUACUCUUUCGAGUGUUCCGAAUAUCUUAUGAAAAUACUCUUCUUUCCUCUGGGACCCAAUUUCCCAAACUUGUGAGAGGACUCAUGAGUAUAGGCAGCACAACCCCAUGGCUUAAGAAAACUUAAGUCCAGUUUUCUACCUGUCCAUAACUCAUAUGGAGUGGAGGUAACUGAUUUGGAAGGCAUCCGGUUAAGUAUAUAGGCAGCAGUUAAUAACGCAUCACUCCGAAAAGUGAUAGGUAAGUUAGCAUGCGCCAUCAUGGACCUAACCAUUUCCAGUAGGGUUCUGUUUCUUCUCUCUGCAACACCAUUUUGUUGAGGAGUAUAUGGAAUAGACAACUGUCUUUCUAUUCCUUUUUCAUCACAUAAUUUUCUAAACUCAUCAGAUAAAUAUUCUCGACAUCGAUCGGAUCUCAACGCUUUUAUUUUCUUGUCUAAUUGAUUUUCUACCAAGUUCAUAAAUCUUUGAAACAACUUAAUGCUUCAGAUUUAUGAGAAAUCAAAUAGACAUAUCCGAAUCGAGUAUAAUCAUCUAUAAAAGUGAUGAAAUAAACAGCCCCAUGCCUUCCUCUCACAUUCAUUGAACCACAGACGUCAUAAUGGAUUAAAUGCAGAGGAAAUUCAGCUCUUUUACCUUUUCCAAAUGGUUUCCUUGUCGUUUUCCCUACUAGGCAAUGCUCACAUAUGGGCAAAUCGCCUUUUUCAAUGUUGCCCAACCAGCCCUCUUUGGCUAAUCUAUUCAUACGUUGUUGGUCAAUAUGACCAUGUCUUGCAUGCCACACAUUCACAUCAUUAUCACAUGAAUUAAGAGAUGUGAGAAGGGAAUAACUAACAUUUGCAUUAACAUAGUCAAUACCUAAUACAAUGAAACCAUCCAGAAAAUAACCACAAGCAUAGUAGUUUGUAUCAAAAUACAAAUCAACACCUCUAUUAUGGAAGUUCAUAUAAAAUCAAACUUAACCAACACUAAAACAGACACUAAAUUUCGACGAGUCUCCGGAGCAUAUGGAACAUCAUGUAGGGACAAGGUGCGUCCACCACGCAUGUUCAAUUGGCAGGUGCCAAUCCCUUUAACUUCAGCUCUAGAGUUAUUUCCCACAUAGAUCCACUUAAUUCCAGUUGGUAUCGUCGGAAUUCCACGAAGAUUCUCUAUCCUUCGUUACAUGGUCUGUCGCUCUUGAAUCUACAGUCUACAAAGGAUUGGAUUCAGCCAAUAAUACAGAACUUGACACAUAAGCAAAGUUCUCAAAUGUACAAGAGGUGUUUACCUUUUCGGCUCACAACAGUUGCGAGCAUAGUGACAUUUCUUAUUACAAUUGUAACACCUCACCCUUGACAUUUUCCUCACUUGAGGACAUUUUCCUCUCUUGUAUUGGUUAACUCUUGAUUUCUUGCAAUAAGGACUUGAUCAUUUGCAUUCCCACAUAUUGAACGAAUCAAUACGCUUGCACUUAGAGCUCAAAGCCCUUUCUAAGCUAGAACCUGCAUUGCAAAUAUCUAUUUUCGACUCAAAUGCCGUUAUGCGGUCCUCUACUAGCUCAAGGUGGCGCACGGCAUCCUCAAGAUCUUCCAUAACAUGGUCAAGAGCUUCCAGUGCUUCUUGCUUUUCCAACAUAUAUUGAAUCUUCAUAUUCAAUAUUUCACAAUUGUUGCCGUUCAUAUCAACAAUUACAUUCUUAUUUGCUGAAACCAUCGAUCUGAACACAUCAGACAUAUAUGCACGAAUAAUUAAUGCCUAUCAUUUAUGCAUCCACUUUGCACAGACCCAUCAUAUCAAUGAACAAUUUCAAAUAAGGUUUCAGAAUCAAAAGGUCAUUACGUUUCCAAUCAUUAUCCAAAAAUCCUAACUUAAAAUUAUUAUUAAUAUAAUUGUCUUAUGCAAAAUAAAUUCUAUGAAGUUACAAAAACUUCUAUGAACUACCCACAGCAGUCAACAAUAACUGAAAGCAAAUAAUAUUUAACAUCCAAUAAUAAUGCUUUCACAUAAUACAGCUAUCCAUUACACUGAGUAAUAUAUACAAAGAAGAAAUAUCAAACUAGAAAGAGAUAUUCACACUCAAAAACAUCUCAAACUAAUCUAAGAAAUAAAUAGGGAAUGUUCCUUCUAAUCUAUCAGUCAAAAUAUCUAAGAAAUUUGAAGGCACAUUUGCCAACCAUGGAAAAACUUUUGGAGAGCUCUCAUGUCGCCUCCAAGGCGCAUUCACUCUGCACCAUGUGGCGCUCAAUCUAAAGGUUGAAGUUUUGGUUAACUCAAUCCUAUAGUACUCUCUAACAAAAGCUACCACUAGCCUCCUAUAACCCGGGACCACGUUGACCUCCCAUAGCCGAUCUAACACUGCUUGCCAUUCAGGUGGAAGAGUGUUCAUCAAAGCCGGCACCUUCUCAAAAUCCGGCAUAAGAUACACAUUCCAAAUGAUUUCCUGUAUCAUCUAAUUAAUCUUGACCACGUGUGAUACUAAAUCACCGCAAUGCCACCAAUAAUUAGCUAACUCUGUCAUUAGCCUUUUAAGUCUUGCACUUCCCUCGUCCGUUCUCGGGAUUGCAGGUAUCCGUGCAUAACGCAUCAUAGUUCCUACAACAAAUGCAGAACUAAAAAUGGAUUACUUAUAAUCCAUAACGUACAUAAGAGAAAAUACAUAAUUUUCCAUAAUUCAUGCAACAAAUGCAGAACUAAAAAUGGAUUACUUAUAAUCCAUAACGUACAAGGGAAAAUACAUAAUUUUCCAUAAUUCAUGCAACAAAUGCAGAAUAAACAAUGGAUUACUUAUAACCCAUAUAGGUAUAAAUGAAAAAGAAACAGAUUCCUUUUUUUUUUUCUUUUUUUUUUCUUUUUCGGGUCAACAGUCAACGGUCGUUGGUCAACGGUCAACGGUGGUCAACGGGUCAACGGUCGUCGGUCAACGGUCAACGGUCGGGUCGCCGGGUCGUCGGACCGGUCGGACUGGUCGGGCCGAGUCGAACGAACCGACCCGACACGUGCCUCGCACACGCGAGCGACCGGUCGUCUCGAGUCGGGUCGCGUCUCGGGUCGGCUCGGUUCGCCGGUCGGGUCGGGUCGCCAGCCGGUGACCGGCCGGCCAACUUUCGCCGGCGAUGACGUCAUCCCAGCGGUUACUGACCGUUGGGUGACGUCAUCACGCGUCGGUUCGCCGACUAGCGCGUGCUGGUUCGCCAGCCUGCGGCGUCACGCAUGUGCCAGUUCGCCGACCGACGCGUGUGGUGCACGCGGUGGCCGAGCCAGGGCUUCAGGCGCGUGGCGCCCACGCGCAGCGGUUUCUGGCCGCGCGUGUGGUCACGUGAGGCGUCGCCCGACGGCGGUCAACCCGUUGACGGAUUCGUCUCGACGAGCUCUUUCACCCUAUGCUAUUAGAAAUUGAUUUCGACUUACGGAAACUCGAAAAAAUGGAUGAAUAGUGUUCGGGUGUCGGGAUUUUUCGCCCCGAUCGGUUUCGGCCGAAUAAUUCCGCGAAAAAUCAAUCAAAAAUCAUUCAUAAACAUGAAAGGGGUCGGGAAAACAUGAACUAGGGCUAUGAUACCAAUGUUGGGAAUGUCGGAUUCCUAAAAACCGGAUUCGACACUAAAUCGAACCCCUAAAACGAAUGCAGAAGACAAGCCCGAGAAAUUCACAUGUAUCACCGAUUCUAAAGCACACCACGGAAUCGAGCGUACCUUGUUAGCCACAGAUUAAACAUCAAUGCCGAUAAGAUUGAGGAAGAGAAAACGAUCUCGUUCGAUCCCAUGACAUCGAUUAGCCUUGAAGGGAAGAUGACGUCGCCUGGGUGCCACUUUUUUUCUUUUUGGAGGGAGAGAGGGAGAGGAACGUACGUUAUGCCAACGGUUGUGUUCCUCCCUCUCUCUUUCUCCUUUUAUACGUCCCUCCAACAGAAAGGAACGUACCCUUUCAUCCAUGGGCCUUAAUCUUGUGGGCCGGGCUUUUAGGCCCAUCAUGGGCGGACGGGCCAACUUAGGCCCAUCACAUAAAACCAUCAGACAUAAACUUCAAUACUUCAAUUCCUUCCUCUGGGAAAAAGUCACAAGCGUCCCAUAUGUAGGAUGCAAUUCUUUUGCUGGUCCCAAUGAAAAAGCAAGCAAUAUCCAAAAAUAUAUGUUUUUGUCUAUAAUCCAAUGCUUCAUAACUUAUCCUUAACUUUUCUUGCACUUUCUUAUGAGGGACUUUUCUUAACUUUUUUAUCAUAUCCCUCCAUAGCAUUGGCUUUUGUCCGCACAAAUAUGAACCUAGAACCUCAAGAGAUAAGGGAAGCCCUCCAGUGGUGGACACAACAUCAUAAGCGAGGUCUUCAAAUUCACUUGGAGGAGAGUCCUUUCGAAAUGCAUGUCUACUAAAUAGAAUCAAAGAUUUAUCCUUAUCCAAUUCCUUAUGUUCAUAGUUGUAGUUCACCCGAGCAUUGUCAAGAAUACUCUUGUUUCUGGUGGUAAUAAUGAUCCUACUUCCUGAAGAAAACCAAUGAUGAUUUCUAGCCAAAGCUUUCAGCUGAUCAUAAUCAUCUACAUCAUCAAGAAGAAUGAGGACUUUCUUACCUUUAAGCAUUAAUGAGAGGAUCUUAAUCCCUUCAUCUUUAUUACGAGCUUGAUUGUCUUGCUUCAAUAUAUCAACGAUUAACUGAUUUUGUAAGCAAUGAAUGCCAAAGCGCUCCCAUGACUCCCUAAUAUCAGCAAUGAAGCUAUGAUACUCAAAUUUAUUUAAGAGCUUGUUGUAGAUGGUUUUAGCAAGAGUUGUCUUGCCAAUGCCUCCCAUUCCAUGGAUGCCAACAAAUAGGGUGUCACAAGGACUUUUAUCUACAAAUUUUAUAAUCUUCUCCACAUGACUGUUAAUUCCAACCAAAUUCUCAGGAAUAUCCAACUCAAACUUUUUUUUCAACUCGCUUAACACUUUCCGGACAAUCGAUUUUACCAAUUCUCCUUCAUACCUAUCAAGUGUAACAAGAGUUCAAAUACAUGGUAAAUAUAAUUUUAUAUUGUUUAUCUAACGAGAGCACAGUAGUAAAUAAGUCUAGGAAUAAAUCCUAAUACUUUAACAAUCAUUUUUGUCCACCUUCAUAUAUUAGCAUACUAUGGAUUGAAAUCAUAUUUCAAACUUCUUGUUGUUGAAGAUAUUAUGGAUGACAUGGACAUGGCUUUGAAAACUUUUUAGAGCGUUUGGAUAAGAAAAAUUCAAUUAGGCAACAUGGUAUGAGAGUUUAGCCACCAAUUAACAAACAGGCUGCAACUUUUGAUGCAAGAGGAAUUUAAGUCUUAUAUACCAAUCCCGAAAGUCAUUCAAAGUGCUUUAUUGUGAACUACUUGAAUACAAUUAGGGGAUUUCUCCUUAUUUGCCCAAUUUUACAUGCUUGCAAGUUUCUACUCGUGUUGUGAAUUUUGAUUCUAAAUUCAUGUUCUUAUCAAUUUCCAUUGCAUCAAGAGUUGAUAACAUGUACUUUACUUUCCUUUUGGUGUCUAUAUUAUAUGUAUUGAUUUUAUUGGGAAGUAGAAGGAUAAAUUUUCGAAAAAAAAAAAAAGAACAUCGCUUUGAUAUAGGAAAAUGCAUUGAAAAUUAUUUGAACAAACGUAUUACAAAGAUAAUCCUUUUUCCUCAACCAUCUCUUUUUUGACUUGCUUAGUUGAAUUACAAUCUCACAUAAAUUUGUAAAUAGAAAAGUUUGUAAUGAAGAUUGAUGUAGCUUACACUAUAAACAUGGGGAAAAAAAGGCACAAUCUAACAAAAUCUUUGGAUAUAAGAGCAAAAAUUCAUUUGAAAAAUCUUAUAUUAUUCAAGCGAUUGUAAUCAUAACAAUGAAAUCUAUAUUAGAUUGGUCAAUAUCAUCUCGUUAAGAAACUGAAAAAAGAUAAUUUACGGAACUUAUGCAUCGCCAUGUGUUACUACUAUAAAAAUCUUGCUGCUAACCAAUAAAAACGAAAAAGAAGCGAGUAGGAAUCAGAUUCAGUAAACACCCUUACAAAUUAAAAGAAAGUACAUAAUGCUUUCGUGAAAGAUUUUACCCAUUAGCGUCCCAUCCUUUCAAGGAACUAACUUCAACGAGUGCUUGCUUCCAUUUAUCGAAAAAUUUUGGGUCGAAACGCCUCUCGCACUUAUGAAAUGCAUCCCCAAAACUCCCGAUUUGAUGUCGCACGUAAGCUGGUUCCACUUUGUAGAAUAUCGGCAACACUAUAUGCCCCCUGUCACUUUUCUUGCACUCCAUUAUUUGAACAAGCUCGUCCAAGCACCAAUUGCUUGAACCAUAAUUUACAGAGAGAAUCGGGAUUAGGAUCUUACUAUUCUUGAUGGCUGUCAAAAGAUCUGGGCCGAUCAUCUCUCCUUGCCGAAUCUCAUUAUUGUCUCUAAAAGUAUGAAUUCCAGCAUCGACAAGCCCGUUGUAGAGGUGAUCAGUGAAACCCUUUCGAGUAUCUACACCUCUAAAGUUCAAGAACAUAUCAUAGUAGUUUCCAAUCAAUGCGGUCAACGAACUAGAUCCACCAGAAUUAGUUUUUGUGGGCGCAGUCAACAGAUCAGACGCACCAGUAUUUGCAUCUUCUGCAUUUCUAUGCACACCGACGUUGCAUUUCUCAAUGGGAGGAUGCAUUUCUUCUUUGCCUUCAAGUGGUGGAAUUUUAAUGCCCAAGAAAAUCCGAGAUGAUACCUGCCCUGGAAGAAGAGAAUAUGUGAGAUGCAGAAGCAAUCAAAUUAAGUAGUACCAAAAAGAAAAAGACAAGUGCCAUCAUAGAAUUAGUCUGGCAAUCCAUUGUGCUAGAUACAUUAUGUUACUACCGCAUUUACGUAAAGGGCAACUGCAAUUACAUCGAUGACAAACGAGGAAUUUUCAUGUUAUGAUUCCUUCAAUCUACGGUCGAGUGAGCACAUGCUAAUUCAAAGAACAAGGCAAGGACAUCAAGGAGGAUUAGCCGGCCAAAACUUUCCAGUAUUAAAGCUGCAGAUCACGCUUAAAGUGGCAAGUAAUUCUCGGCCAGAAGAAAAGUAGGGAAGAAAGAAUGGCUAGAGCCCAUUUCACACGUGGAAUAAAAAAAAUUGCAGAGAAAUCAAGAGUGGGAUAUUCUCUAGGCUGAUCGGUUCUGGUCCGAUCCGGUUCCCCAUUUCUGGAACCGAGAAUUGGAUUGGAGCGACAGGUCUGGUCCGAUUCCCGGACUGUCCAACAAAAACGAUGGACAGUGCUUGUUGGCCAAGUCGAGGGUGAGAAGUCAGAGAGGAUGGUCACGGGAGGGUUGGGGUGGGAGGCAAACCACCGGAGGGAGAGGUGGAGGGUCGAGAUGAUGGGGACGUUGCCGAAGAGACCGAUGUCACGGACGUUCUCGACUCAGCACAUCUCCUGCAUCAAGCAUAUCAAGCAAGGAGAAUCAAGACACUUAAUCGCUUGAACAAAUGAGGUCCAAUUUUGAUGAAACACCCAUGAAUUUGCAGCUUAUUAAGUCUACUUUAGUUUCUCAGAUAACCAUUUUCAUGAUCAGAGCCACAAAACCCGAAAUUGUAAGUCACCUCAGAAAAUUAUGAAACCAGUCCUGUUUGAAAGCUUAAGACGUCUUCUAAAACUUUGUAGUUUAUCAUUUACUGAGAUUCGGUCCAUAUUUUAACGAAAUUGCAGAAACAGCCUUGAAGGUCAGACUGGCCUUUGACAUUCUGACUGGUACUUUGAGAAGACAUUUGACUGAGCAAUUCAAUUUGGAAUUUCAUGAAACUUGAAUGAAUGGAAAGAUCUGGAAGUCUUUUAAAAGUUUGUAAUUCAUGAUAUUUCGAGAUUUUUUCAUGAAUAUCUCCUAAAUCCCAAAAUACCCAGCACGCCUGAUCAGACUUCUAAUUCCAGAUUCAACUUCAAUUUUCUAUUAUCUUUGUCCUAGAUUUUGAGGUGGAUUUGACCUAGUAAAUGAUCUUCAACUUGGGCUUAUAAUCUAUCAAAACGAAGCUUAAAAUGUCAAGAUCAUUUCAUUAGUUAAUUCCUUUUGAUGAUUUGGUCAUUUACUAGGUCGAAUAACCUGAUUAAUCUCAAUGAGUAUCCAAACCUGUGAUACUUCUCAUCAACAAAUCGUCAGGCACACGCAUUUUGGUCCUUUAAACCAAUCCCAUUGACCUUCCAUGACUCAUCACGCACAAAAUACGAGCAAGCCCACAAAGAGUUCUUCAACAGCACUUAUUUGCUACGUUUACGGGGCCUAUAUAAAAGAACCUUCUAACAGUGAUCAUGCAAUACGUCUCAUAUAGCAAGCAUAUGAAGAACAAACCGGCCACAUUUGCUUUACACGAUUGCAUGGAACAAACGAAAAUUUUAGCAUGAAACAGACCUAAAAGAACCGUCUAUCGGUUAUCAAUGGCAUGACGAUCCCAGAACAUGCCCACGGUGAACUCGCCAGCAUCUCGCCACGUACAUAUAUACAUUCAACUUUUACUUCAUUGACGCUGUCACAUAUAAGCAGCAUAUACAAAGGAUAAUGAGCAAGAAAUCUCAGUGUAUAACCACUAGACUCAUCCUCAAUGAAGGAAAACAAAACUCAAGCAAAGCUUCAUUGACAGGAGACAGUAAACGAGGAUCAAAACCUAACCUGAAAUGCUCGCUGUUCUAUUCGAGAAUAUAAUCAAACCUGUGGUAAGCACUUCAGUCAAAGGAUCUGGCUGCAGCUGUGAAACAACGAUUCACAUCCGAAUUAUCAUCAGGACAAGCUCAAGUGACCAACAGAUCCUCAAUUGGAGGCUAUUUUCAAAUAAAUCACAACAAAAUUUCUCAGCCUCAGCUUUAUACAUAGAACAUCAGAACAUAGAACAUGAGUCUAUGCUCAUCAUACCUUGAGUUUCAGUUUUGGAAGAUGAGCAAAUCGAAGAACAGAGUUCCUAGAUAUGUCAAUGAUCGAGAUCAAAGAAUAGAGUUCCAAACAGAUUAAUCUACUAAGAGUAAACUCUAUCAAAGGUGUUCACUAAAAUCCCUAAACUAAAUGCAUACUAACCAAAUGAAACUAAGCUAAAUCUAGCACUAGAUUCUUUUUUCUUUUUUUUCUUUUUAUCUGGUCUUGUCUUAUAUCUAUUUUAUAAGUCACCGUGUGUACUUUGUGUAGGUUAUGAAACCAUAUUCUCUCACUCACAUGUCCCUACCUCAGCCCAGGGAAUCGAACUCAACACCUCCCCUUUUCAAGUGGGAAAUGUGUCUACCGGACUAACCCCUAGUAGUUAAAUCUAGCACUAAACAUAACAACCUAAUCAAGAUCUCUAUCUCUAGCUAUUAUACAAUUUUUUAAUUUAUCGAAUUUUUCUGUUAGAAAUUAUUAUUUUUAUAGUAGAGGGGACUCGGGCUGGUCCUCUGGCCCGGUCUGAAGUUGGAAUGGACGCUUCCGCCUGGCGAGGGCCACAUCUCUAGUAUCAUGGGUUCUGGAUCUUAAGAUUGGGAUAUUAUUGGGCUCUUAAAUCAAGCCCACUCAACUGAACUGAACCAAUUUCAUAAAAAGUCAAACCCAGGCCAAACAUUAAAAAGCUGAGUCAAGCCCGUCCCAAAUCAAACCCAACGUGCAAAGAUUUUUAACCUCACCUUCUCGAGGAAAUAACCAACGCAUGAACAGAAACAAUGGAAACGUACGGAAGGAAAAUGAUGUUGUUGAAAGCUUAUCUCUGGGCACCAUUGAAUGCUUCACUAACUCCUGGCCAUUCCUCACACAUUACCACCACAGAGUCAUCAUCAUAACAAGCUCUGCUGCAACCGCGAAACAUAUAUAAAAGAAAACGUUCAGAUUUGAUUUUGUUAACAAAGAAAUCUAACUGGAAACGUACUCAGCAAUUAAUAGAAAAUUCCUUUCACAUGAAACAUGUUCACAAGUGUUGCAACCCUCUCAAAGCACAUCCGACAGCAAGGUCUGAACCUUUUGAGGGGUUUAGAGGCAUUACUCAUAAGACGGUCCAAAUGAUCUCUCGAUUAUGAGUGCAGGCUCUCCCCAACCACUCUCUCUCAUAACAUUUGGAGAUUUUUUUAAGUUCUUUUUAGCCUAAUUAAAUCUUGGAGUUCCCACUAGCAAUUUGGAAUUGGCUAAAAACCAUAUGAGAUGCAGGAGGCUUGACUCAUUUCCUACGCAACUAGAGAUUCUAAAUACGAGAACUUGAUUACGCUAAUAUUUAUAUUAAUGCCCUUUCGGUGCCUCUAACUAGAAGGUCGUUACUUAAGUGGUUAUGCAUUGUUUUUACCAUUUUACUCUUUUUGCAUUUUUCCUCUUACCUUCUGCCUUUUAUUCUAUUAUUUCCUUUGUUCCCAUCAUCUUCCUCCUUCCUCAGAUGGACGAGCCUCUGCCCUCGACUUCUCAGAACUUCCAUCGAUAAAACCCCAAAGGUGCAUUAAACCAAACCUACUCCCGCAAAUCUUGUCACUGGCAACAAUCGCUAACCUCCGAUCAUCAAACGAAAUGCCGUUACCUGACCACCACAGUCAACCACUCCCGGCCACCGAAAUUUAUCAUCGCCGGCCACCCCAUGAAGUAGGGCAAAGCACAGAACAGAUGGAAGGGAAGUGAACGCAGCAACACUCCCAGAAACGACGCAAUAUGGCAGAAGAUGUGAUGUUCAACAACCAUUAAGAAGGCGUCUUAUCACGCAAAACAUAUAGAUAUGCACUCAAGGUAAUUUACGAUCGGGAAUAAACUGACACGGUUUCGGUUCCUGCAUUUCGUCGGACAUGCAGCGUAAGUGGGCUGAGGAGAAGGUAUUGACCAUUUUUAGACCUCGAACUCGGAUCUAGACUCAAAGAAAUCAUCAAGAAACACUCGAAAUCAGGAGAGAGGAGUAGUGAGAAACGAUGCUGGCUGGAGGUUGUUGGACGGCAACAGUAGAAGUGGCCAGUCGGCUGAGGUCCAGAGAGAAAGAGACCCAAAGAGACAAGCAAAGGGAGAUGCGGGACUGAGAGGAGGGGAAGGCAAAUGGCUCGGUGAGGGGCGCCGGUAAUGGCUGCGACUGGUGGUGGCGACUGAGGCUAUGGACGGAGGAGGGUGGUCGACGGUGAGGUAGAGGUAAGGGGGAAUGGAGAAGAAAAGAGCGGGUGAGAUUUAGAACCAAAAAAAGAGAGUGCGCC